RNAcentral lists this long non-coding RNA (162595 nucleotides) under Hordeum vulgare. RNAcentral describes it as "long non-coding RNA (HVUL_LNC007660)". The record is from RNAcentral. Lineage: Eukaryota; Viridiplantae; Streptophyta; Magnoliopsida; Poales; Poaceae.
UGAGAGCCUGAAACGAACCUGGUGAAUGCUUCACUCCCAACCUCCCAGUGCCUUCAGAGGUGGAACCGUUUCUCUGUAUAAAACUUGUAAAAAUCUAGCCCGUUGAUCCUGCAGACCGGCAAGGAUAUACAUAUAUUAAACUCUUGUAUUUCGGCUGUAUAUCGGCGACCCUUUCUUUCAAAUUUGUAAAGGAAAAAUUCUCUCCUUUUAAUAGAAGAAUGUUGCAGGGCUAAGGCUAACUCCAACGCAGACGAUCCAUUUUGUCCGUCCGUUUGAGUCCGCAUGAACAAAAACGCGGUCAAUGCGUCGCUAACGCAAAUGGAUGGGUGUCUGGUUUUUUUUUUGGGGGGGGGGGGGGGGGGGUUUGGCUGUACAGAUUUGGCCUUAGGAUUGCGUCGGCAAGCGCGACGCCCUCGCUUGUCCUCGCCCUUUGCCCGUCAUGGCACAACGGCCAUUCUUGCCCAUCCCCUUCCACAAUAUACACCCUGACCUUGCCGCAUCCAAUUCCGGCGACCACAUCUAGGUGCUAUCGCCUCAUCCACCAACUUCACCACCGGCAUUGCAUCCAUUGAGGCUGUAGCUGCUACUUGUCAGAGCACGAGAAGGCACACCUGCCAAGGGUUGUCAAAGGGCGCAAGUUUUGACAGGCCUGCUGCCCUUCAUCAGUAGCAACUUGACCACACUCGUAAGGUGUUCGACCUUUUGCCCAUUGUUGAUAGCUUGGAUGAGUUCUUCUACAAUAACAUCAUAUGUUCAUCGGACGAUGAGGAUUUUGUGGUUGCUACUAUGGCGGUCAAUGAGCAUAUUUCUAGGAUGCGACCAAUGUUUAGGGGGUCGAUCCCGGGCCACGCUCCGGCGUUGAAUGUAACAAAGAGAGCGACCAUUGCCUAUUCUAUAUCGAUUAUUUCCUGUGCACGUCCUUAUUCUUUAAUGCCAAGCUUUUCCGACGAACGCUUUCAGAUGAUGAGACAUGUGUUCAAUUGUAUUCGGAAGGGAAUGGUGGACUAUGAUGAUUACUUUAGAUGCAAGAAUGAUGUCCUCGCUAGGGUUGGCUUCUCCACUUAUCAGAAAUAUACUGCAGCUAUUCGGAUGUUGACAUACAAAAUUUCCGGUGAUCUUGUGGAUGAGUAUGUCCGUAUAAGUGAGUCUACAUGCCUUGCAUAAUUUACAAGUUAUGCAAAAGUUAUGAUUAGAGUGUUUGGUUCGGAGUAUCUGACAGAACCAAGUGCUGCAGAUAUAGCCUGAUUGUUGGCAAUGCAAACAGAAAAAAAUAUCAAAGGGUUGACCCAAGGGAGCAUGAUGAUGCCCAUAAAAGAGAGAAUUCCAGUACCAUACUAAAGUAUACACAAGUGUCCCAAAGACUUUGUGUACUGUAUCACUAAAACAUGACUCAUGUAGCAUUGCCAUAUUACAACAGUUUAUUGGGCUGACAGGACAAAAGCAUCCAUGAAUAUAUAUUUUUCUAGCCUCACUUCUACUCCCUUCGUUCCUAAGUACUCCCUCCAUCCAAAAAUAUUUGUCGGAUGAAUGGAUGUAUCUAGAUGUAUUUUAGUUCUAGAUAUAUCCAUUUUAAUCUAUUUUUUGCGACAAGUAAUUACGGACGGAGGGAGUAUAAGUCUUUUUAGAGAUUUCACUAGGGGACUAUAUAUGGAGCAAAAUGAGUAAAUCUAUGUGUAUAUACAUCCGUGUAUAGUCUCCUAGUGAAACCUUUUAAAAACUUAUAUUUAGAAACGGAGGGAGUACAAGUGAAAGCUCGCUCAUUUGGAACCAAAGGAAUUUACUUUGUCUUCCUUGGCCUUGGAAACCUUGGCCUUUUCCUCUUAGGCUUCUUAGCAAGUUUUUUUCCUCGCUCCUCUUGAGCAACCUUACUAAAAGAGAUAGUAAGAUUCUUAAGCACUUUAUUCUGUGUAAUAGGAGAAAUAGCAUUAAAUGAUAAACAUUUUGGGAUAAUUUUUCUUUUGUAACCAUCAUUGUCUAUCUUAAUCUUGUCAUUCUUACCUCAUUUCAACUAAAGGAGUUUCACCCUCCUUUUCUUAGUAUUCUCUUCACCAAAAGGCGACAGAAUCACAUUGGCAGAGGAAUCUUGGGGCCUUAGUGGUAGAGCCACACCACUAGCAGCAGUAUAAAUAGGAGGGGGCUCUCCAUUUAUAUCACUCUUCACCUAUGUAGAGUCUUGAGUCACUUGUGUAGCUAGCUUACAGGCAGGAGUCUGCGAAAUAGAGCACUUAUCAGGAAUAUAGAACAAAAUGGUCUCCUCAUUUAAUUUGUUUCCGGUCAUAAGUUUUCAUAAAGAAGAUUUGAGCAAACAAAGAAAAGAAGCCACUCCUAGCCGACGAAGACACAACCGUUGACCGCACACAAGGAAAGAUGUACCUCCGAGCCAGCAAGGACGCAACCAUCGAACACUCCUCAAGUAGCCGAAUGCCCGGCCGUCAAAGAUGCCUCUCCCAAUAACCAAGCUUAGCAUCUAUAACCGGAUUUAGCAAAUCCACCCCCUAUACGUCCACGGACAUGUCCGCGGGCGCAUCCGGACGACCCCUCAUAUCAAAUAGUGUGCAUCCACAUAUCUUAAAUCUAAACUCUUAAAUACAUGCAAAUUCAUGUACGCCCAUCAUACACAUCAAUGUCACACGUAAAUAGCAAGUGUUUGGUAGCGAAAAUACAUAGUUCUUACAUAAAUUUUAUUUAAAGUGCACAACUCAAUCAUCACUUCAUCAGCUCUUUGAUUUUCAUUAUGGGUCCACAUAUGCCUCAUAAGAUCAUUAAGUAGUUGUGCAUGCACCUGAUGAUCUCGAAGAUUCCGAUGCAUAUGAAGAAAGUUCAUAAGUUGGUUUGCGUCUUGAUCUUUCGGGAUUUUAACUUGUUCUCCGGGCGCUUCAAAAUUAUUGGUUUGGGUAACACCAACACCCUCAUCCUCAACAAACAUGCUGUGCAAAGUAACACAACAUGUUUCUGAUUCUCACAUCAUCGCAACUCAACGAACAAUUCCCCAACAAGCUUGAAGCACUCCGAAUGCCAUCUCCACAUCCUUCCUAGAUGUUUCCUACAAUGUUGCAAAUUGGUUUUGUUUCUUGUCGUGUGAUUCAAAAAUGGUCUUCACAAACGCCGCCCAAUGAGGAUAGAUGCCAUCAUCAAGAUAGUAUCCCAUGUUAUAGUCACGACCAUUGACAGUGUAGUUGCACGGUGACGGUUCCCCAUUAAAAAGCCUCAUGAACACCGGAGACCGUUGAAGCACGUUGAUGUCGUUGUGAAAUCCCAACAUUCCAAAGAAAGCAUGCAAAAUCCAUAAGUCAUGUGAUGCUACUUCUUCCAGUAUGAUGGUGGCCUCUUUGAUGUGACCUUGAUACAUUCCUCGCAAAUCUUUUGAGCAUUUAUUCCAUUGUCAAUGCAUACAAUCAAUUGAUCUGAGCAUUCCUGGAAACCCUCUGACCUCUCUAAUAGCCAACAACUUUUCUGUGUCCUACACAUUUCGUUCUCACAUAGACUCUUCUCCAAAUACCCGCACGACGGCGCGGGCAAACUUGUGAGUUGUCUUCAUGUAUGUGCUCUCCCCCUCACACGGGCCAUCUCACCAACGGAAUAUGUGGCAAUACCAAGUGCAAGCAUCCUCACAACAACUAUGCAUUUUUGUCUAUCCCAAAAAGAAAGUUGGCCAUAACAAUCCUUUUUGAGCUUGAAGUAGUCAUCAUAAGCUUCCACUCCCUCCACAAUGUGCAAAAACAAUGGUUUUCGCAUACGAAAAAGACGACGAAACCAUGGAUCAUCCAAAAAAGUUGGGUCUGGAGAAAAGUAGUCCUUCUACAGUAGUCGUGUGUUGGAGAUCCUAUCCCAAUUGAUCACUCUUCUUCCUUUGAUUGAGCCAUUGAAAUUGAGAAUAUGCUCCACCUGCCAGUCCAUUUCCACCUACAUGCUUAUGAGCAUGAUCAUGUCCACUUAUUUGUCCGAAUUCGGUGAAUUGAAGAACUAAUCUUGAAUCAUUUGAUCAAACUCCAUUGGUCUAUACUCCUCAUCUGAUGAAGCAUCGAAAUCCACCGUUUCACUAAAAAUCACAAGAAAUUGGGUUGGACAAUGUGUCGAACACAUAGAAUGCAAGGGGCAGCCCGAGAGUUGGCGUCCGGGCCGGCGACGACAUCCCUGGUUGCGAGGAUGGGAGAGAGGAGUGAUGUGUGAGUGUUGUCAGCACGGAUGCUCGGAACGGGUGUGGAGUGCGUGCAGCGGAGAGACGGUUGACGAGGAGGAGCAAGAAGAGAAGAGAGCAAAUGGGGUGGAGGAACUACUAGGGAAAAGCCUAGCAGUAGCGCGGGUUUUAGGCGUAUCAGUAGCGCAGGCUCCCAGCUACUGAUACGGCACUACAAACCUUUAGCAGUAGCGCGGGUCCGCCUGCGCUACACCUAAAAUGUAGCAGUAGCGGGUCUUGGCCCGCGCUACUGCUAUACAUGCGUAGAGGUAGCGAGCUUUACAUAAACGCGUUACUGCUAUACAUGUGUAGCCGUAGCGAGCUUUACUAAGCCGCGCUACUGGUAGGGGUUUCUGAUUUUUUAUGCAUAUUUGUUUUGUAUUUGAACAAGCUUUAUACAAUAAUCUUUAGCACAUACAAAUGUCAUCAUCAUACACAUACAAAUGUAAUCAUAGCAUAUACAUACAAAUAGUCUCAUCAAAUCAUGUCAUCAUCAUAAUCAUCAUCCAACACAAAGUGGUCUCUCGUCAUCAUCUUGAAAAUAGCGAUACAAGUCUCGAAUACUUGCAACUACAUCGUCAUCCAUCUAAACAAUGAUAUACGCGAGAAGAGCUAUCACUAUGAGUGAGAGCGGAACUAUGCAGUAUAUGAGGCGGUGGUUAUGAGUCCUCUCUCCGCUAGCAUGUACCUCAAGUAACUAGUUUCUGCUUCUUGUCUGCUUUUGAAGCCUUUAUGGCUGGCGCCCCAGACCCCGUCCACUUGCGCCUGACACUCAGUCCACUCGUCACACACUCCCAGAACCUUCCCUUUGUACAUGACAUAACACUGCUUCUUCGCCAUCAAGAAUCUAGGUACCUGUUAGAGAUGCAUCUUCAUCAAGAGAAUGGACAAUCAUAUGCAACAAAAUAUACUUGAGCAACACGAAAAAGAAAGGGUUAGCAACUAGAUGCAACAUAUAGUAACAUAUAAAUAAUCAACGCAGUUUCAUCGUACGCAAACUAAUUAACUAGAGGUACGCAUGUCAUCGUACCCAAACUAACAAAGUAGUGUUACGCAAGUUCGUCUGGGACCGUGGACAUCACAAAUUUUCAUCGCUACAAAAACUAUACAAGUUCAACCGACACAUAUCAUCAUCAUCGGCAUCGUAAAUCACUAGAAGUUCCAUCCUUCCAAAUAAUUGAGGUUGCACCCUAGCUUCUUGAACGACGUGAGGUCCUGACGUUGCAUGCCUAUGCGAGUUCGGAUGUCAGCUCGCGAUAUAGGGCCGUGGUGGAACAUCCCCUUCUCUUCGACGACUUCUUUCAUGAUGAUCGUCGCAAUGUCCCUCUGGAUGCGAAGGAAGUCAUCUCUAAGUUUAUAAUCCGCUUCUCCAUGAGAUUCUACCCACUUGCGGAUAUGAUCAUCAUUUCUGCCUAUCAUGCGAAGCUUUUGGUGAUCCCUUUUGAACUCCAUCAUGAGAUGUAGGAGGUAGAAUCCAUCGUUCUUGCUUGGUUUUGGGACAUGGAUGUAGCAGAAGUUAGUUUUAUGCGGGAAACCCGUCUUCUUGUUCCUUUGUCUCCUGAUCUGCAGGUAGCCACCCCUCAAGCUGAAGCCUUGGAGAGUGUCAUCUAUAAUAUUCAUUACGUGGGUGUAGUCCGUCUUCUCGUAGUUUCUGGUAGGAUCAAAAUACACGGCGUGGGAGAAUCGCGGGUAAAGAACGAUAAGGACAACGCACCCGUUGCUGUGGGGAAAACACCUCAAAUUAUUCUCCAUAUGAGCAAGAAGGAAUGAUUGAAAUGUAUGAAAGGGUUGUCCGACACUGACUUGCUUUGGAUGAUAAGGCAGGAGGACAAUUUCCUUGUCCUUAUUUUCUACCAUGAAUUUUUCGAGGUACUCCGUAGCAAUUUUAUGCUCAAAGUCGCCGAGAGUCAAGAAGGACUCGUGCAUGUAGUAUGGAUCCGCCACACAGAUUUGCGAGACUUCUUCUCACUUCAUGAUGAAGCUCAUAUGUAGCGCAAAAAGGCGGAUGAUUGUACAAUCGAGCCGCCUUGUCAUAAACAUCUCGAAGAUAUGCUCAAAUCGCAGGAAGAACACCUCCGCGGGUCGUGUGUCGACGUAGCACUUCCCGUCAAGCACACGAGCCGCGUAUGUCUGAUAUCCAGGAUCCUUCGAGGCUAGUAGUCUUUUCUCAGUCGACAAUACAUGGUCAUGCAGUCUCCUGAGAUCCCCUGAUAUUGCCUCCAGCGGUUUCGACGGUAGCAUCGGCUCGCUCAUCACAUGGAACAUGGCCGCACCUUUGACAGGUACACGCUCUUCAAAAUCCGUCGUCUGGCUACUAUGUGCUCUGACUUGUUUGUAGGCAGGAGAGCUUCUCUUCCCCGGUCUCUUCCUCUCCUUUUUCUUGGGCUGACCUUCUAGACCCUUCCUUAACCCUUGUGUGACAUCCCGAUGCCGACGUUCCAGAAGAUUCCCCCUUUAUUCCGUUUUCGUCGUGUGGCUUAUUUUAUUUGUGGCAUCGUCAUCGCAUAAUUCGCAUCAUAUGCAUUGCAUCGGCAUCUCCGUUGCCGCCAAUUUUCAAACUUGCAUCCGUUAGUAGUUGUCGGUUCUCGUCGUUGUCCGUUCUGAGCCCGACCGCACUCGCACGCGCCUGCGACAUCGUUCGAACCCUGUUUUUAAAGUGUGUUGAAAACUUUCUCUGAUCGAGGUGAAACUUGGCAUGCGGUCGUAUUUAGUUAUAGCUAGGCCGCCUGUCGAAUUUCUUCGCGAUCGGAGUUUGUCUGGUACCCGAACGGUCGACCGUAGNCAGGCCCGGAUCCGCGCCGCCGCCCGUUCUGCUCCCGUGCCCCGUGAUCCCGGGCUCCCCCCGUGCUCGAGCCAGCCGAGCUCAUCCCGGCCGCCGGUCACUAGCGCACCACCCUCGCCGGAGGCCCUCGCCGGCGCCGCCUCCCCGUGCGCCAGAGCCCUGCCGGCCCCGCCCUCCGACGGUCACCGUGAGCAGCCGGUGCCCCGAGCUGGGCCUCGAGCCCACGAAGGUAGUCCAUGUUCCCCCAUAUUUUGCGCGCGUGCGUGACUUAGUUAUAUGACGCCAAUGCCCAGUUUCGGCCCGGUAGACACAUUAGGCCCGUUAGCGUUUUUUUAGGUUUUCGUAUUUUAUUUAAAUUUCAGGAAAAUUUGCUUGUUUUUCAAACGCCCGUAGUUUAUUAACCGUUAGUCGGAUCGAGGCGUAUGUUAUAUAGUUUUGGGGUAGUUUUGCGAGUAGAACACGAUUUCACAACUUGCAUAUUUGUUUGGCAUUGUUUCACGUGUCGUAUGUCUAGUUUAGUGUGUUGUCUCGAUAGGUUUAUUGUCGUAGUUAUUUUUCGUGCGUGCCCGAAUAGCUCGAAUACCGUAAUAGAAAUGCCCAUGUUUUAGGAACUAAUUUUCCAUGUAUUUUAGAGCGGUCAUUUGUAUUUUUACGUGUAGGGAUUUGCCGCUAGUUUAUUUUCCCGUAUAUAGGUUAUUUUCUUGCAUUUACGUGUGGCAUUAUUUUUGGUUGCGCAACCCCACAUAUUUUAUAUGUUUUCGGGGUAGAAAAAUCCAUGGGAUUUUACUGUGCAAUUAGUUUUAGCUUUUGAGUAAGUUAGUUCGCGCCAUAUUUUGCCGUGAUGCCCUUUUGUUUAAUUCAUAGGAUUUAUUCCGUGUUUCGUUUGAUGGAGUUGUCAACUAGGGAGUUGUUCUUGGGUGUUUAGACUAGCCCCUGGUAUUUUUAGUUGCAAUAGAAAAGCAUGUUUAGGUGUGGUUUGCUUGCUCUCAAGUUGCUAGAAUAGUGCUGAUUUGGAGGAGCUGAAAUAUUUCUAAGUCUGGAAUCUGUUAUAUUUUGUUGUUGUCUUGUCUUGCUUGUGUCUUUUGAUCUGUAGCUCUUUUGAGGUUGGUCCAAUGGAGUUAGUUAUAAACCUUGUGUUUCUCUAGCAUGCUGUGAAAUUUCAUGCCCUUUGGAGUCCUGUAGCUUAUGGUUUUGCUGCUGUCAAUAUGGCUUCAGAUCGAAAACUGCACUUUCAUGAAGUGUAAUUUUCACUAAGUCUGAAAUAGUGUGUGAGAUGUCAUUUUGUGACUUCUUUCCCUAGUGAUCCAUGAUGCCAUGCUAGUUGUUGUUAGUUUUUUGUUGUAGUGCUUCUUGCCCUCUUUCGUGCCAUGCCUUGGUUGAUUAUGUUUGAGUUGAGUAGCUUGUAGUUGUGGGGUGUAGAAAAUGCUAUGUGGCUGAUUUUGUCAGAUUGUAGUGAUUUCUUGUUUUGCUCGUAUCUUUUGAUCCGUAGCUCCGAUUUGAUCGUGUCCUACAUGAAACUUGCUUAGAAUCUUGUGUAGAUUCAUUUUAUCUUGCUGGUUGUAUGUUUUGAAGUGCUCGUGACCGUCGUUGCACACAUAUUGCAUUCAUGCCAUCAUAUCUUGCGGUGCUUGUAUCUUUUGAACCGUAGCUCCGUUGGAGAUGUUCUUUAUGUGUACAUUGCUUGAAAUGACGCGUAGAAUCACGCGUAACCUAUUUUUUUUUGCUGUUUAACAACUAAUUAAAUGUGUUAGUUCAGAGCUGGACAGAAUUGUAAAUUAACUUGUGAGGUCGUUUCGGAGAUGCUAUAUGACAUUUCCGACCUCAUUUAAAAUGCCUAGAUAGGUAGUUUAAUUACGCUUCACCUCUUUCCAUGUUUAACCACAUUUAAUAUUGCCGUGUAACUAAUCGGGAUAGAACUAAAUAAUUAAACGUGGAGUUUCGUCAAUGUGCAACUCGUUGCAUAUUGAACUUCACUUAAUGUGUAGUGUUUGAUUGUGUGAUUUUUCAUGACCGUGACUUGCAUGUUUUUAGCUGCUCAUGCAUCAUAUGUGUUGUGCAUCGUGUGGUGUAUAUCGUGUGUUGAUUUGUGUUUCCGGUUUGCUUCGUCUCGAUAGAGUUCUGCAGCGUGUCGGAUUGUGAGGACCCGUUCGAAUACCUCGGUUCGUCUGCUUCACGGAGGCAUUCUUCUUCCAAGCGGGAUCUCAGGAAAGAUGACCAUUUCCCUAGAUACCAUUACUAUCAUUGCCAUGCUAGUUCUAUCGCUUCUAUCGAUUAUGUCUCGUUGCCUACCACAUGUUAAAUAUCAGCCUCUCAACAAUGCCAUGAAACCUUCAACCUGUUCAACCUAGCAAACCACUGAUUGGCUAUGAUACCGCUUGCUUAACCCUGUGUUAGCGUUGCUAGUUGCAGGUGCAUUGAUUCCAUGUGAAAACAUGGGUUCCUUGUUAUAACACCAUAUUUAAAUGCUAUUUAAUUUAAUGCACCUAUAUACUUGGUAAAAGGUGGAAGGCCCGGCCUUUCUAGCCUGGUGUUUUGUUCCACCUUUGCCCCCUUAGUUUCGGCUACCGGUGUUAUGUUCCAUAAAUGAGCGCUCGUAACACGAUCGGGGUUGUUAUGGGGACCCCCUUGAUAAUUCGUUUUAGAUUAAAGCUGGUCUGGCAAGGCCCAACUUUGGUACUACAUUUGCCUAAUCACCUAAUAAAAUUGCAUAGGGACUUUCCGGACCCCGAGGAUAAUUUAAUCAACCCCCGGGCCAGUGCUCCUCAAGAGUGUUGGUCCCACCUGAGCGAUGUCCGCCGCCCCUUUGGUCACCCGGAGGUUUAGCGAUCCCGACGUCUAGCUCAUCCGUCGUGUCCUGAGAAUGAGGUACGCGACUCCUAUCGGGAUCGUCGACACAUCGGGCGGCCUUGCUGGAUUAGUUUUACCUUUGAUGAAAUAUCUUGUGCAUUGAGAUUCCGGUGAUGCUUUGUGUAAUCUCAGUGUUGAGGUUUUCCACUAGGGAAUCCGACGAGAUCGCAAGCUUCGUGAUUGAGGAUUUCUAUGCGGCUUGUGGUAAUUUGUGAUGGACUAGUUGGAGCACCCCUACAGGGUUAAAUCUUUUCGGAAAGCCGUGCCCGCGGUUAUGUGGAAAUGUGGAAACUUUGUUUAACACUGGUUCUAGAUAACUUGAAGUUAACUUAAUUAAAACUUGCCAACUAUGUGCGUAACUGUGAUUGUCUCUUUCAUGAGUUCCUUCUCCAAUCGAGGACAUGGUGGGGUUAUGUCUGACGUAGGUAGGUGUUCAGGAUCAUUCAUUUGAUCAUUAGUAGUUCACGUCCGUUAUGCAUAGAUCAUCCCCCUCUUAUUUCUUGUAAUCGUAAGUUUAGCCACCAAAUAUAUGCUUAGCCGCUGCUGCAACCUCACCACUUAACCAUGCCUCACCCAUUAAGCUUUGCUAGUCUUGAUACCUUUGGAAAUGAGAUUGCUGAGUCCCCUGUGGCUCACAGAUUACUACAACACCAGUUGCAGGUACAGGUAAAGGUUACUUGACGCGAGCGUGUUGAUUGUUCAGUUGGAGUUGCUUCUUCUUCUUCUUCUUCAUCAUCGAUCUAGGAUGGGUUCCAGGCCGGCAGCCUGGGAUAGCAAGGAUGGACGUCGUUCUUCUUUUGCCGUUUGUUUUCGUCCGUAGUCGGACCGUGCUCUUCUUCAUGUUGUUUAUGUAUUGUACUGUUGUGACUCUGAUGUUACUAGUGGCGAGUGUAAGCCAAUUCUAUAUAUAUCUCUUCUUUUCAGUACAUGUACUUGUAACGAUAAAUAUUCUUGCGACACGACGAGAUGCGCUUCUAUCCCUGACAAGGCCUUCGUGCCAAAUUGAGGAUAGGGUCUCAUCUUGGGCGUGACACCUUGCCCCAGUGUUGUCGGGCUAAGAACUGUACGACCCUCGGCUAGUUGAGCAUUUGUUGAGGCGACAUCUUCAGGCAUGUCCUGUGAGGAUUGCAUGAAGAGAGACUUCUUGCAAUCCCUGCUAGGACGUUCNCAGCACCCAACCCUUGCAGUUUCCAAGCCGCGACGGGGUCUCGUCGUCCUCUCCCCUAGCCGUACUAGAGGAGGCAAAUCCUCGUGCCCCGAUUUCACACUCGACAAGGUAACCCUGAAGUGCCCACCGGGCAUCGGCUGGUCGUGGAACGUGAGUUCCAAGGGCUUCGUUAUGACCGCAUUUCCCACGUCCACCUUGUGGCCUUUGAUCGAGUAGAGUACGGUGCACGGGGUUUCGUCCGCGUGCAAACAUAUGUCUACGGCGUAAAACAUCCGAAAGGCAACGAAAAUGGAAUAUUCUAGAUAUAUGUUGGUGCGACAUGUAAUUACCGUGAGGGGGUCAAGCUCAGCCAAACACGAAGGCCCGCCUAGCGCGCCAGAGACCGAGGACGGGCUGCUAUAAGCGGGUGCGGGUGUGGGUGCAGGAGCAGGCGCGGUUGCGUAAGUAGGUGAUGGUGCGGUGGUGUUGUUCACCGAGUUGCUCGCAACGAAACUGGGCAUGGGAAAACCAUGUACCGUCUUGUGUGGAUUUUCCUUCGUCCAAUUUAAGAUAGUCGGGCUAAAGUUAGUAGCGAAAUCAUUUCUACACGCAUCUACAGCUGCAUCGACUGCCUACUGUAGCAACUCAUUUUUCUCCUCAACUGCUUUUUUCGCGUCCUAAGCUGCUUUUUUUCUCGAACGCAAGCUUCACCUUCUCAUCGACGAUGUCCGCCUGACUAGACUUCUUUUUCUACUUCUUGGCAUCCAGGCCAUCGUUGUAAAAGACCUUCCACGUGGCGCCAUCUUCGGCGCCGUGCACACGUCCAUAUUGUGGCCGCCGGUACAAAGGGAGUCCCUUAAGUUCGUUCAAGGCCCGAAUGAGAGGGGUGUCCCACUUGGGCUUCAUCAAUAAAGACUGGCUUUCGGCUGCAAGCUGGUGUUGCUUCUCCUGUAGAAGGAACGUGAAUCGUUUACGAAUGUGUAGUCCACUUGAUCAGAAGCUAAAUGUAAGGUGGUAAAAGAAUAAUUACCAGUAUUCUAAUCAAUUUUCUUGUGAUCGGGCCCGUGUAAAAAACCUUAUUUUCCUUGUCCCACUUGUAGUGAACCCUGAUGAAGUCACGCUCCAAGGGGUUGGUGAACUUCGCCGAGAGGCCUGGGAGACCCGCGGCUUCACGUUCCGCGUCCUCCUUAUCCCAUAUGAGCCUUUUGCCAAGGUAGCCACGACUUCUGAGGCGUUGGUUCCUCGUGUUCCUUUGAUAAAGGGUCUUGAAUUUCACAGCCUUAGCCUUGGCUGCCUCCGUAGCAUAACUGUCUUUGAACUUUUGGAACUCAUCUUCCGUAAGUGUCAGAUUUUCCUCCAGAAUCUUGGACAGGGGUUCCCCAGCCUCAAUAGCUCGUUUUACCCUCCCUUUCCAGGAGGCCAAAUCAUUGCUGAACAUGCCCAUGACGUGAUUGUUAAUCUUUUUUAUCUUUGGAUCAUCCCACGGUUGUUCUAUGCUAUCAUCCCGAUCGGGGAACUUGAAUCUCUUGUGCAACUUCGUCAGGAGCAACUGCCUCAAAUGUUCUUUACUCCUUAAGUCAUCGUCAUUGAUGCUCGCGCAUUCUCGUAGGAUGCAUCCUACUUGGUUCCCAUAGAACUUGCGAGGUUCUUCCGGCUCUAAUGGCUCAAAAUUGCCAGGGGCCAUCUUUGUGAUCACGAGUCGUCCGAUGCGGAGUUUGUUAGGUUUUUAUAUCCUUUGCUUCUUCUGCUUCUUCUUUUCGGUAGCAGCUUCGACGCCCGUACCUUCCCCGUCGGUAUAUUCCCCGCCGGUCUCGGCGCCGCCAUCGGUGCUGGCGCCGUCGGUUUGAUGUCGGCGUCAGUACCAUCAUUGAGACCGCUCUGCAAACCUUGACUGUGCUUAGCACAAAAAAGUCCAGGUACUGUUGUUCACCCUCAUAAUCCAUCUCGUCUGCAUCAUGGUCAGAUGGCCCGGUUUCUUCGUUGUUUGACAUGUUUCCUCUGAUUAAGUCUCCUCAUUUAAUUCUAAAACUAUAAUAAAAUGAGAAAUGACAUAAAAAGGUCUAUGGUUUGCUGGAAUGUCGUUUCAUUCCCGUUACACCAAAUCCCGGCACUCGAUAUGCCUACUUUCUAUCACAAGUAUUACCAAAAUUCACGGGAAAUUUCGGCAUGACCUUUGCAAAAAAAGUGGACAUAUCGAGCGCCUGAAAUUCACCAGAAUGGAAAUGAAUCAACAUCCCGGUGAAACAUAGGCCACUCGGAUCAUUUACCCUGCACAUAACCAUUAUUUUCCAGAUAUCACAUGUCCAAAAUAUGACAUGUCCAAAUAUGACAUGUCCCAAUUCCAAAUAUCACAUGUCCAAAUUCCAAAUAUCACAUGUCCACUUCAAAUUUUCAUAUAAGAGGAAGAAAAAUAUAGAACUUGGAGCAAAAUGCAAGAAGUCUUUUUCUUCACAACAUUUGGAACUAGUGUUAAUCAAUUCUAUUUUUUCUUUAAAUAGCCUAUAUGGAACUUGAAGAAAAAUUUGCAACCUAAAAACCUAAUAAAAAUUAGCUUAAGUAACUUAACCAAAGAACCUAAUAAAAAUUAACCUACUAACUUAACUAAAUUAACCUAAGCAACUUAACGUAAGAACAUAAUAGCAACAAGAACCUAAUAACAAUAACCUAACUAAAUUAACCUAAGUAACUUAACCUAACUAAAUUAACCUAAGUAGAUUAACCUUAGCAAAGAGACAAAGAAAGAGAAGGAGGGUCAGAGGACUUACAAGGGGCUAGGGGAGACGUCAGCGACGAGGUGGAGCUCGGGGGAAAUGCCGACGUCGAGGUGGAGCUCGGGGGAAAUGUCGGCGGCAAGGUGGAGCACGGGGGAGAUGCCGGCGGGGAGGGCGCCGGGCGGCGAUGAACAGGGACGGAGGACGCACAGGUAGCGACGGAGGCGAGAGGGACCGAUUGGGGAAUGGGGUAGAGGAAAGAAGCAGAUGCAGUGGGGGUUAUGUCAAGGUAGCAGUAGCGCGUUUUCCAAAAACGCGCUAUAGCUACGGUAGUAGUAGCGCGUUCCGGGAAAACGCGCUACUCCUAACACAAGUAGCUAUAGUGCUUUUUCAAACAUGCGCUUAUGCUAUUGUUUUUCUUCUUUUCUUCUUUUCUUUUGUUUUUAAUUUUUUUCUUAUUUUCUUUUCCUUUUCUUAUCUUUUCUUCUUUUCCUUUUUUUUCCGAGAGCCGGAACGAAGGGAAGCUGAUACAAUGUAUGUAACUAAGGCGAUAUAUAUUGCAUCAUUUGACCCAUAACAUUAAGUGUGCUAUACAAAAUAGGAACAUAUAUAUUACAUCGUUUGACCCAUAACGGUUAAGUGUGCUAUAAAAAAUAGGAACAUAUAUAUUACAUCAUUUGACCCAUAACGGUUAUGUGUGCAUACAAAAUAGAACAUAUAUAUAUAUAUAUAUAUAAAUUAUUCCUCACUCGAGGUCAUUUUACCACCAUUUCAUAAAUAAAUUAAAUUUGAAAUGCAAAUAGAUACAUUUAUAUUGAUUAACUACGGAAAAUUUGCCAUAAUAAAACAAAAAUAUAGAUCAUAAAACCAGAAAAAUCGCAUUUUAUGUAUAAUUUACACUAUGUUUUUAUGUUUGUAAUUUUACGUGACAUAAAAUAUUUUUUACGGUGACUAUGUAUUUUUUUACGGUCUCUUUUUACGUAUGAGAUAAGAUUAAAAUUUAAGAAACGUAAAAUUACGGUGUAUUAAUGUGAAAAUAGAGGGGGUGAAGAAUAACUAUUCCUCACCCAGGGUAUAUAUAUAUAUGUGUGAAUACAUAGACCACAACAUGUCCCUAGUGAGCCUCUAGUUGGCUAGCUCCUUGAUCAAUAGAUGGUCAUGGUUUCCUGAUCAUGGACAUUGGAUGUCAUUGAUAACGGGAUCACAUCAUUAGGAGAAUGAUGUGAUGGACAAGACCCAAUCCUAAGCAUAGCACAAGAUCGUUUAGUUCGUCUGCUAGAGCUUUUAUAAUGUCAAGUAUCAUUUCCUUAGACCAUGAGAUUGUGCAACUCCCGGAUACCGUAGGAGUGCUUUGGGUGUAUAAAACGUCACAACGUAACUGGGUGAUUAUAAAGGUACACUACAGGUAUCUCCAAAAGUGUCUGUUGGGUUGGUAUGAGUCGAGACUGAGAUUUGUCGCUCCGUGUGAUGGAGAGGUAUCUCUAGGCUCAAUCGGUAAUGCAUCAUCAUAUUGAGCUCAAUGUGACUAAGGAGUUAGCCACAGGAUGGUGUGUUACGGAACGAGUAAAGAGACUUACGGUAACGAGAUUGAGCAAGGUAUAGGGAUACCGAUGAUUGAAUCUCAGGCAAGUAUCAUACCGGUAGACAAAGGGAAUUGCAUACGGGAUUGAGUGAAUCCUCGACAUCGUGGUUCAUCCGAUGAGAUCAUCGUGGAACAUGUGGGAUCCAACAUGGAUAUCCAGACACCGUUGUUGGUUAUUGGCCGGAGAGAUGUCUCGGUCAUGUCUGCAUGUUUCCCGAACCCGUAGGGUCUACACACUUAACGUUCGGUGGCGCUCGAGUUGUUAUGGGAAUCGUAUAUGUGGUUACCGAAGGUUGUUCGGAGUCACGGAUGAGAUCCGGACGUCACGAGGAGUUCCGGAAUGGUUCGGAGGUAAAGAUUUAUAUAUGGGAAGUCCAGUUUCGGUCCCUGGAAAAGUUUCGGGGUUUAUCGGUAUUGUAUCGGGACCACCGAAAGGGUACCGGGGGUCCACCGGGAAGGUCCACCUGUCCCGGAGGGCUACAUGGGCUGAAAGGAGAAGGGAACCAGCCCUUGGUGGGCUGGUGCGAGCCAAGGGGAGGAGGCCCAAGGCGCAAGGAGGCCAAACCCUAGGGCGCGGUGGCUACCUUGGGUGGCAAGCCACCCCCUAGGGCACCGCCCCUCCUCCUCCUAGGGCUGACGCACCACCUAUGGUUUCCCUAGGGGUGGCCUCACCCCCUCUCCCUCCCUCCUAUAAAUACCGGAGGUAUUGGGAGGGUUGCACACACACGUCUCUCUCUCCCUCGGCGCAACCCUACCUCUCCACCUCUCCUCAUCUGCGGUGCCUGGCGAAGCCCUGUCGGAAAGCCACGAACUCCAUCGCCACCACACCGUCAUGCUGCUGGAGUUCUCCCUCAACUUACCCUCCCUCCUUGCUGGAUCAAAAAGGAGGAGACGUCCCCGAGCUGUAGGUGUGUUGGACGCAGAGACACCGAACACUCGGUGUUUGGAUCGGAUCGCCGCGAGUACGACUUCAUCGACCGCGUUCAUAGUAACGCUUCUGCUUUGCGAUCUUCAACGGUAUGAAGAUGCUCUUCCUCACUCGUUGCUGGUUUCUCCUAGAUGAUCUUGGUGUGACGUACGAUUUUUUUUGAAUUAUUACUACGAUCCCCAACAAUUACAUCAUUUGAUCGAUAACGGUUUCUCAGCUUCGAUGUUUUCGUUUUUGAGUGAGCUUCUUUCCCUUCUUGUUCCUUGACGAAUAAUUGAGACCCCCAUUGUGACUUUUCCUUUUCCAUGGAGUACGACCUUUCUUAAGUAAUGUAGUAUUGAUUCUUAUUUUGACGUAUACUUCAUCGUCAUCGCCAUCGUCAUCUUCCCUCAUUGGGCUGCCGUACUGGUCGUAGUCUUCCUCGUUGGCGACUCCAUCCAUUCCAAUGGUGUUACUUUUGCCUCUCCUCACGACAACACGACUGAGAUUGGUGAUGCCGGUUAUGAAGAAGCAUUGUGUCACAUGCUUAGCGUGUACCCAUGGCUCGUUUUUUGCGAUGGCGUUCACGGUAGCGCUCUUGGCGUCGGGUAUAGUCAUUGUAGUGAAAUACCGGUUUUCUCUUUCGACAUUUGUAAUGCCCCGGACACACCCGCCAGUGGUCGUUACUCCCGGCGGGAUCUAUACUGGCCCCACAUAUCAAUACUCCUGGCGGGAUCUAGACUGGCCCCACAUAUCAAUACUAGUCUUUUCUGCAUACUUUGUCCUCACUCAUGCGCACCCGGGAUGAACUUCCCGAUCGGUCACCCAUCCUAGAACUACUCCAAGCUGAGCACGCUUAACCUGGGAGUUCUGUUUGAUUGGGCUCCCGGAAAAGAAGGAAUUCCUUAUUGAUAUAAGUAGUCAAUCAUCCCUAAUAAGCCAGGCUAUCAAAACAUUCUUAGCCCAACUGACAGGGAACAUCGUCGCGCUGUGCAGUCGAGAGUAGUCAAGCUCCCAGAUCUCCUUGACCCUUCCGUAAAAUCUCCCAGUUGCGUCGUUGUUGUUGCGAGUCAUGCAUUCCAUCGUCACCCCUGAGUUCUGAAAAUCGUUGUUCAUAUAUUUGGCCUCUGUGUUGAACGUGUAUCCGUUGAUAUCGUAUGCUGAUAGGUGGCGAGGUUGGGCGAGGGGCCAUGUGCUAAGGCGUAUAUGAGCAAUCCAUCCUUAAAGCCCUCUUCCGGGGGAUUAGCAAGAAUAUGCUCUUUGAACCAAUGCAGGAAAGUGGAGUUGUGCUCUCUAGUAACUUCGGCGUCCGUCCUGCAUACCCACCGGUCACAAUACUUCUUUGCGAUAGUUUCUUUGUGUAGUGUCACAAAAGGAUCUACCUGAUCUAGGUGUUGUAGCACUAUGAAGUUUGCUUUGUCAAAGUUGUUGCAUUGAUCUAAAUAGGCCACAUGCAGUUCCCUAUGACCGUUGUAGUGACCUUCUCCUUCGAGCCUCCCAACGUGCUUGUUAAUGGGCAAACCAACAACACACGGCCGGUCUGCGUCAUAUAGAAUUUUUUUGCACAAAGAGAUGCACUCUUGUGUCAGAUAGCCCUGGACGAUGCUUCCAUCCGGACGGGACAUGUUACGAAUGAAUCCUUUGAUGAACCCAUUCAUCCUCUCGAACGGCAUCAUGUUGUGCAGGAAUGACUGCCUGAGGUCUAUUAUGUCAUCCACAAUAUGGACACACACAUGCACCAUGACGUCAAAGAACGCGGGCAGGAAUUACAUCUCAAGAUCAUUUAGUAUCACAACGAUCUCUUCUUGUAGCCUUCGGAGCUGCUUCAUGAUGACCCACAAGUGUAGGGGAUCUAUCGUAGUCCUUUCGAUAAGUAAGAGUGUCGAACCCAACGAGGAGCAGAAGGAAAUGACAAGUGGUUUUCAGCAAGGUAUUCUCUGCAGGCACUGAAACUAUUGGUAACAGAUAGUUGUGUGAUAAGAUAAUUCGUAACGGGUAGCAAGUAACAAUAGUAACAAAGGUGCACGGGGUUUCGUCCGCGUGCAAACAUAUGUCUACGGCGUAAAACAUCCGAAAGGCAACGAAAAUGGAAUAUUCUAGAUAUAUGUUGGUGCGACAUGUAAUUACCGUGAGGGGGUCAAGCUCAGCCAAACACGAAGGCCCGCCUAGCGCGCCAGAGACCGAGGACGGGCUGCUAUAAGCGGGUGCGGGUGUGGGUGCAGGAGCAGGCGCGGUUGCGUAAGUAGGUGAUGGUGCGGUGGCGUUGUUCACCGAGUUGCUCGCAACGAAACUGGGCAUCGGAAAACCAUGUACCGUCUUGUGUGGAUUUUCCUUCGUCCAAUUUAAGAUAGUCGGGCUAAAGUUAGUAGCGAAAUCAUUUCUACACGCAUCUACAGCUGCAUCGACUGCCUGCUGUAGCAACUCAUUUUUCUCCUCAACUGCUUUUUUCGCGUCCUAAGCUGCUUUUUUUCUCGAACGCAAGCUUCACCUUCUCGUCGACGAUGUCCGCCUGACUAGACUUCUUUUUCUACUUCUUGGCAUCCAGGCCAUCGUUGUAAAAGACCUUCCACGUGGCGCCAUCUUCGGCGCCGUGCACACGUCCAUAUUGUGGCCGCCGGUACAAAGGGAGUCCCUUAAGUUCGUUCAAGGCCCGAAUGAGAGGGGUGUCCCAUUUGGGCUUCAUCAAUAAAGACUGGCUUUCGGCUGCAAGCUGGUGUUGCUUCUCCUGUAGAAGGAACGUGAAUCGUUUACGAAUGUGUAGUCCACUUGAUCAGAAGCUAAAUGUAAGGUGGUAAAAGAAUAAUUACCAGUAUUCUAAUCAAUUUUCUUGUGAUCGGGCCCGUGUAAAAAACCUUAUUUUCCUUGUCCCACUUGUAGUGAACCCUGAUGAAGUCACGCUUCAAGGGGUUGGUGAACUUCGCGGAGAGGCCUGGGAGACCCGCGGCUUCACGUUCCGCGUCCUCCUUAUCCCAUAUGAGCCUUUUGCCAAGGUAGCCACGACUUCUGAGGCGUUGGUUCCUCGUGUUCCUUUGAUAAAGGCUCUUGAAUUUCACAGCCUUAGCCUUGGCUGCCUCCGUAGCACAACUGUCUUUGAACUUUUGGAACUCAUCUUCCGUAAGUGUCAGAUUUUCCUCCAGAAUCUUGGACAGGGGUUAACCAGCCUCAAUAGCUCGUUUUACCCUCCCUUUCCAGGAGGCCAAAUCAUUGUUGAACAUGCCCAUGACGUGAUUGUUAAUCUUUUUUAUCUUCGGAUCAUCCCACGGUUGUUCUAUGCUAUCAUCCCGAUCGGGGAACUUGAAUCUCUUGUGCAACUUCGUCAGGAGCAACUGCCUCAAAUGUUCUUUACUCCUUAAGUCAUCGUCAUUGAUGCUCGCGCAUUCUCGUAGGAUGCAUCCUACUUGGUUCCCAUAGAACUUGCGAGGUUCUUCCAGCUCUAAUGGCUCAAAAUUGCCAGGGGCCAUCUUUGUGAUCACCAGUCGUCCGAUGCGGAGUUUGUUAGGUUUUUAUAUCCUUUGCUUCUUCUGCUUCUUCUUUUCGGUAGCAGCUUCGACGCCCGUACCUUCCCCGUCGGUAUAUUCCCCGUGGCGGCGGCGAUUUUUCCCGAAAGCUCUCUCUUGAUUUUUUUUCUGGGAUGAAACCCUCCAUAUAGCAGAAGAUGGGAACCGGAGGGGUAAAAGUGGGCCCACGAGCCCCCCAGGCGCGCCUAGGGGGGUGGGGCGUGCUUGGCAGGCUCAUGACCUCCUGGUGACUGCCCUCCAGUAUUUGUUCCGCCUAGUAUUUUUUAUGUAUUCCAAAAUAAUUCCUCGCUGAUUUUCAUGGCUUUUGGAGUUGUGCAGAAUAGGUAUCUCAAACUUGCACCUUUUUCAGCCCAGAAUUCGAGUUGUCGGCAUUCUCCCUCUUCUUGUAAACCUUAUAAAAUAAGAGAGAAAAGGCAUAAGUAUUGUACCAUAAUGUGUAAUAACAGCCCAUAAUGCGAUAAAUAUCAAUAUAAAAGCAUGAUGCAAAAUGGACGUAUCACUUCACACUGAUCGACUUUCGAGAGAUGACGUCGAAAAAGUUGCACAGACCAAUAAGCGUGUCACAGACAUGCUUGUCCAUUAUCCCUUUAAGGGCAACACGUAGUAUCAGCGUCAUCAUAACAUGACAUUCAUGGGACUUCAUCCCGCUGAACCUUUUCUUCUUUGUGUCUAGAAAUCUGCUUAUCUUCCCACAGUAACCGGAACUAACUUUGAUUCCGGUAAGGCACUUGAAGAAUUGAUUGAUCUCUGCCGGACUUAAGGUGAAGCAAGAAGGGGGGCAAUAAUCCUCAUCCUUUACUUUUUUGCCCUUCUUCUCCGGCUUCUCUCUCUCUGUCUCCUCUGACUUUUUACGGGGGCGGCAUGUGUAGAUCUGCCCUGAUUUUCAAAUCUUGCAAGUCUUUUCUUGCCUUCGGCCCAUCCUUGGUCUUAUCCGGCACGUUCAUUAGUGUCACAAGCAAGCUCUCAAGGACAUUCUUACAAAUAUGCAUUUGAUCAAGGCAAUGAGGCGUGUCGAGUUUGUGCUAGUACUCCAAGUCCUAGAAAACAGACCUCGUCUUCCAUACCUUCAACAUCAGCUCCAGCGCCUUUUUCAUCGUCUUUCCUGGCACGGGGCACUGUUCCCAGUUUUUCAACAACUCGUCGAUUUCGGCACUGCUCCGCUUACAUGGAGGUCCUCAGUGCUCAGCCUCAACAUUGAAUAGAUUUCCAUAGUUUCUCCAUGGAUCAUCCUUCUCGAGCCAUCUUCGAUGCCCCACGUACAUGAUUUUCCCAGACCCGCCAUCUUUCAUUGACGUUAGCUGCUGAGACAUCAUAUCAUCCUUGCACCUUCUGCAUCCGCAAUACCCAUGGCACAACUGGCGUGCGACAUAUCCAUAACCGAGAUAGUCGUGCACCGUCGUGAUGAGCACGCCUCUCAUAUAGAAAUACUCGCCUUUGCUUGCGUCCCAUGUCUUGGCCGGUGUUUUCCAUAACGUGUCUAACUCCUCUAGAAGUAGCCCCAAAUACAGAUUAAUAUUAUUUCCUGGUUGUUUCGGCCCUUGAAUCAACAUGCUCAUGUGUAUGUACUUCGACUUCAUGCACAAACAUGGGGGAGGUUGUACAUCCAUACAAACACGGGACAUGUGCUAUAGUUGGUGUUCUGGUUGCCAAACGGAUUCAUGCCAUCGGUACAUGCGCCGAGCAUGAUGUUCCUUGCAUCACAUGCGAAAUACCGAUAUUUGUCGUUGAACGCUUUCCACUGAAUUCCAUUCACGAGGUGUCUCAGCUUCGAAUCAUCUCCAUCGUCGGGAUUUGUCCUCUCCGUGUGCCAACGCAUGAGCUUUGCUUCCUUGGGAUCUACAAAAUAACGUUGCAGACGAGGAGUGAUCGGUAAGUACCAUACAACUUUCUGGGGAGAUUUCUUCCCGCCCUUCUUGUAUCGAGAAGCAUUGCACACCGGACAGCUGGUUUUUCCCACGUGAUCCUUCUGAUAAAUUAUGUAAUCAUUGAUGCAUGCAUGGUAUCUAACGUGUGGCAGAUCAAGAGGGCACACGAUCUUCUUGGCCUCAUUGUUUUUAGCCUUCGUUUUCAGGAGUUCGAGCGUGAAACUCAAGCGGGUCACGUCGGGAUCGCAACCAUCAUACAAUGGAGUGUUCGAGUCUACCACUAGUUGCUGCACUUUGGCGUCCUCUCUAGAAGCAGCUCUGUCAGUACUCGUCUCCUUGCGAAACAGUGCUUGAACAUGAGGGUCCCGCACGAUUGAACUUAGUACCGACGAAGUCUGCGGCGUGGAGUCCAUGUUUUCUCCGCCGCCAUGUCCGACCCCUUCUCCGCCGCCAUAUUCGGCCCCUUCCCCACCGCCAUUUUCGGCCCCUUCCCCGCCGCCAUGUCCAUCCGCUUCCCCGUCACCAUGUCCGGCCCCUUCUCCGCCGCUAUUAUAGGUCAUCUCUUCGUCUUGCCCCGUGUCAUCAUUGCCUGCCCCGUUGGCGUCCUCAUCAUCAUCCUCAUCUUCAAUUAUCCACUGAGUAUAGCCAUCCAUGAAACCAGUCAUGAGCAGGUGCGCCAUCACACUACCAUCGUCAUAGGGGUCGAGCCAAACUCCUCCUUUGCAUCUUUGACACGGACAUAAAAUCUCUCUCCGGUUAUUUUCUUUCAUGUCCUGCACCGCCGACCAAAACCACUUGUCCACCAUCAUUCCACUGACCAUCAUGAAUGCAUGCACGGUAAUAAUAAACAAAUUGAUUAUAAAAAUACAUGCAUGCAUCAAAGUCAUACAAAAAUUCGGCAUGGCCUUCCCUAAAAAUAGGACAUACAGAGUUUGCCCGAAAUUCGCCGAAACGGAAAUAAAUCGACAUUUCGGCAAAACAUAGGCAACUCACAAGCACAAUUCGGCGGCAACUCAUGCCACACACAAAAUUUCCAUCAUAUCGCCCGAGAUCGAGCACGGUGAUGAUGAUGUCAAUGGGUGUCGCCACACACAACUAUGGAAUGGUCAAAAGUGGACAGAGCUCUUCUUGACAAGGCUAAAUCUAAUUAUGGAGGUACAUAGGUCACUUCACUAAAUGCUAGAUCUACCUAGCUAGCUAGUUUGGGAGGAGACAAGUUCAACUAGUGGAGGGGGGAGGAAAAAGAGAAAGGAGAUGCAUUGAUUAAGGUGGUGUAGUUAGCUAGGAGUAAUAAAGAGAGAGAGAAAGAUAUGUAGAAGAAGGAGAGUAAUGGGGUGGGAGAAGUAGUGAGGAAGAAGCAAAGUGAGGGAGAGAGGAGGUGGGAGCUAGGGUAAAGUGAAGGAAGAGAGGAUGGGGGAGGGGGAGGGGGAGGAAAAUGGUGGUGGCUGCGGUUUAGCAGUAGCGCUCGGUGUAAAACACGUUGCUGCUAAUAAGAUAGCAGUAGCGUGCUUCCGGCAGACGUGCUACUGCUAAGCAGGGUCCGCCAUGUGGCCAGGUUCAAAAUUAGCAGUAUCGCCCUGCAAAAUAUGAGUGCUACUGCUAUUAUAGUAGCAGUAUCGCGUUUAUUGCAGGUGCACUACUGCUAAACCUCGCUUGGCGGGAAUGGUCGGGCAACUUUACUAGUAGCGUUGUUCUAGCGAGACGCGCUACUGCUAAUUCUGUAGGAGUAGCGCCGCGUUAUUACACGUGCUGCUGCUAAUUAGCAGUAGAGCCCCUUCUUUUCCAGCGCUACUGCUAAGAUUCUAUGUAUAAGGUUUUUUUAGUAGUGAGGGGAUGGAUUUGGUGCCAUUUAUGGUGGGAUAGGCCUAUCGGGUAGGCUCUCCCACGCACCCCCAUAUCCGCCCUAGAUUUUGAGCUGGAUAUGAGGGGUGCCGGACAGUUCGAACGUUUGAGGCCCGUUUGACGCAUCCAUAUGAAUCACAUUUUCAUGACCGAUGAGCGAUCGGGCUGUCCGCUCAGACAUUUGAGGCGGGUUUGAGGCGCCCUUUUGUAGAUCCUCGUUAGCCGUCUUCGUGCAAAACCAUCUCUGAAAAUCUGGAAAACACAACAAGCGUCCCAUUUUCCCCCAUCCACACAAAACACGCAACACAAUUGAUGACACCUACGAUGAGGCGUGUCGUGUAGAUCAAAAGCGCGGGAAUAAAUAUCAUGCCCCCAGAAAUAGAGCGCUACAGGAACACAUGACACGAUUGAGGACACGUGUGUUGGCAUGUCGUGCUGACCAAAGGGACCCAUUAGGCGCACGACCUAAUCAAAACCAUGACCAAAUCUAAAAUUGGAUGUUUACAUGGGGCAAAUAGCUCCUAUGCGACGUUUUUGAGGUGAAUUGGAAGAAGUGCGACGUCUUUCGUCUGAAUUGCCCCGGUGCAACAUUUCUGAAUGAGGAAAUAUCCCAUGCACGACAUGGCCCUUAAUAUGAACUGAUGCCCUCGUUAGGUGUUAGGAGCUGGACCCACAACUUAUCCACGUAAGCACGGUCCCUACUUGGCAGUGCAUCUUGUUACGGGCCCCACUUGUCAGUGCAUUAGGUCAAACGUGUCCCCAUGCCUGUCCAAAUGGGUAUCCCCGUCUGAACCUGUGUUGCUCCCUCCUCUUCGUUCCUGGUGGUGAGCCAGCGGCGGCGGUGGAGGUUUUGUUCUGGGUGACAGCAGUGGCGACGCUUUCGUUCUCGGUGACGUCAACGGCUGUGGUGAGAGCCCUGUCCUGUCUAGUACCCGUCCUGUUCUCCUCCGUGUUGAGUUAGAUAUCACCGCAUCGUCUCUGCCCCCUUUGUUUCCCUCUGUUUUUGGUCGAUUUGACCAUAUUGCUGGUUAGGCAAUCGAAAUCUUUAAGAAUUGUGACACCAACAAGAUGAAGGGCAUGACUAUACCUAUCAAAGCCACUUUUGUAAGUCCUUACUCCUCAUGCCUUUGAACUUCGGUGAUGCACUUCAAUGGUUGUAAAAUAUAUUUGUAUAUGCAACACCGCAAUAAUUUGUUGCCAAUCAGAGCGUUGGGUCACCGCAUGGUGCACCUUUCCUCAUGGUCGGGGACGACGGGCCACCGGACUAGGUACGAUGAGGAGAAGCAUCGUCACAGUCAAAGACGACGAGAAAGAUGGAAAAAAUGAAGAAAAAACUUGCAGCAACUCACCUACCGGUGAAUCGGUGAUCCCGAUGAUAUUACAAAACUAAACAAAGGUAUGAUACAAUAUCAAGCCUACACCUAGCAGAAGCAAGUUCCCAAAAGUAGAAGGAGAAACCUCAGAUAUUUUCUUCAUCAAGCUCUUCACACAACCGAGACAUAAGUAUACAGGAGGUUGGAAUUUCACAACUAUUAUGGGUCAUACAGCGAGUGUUGCUAGUAGUGCCAAUUACUAUUUUGAUUUUCCGGCUACUUCACUCUCAUUGCAGAUCUUACUAAAACAAAUACAUGACACCAAUGUCUGCUGAAUUUGUGCACACCAUUUUUUCUUUAGAAAAUAAGCAGGUUAAACCCUCGGCCUCUGCAUCAAUCGAUGCAUAUGGUCAUCUUUAUUAAUUAUUCCACGGAUGUAUGACAAGAACAUAUAUCAAGCCAUCCAAAGUCACUACUCACAUCUGCAAACUUGAUAAUGGAGAAUGCUCUCACUUCUCAUAUAUCAAGCCAGGCCCGGGUUGCUUGGUUGAACUUGUUUUCAUUUGCGAGUUGGUUGAUCUGAGCCCAAUUUCCAGGACCUUUCCUUGUUGUUAUGCCUGCUUUGAGGGUUUUUAGCUUUUUUAGCUGUUGGUAGUUUAUGUGAGAUGUAAAUCGAAUGAUGUCUGCUUUCUUUCAAAACAAAAAGACUCUGAUUUUAUCUGAUGGUAACCAGCUCUCGGAUCAGAUCUGUUUCAUGUAAUCUUAGUAAACCAAACAGCACAAGAUAACUCAUCCAUCUCUCAGAUCAGAUCCAGCUUAGUAAACUAAACAACACAAGAUAACUCAUCCAACAAUUCUUCAACUACAUGCAUUGGGUAUUUCUCUCUUUUGCUAGCAGGAGAAGUAGUUUGUUCAGCCCGGACUUCAAAGUAGUCUCCCCCCUGCGUCCCCUCAUUCUUGUUGCAUGGAAUUAACGUCCUUGAGCCCAACCCCUCGUCCGCGACCUUGGCCACGGCAACGCUGCACUCUCUGGUAGCGCAACAAUUCUUCAGUUAACAUAGUGCAGCAAUUCUUCACUUAAUCGAUGUGGAGGAGCGUAACGUUUUGGUGGAGCUGGGCCGACCAAUGAAAGCGCAGCUCGCGGAUCGCUGACGUAGCCCUACUUCCUGAUCCAGACCGUCCAUUCACGGCGAUCCAAUGGUCCGGACAGGUGCAGGGUUUUGAUGGGGUUUUGAGGUGUUUUUGAUGGGGGUUUUGAGAGGUUUUCAAAUGUUAGGGUUGAGCAUAAGUAAUUCAAAAAAAUCAAAAAAUAGGAAACUUGUGGCAAUCAUCAUUCUAUGUGACUAACUCCAUACAAAAAAUAAGAAAUCUGGACUAUGGAGUUUUUCAUGAAAAAACCUUCACAAACUUGGCUAUCACGAUCGAGGUUGUAGGGUUUUCAAAGGUUAGGGUUGAGCAUAAGUAAUUCAAAAAAAAUCAAAAAAAUACAAAACUUGUGGCAAUCAUCAUUCUAUGUGACUAACUCCAUAGGAAAAAUAAGAAAUCUGGACUAUGGAGUUUUUCAUGAAAAAAACUUCACAAACUUGGCUAUCACGAACGAGGUUGUAGGGUUUUCAAAGGUUAGGGUUGAGCAUAAGUAAUUCAAAAAAAUCAAAAAAAUAGAAAACUGGUGCCAAUCAAUUUGAGUUGUUAGUAUAUGACAAAGUAAGAACAUGUGUACUGGUUUUCCAAUAUUUUAUUUUUUUAAUUUUUGAUGCUCAUUUCAAACUUGGUCAAACCUAAGUUUGACAAACAUUUAAACAAGUUUCAAAUAUGAAAAUGACAAACCAAGCCUGGAUCCUUCUUAGUCACUCCAAAAUGAAGCUUUUGUGAUGUUUUUGAAAUUUGAAGUUCAACACCCAAAACCACUUGUCUUCACACAUGAGUUUCAAAUUAGCUCCAAAGGGGGUAAAUACCCAUUUCUAAACAAGUUUUUUGUCCACCAUGUUUAAAACAGCKAAAUCAAUUUGAGUUGUUAGUAUAUGACAAAGUAAGAAUAUGUGCACUAGUUUUCCUAAUAUUUUUAUUAUUUAUUUAUUUUUAUGCUCAUUUCAAACUUGGUCAAACCAAAGUUUGACAAACAUUUAAACAAGUUUCAAACAUGAACAAGAGAAGUUCAAUGAGGUGCAACGCAAGAAUAGGAUCCCGAAGGAUGGCAUGCCUAUUCAGGAACGUGCAGAAAAGAUGAUGGCUCAAAUGAAAACAGGGCAACGUUCGAAACAGAGCAGGGGCUGACCGGUCAAUCUGACCCAUGGGCCACGGAAGUCAGCGGGCGUCACAUCAGUGUCGCACCCGAGCUACUUAUACAGUGAAAUGUGUCGUACCCUAGCUAUUUCCAGAUCUGCACCGCUCUCGCCCCCUCUCGGCCCUCGCCGCUGGCGACCCCCACCAAAACCACGCAAUCCAGCCCCACUGCCGCAGAUCAAGCGCCACCGUGCGACGAUCAUAAGGCCAGGAUCUUCCAGCUAGCGCGGCCAUUCCGACGACGGAAACCGGAAUGGGGCGAAGCGGACGGCGCUUGACUGUCACUGCGAACAGGCGGCGCGGGUUGCUUCCGACACUGCUUAGAAGCGCGGCGCGCGCAGGUACACCAACUAGGGGCUCGCGCCAUCGCGUUCGUUUGCUCGGCGCGAGGUGGAGGAGUACGACCGCCAGAUGGUGGCAGCAGCACCGCGCUCCUGUGCCGCGGGUGGCGCGGGGAGCUCCUCCACUGCACCCGCACCGCUGCCGCCUCCGAAUAGGGAGGGGGAGGAGCAGGGCUUUCUACCGGAAGACUACGUCGACGACGGCGACCUCGAUGGCGUGAUUUCCGAGGUUAUGGAGCGCACCAAGGAAGAGGCCCAGCAGGUCGCCGCGCGCCGGCAGAGGAAGAGGAGCGCGACGAGAUCCGCCUCCGCCAAGCCAUCGAGGAAUCCCGCGCCGACAGGGGGUGGCGCGCCUCCAACUCCAACUCUGACUGACCGGUGCCGCCGCCUCGUUGGGGCCGCACCCCUGGGACUCAGGUGAGCCCACUUUUGAAGAUCUAGUAGGCGUGAGGUAGGAGCUUAGGAGCCCAUGUAAUCGAAGGUCGAACCUAUAAUCGUCUCUGGAAUAUUGCUCCGAUGAGCCCUUGUAAUCGAACCCUAUCUAUGUUGCUCUAUGUUUGCUGGGAAAAUGGAUCUAUGUUGUUUGAAUUCAGUCGAUUUGCUUUUAAAUGCUUGUAAAUUUGCUUUUCUGAAUCGGAGCUCGUCGGCGUUUCCGUGCUUCGUCACCGUAGAAGAAGAAGAAGAGGGAGGAUGCGCGCGCAGGGGAAAACUGUUUGACAGUAGUCGCCGCAUCUGGGUCCCAUGCCAACGUGGAUAAGUUGUGGGUCCUGCCCGGCUCCACCUAAUCCUGAUAGAUAUUGUGCUUAAGGGCCAUGUCGCUCCUGGGCUAUUUGUGCGCACAGAGGUGUCGCAGCAGAGCCAUUCUUGCCAACGAUGCCGGUUUGGAGCGAGUUCGUGUCAAAAACGUCGCACAAGAGCUAUUGCCCCGUUUACACGUGAAAGAGCAAAAUAAGUAUGGAAGAAACUAGGGUUACAUGAAAUAAUAGGUGAAGUCAAUUCAUAUUGAUAGCUUAGGUAGUGUGAUCCUUGAAGAAUUACUCACGCAGUCGGCAAGACAGUCACCUGUUCUCGGUAGGCCAGGAUUCCGAGAGUAUUUGGUGGUCGGGCAUGUAUAUAUGGUGGCAGCGAUGAGAAUUUGUUAAGGUCAAGAACGUCGAGAAUCCUUCAAGUACCGCCUUCACUAUCCAAGCAAUGACGAGUAAAUUAUGUCGAGCUGUAGAUCAGAAGAAACCGGAUAAAAUUAUGUUGGCGAAACCUCGUGUCAAUCCUUAUAAAUUAAAUGUUGAUGACGCUUUUUAAGAUGAAACCAGUGAGGCACACAAUACAUAGUUUCAAUUUAAACCUGAAACCUUAAAAGCAGCUGCACACUUAUUGGAGAGAACGGGCGGCCACGCUCUGGCCGUGUGAUCGGCUUCACGCUCCCCUCCCCCGUGGGCCAGGUGUUGGAGCAUAUAUCUCCACAUGUGGUUUUGGUACUUGAUGACAAUUCCUAUGGACUAAUGGCUGCCUUAAGUUACAUUUAUAGGAUUUGUCCAUAGGCACUUCUUGAAGUCCAUCUGUUGGGUUCAAGGAGUUUAUAUGAUGACCAAGAUGGUAUUCAAGGUAUUAUCCAAAGAAUGGUCAUAGAGACACAUGGUUGAUCAAGAUCUCAGACAAAGAGUAAAUCAAGAUGAUCAACACACAAAGCGUACAAGAUGUACCGAGAGGGGUCAAGUGAUCCCAUGGUAUGGAUUUGUCCAUAGGCACUUCUUGAAGUCCAUCAGUUGGGUUCAAGGAGUUUAUAUGAUGACCAAGAUGGUAUUCAAGGUAUUAUCCAAAGAAUGGUCAUUGAGACACAUGGUUGAUCAAGAUCUGAGACAAAGAGUAAAUCAAGAUGAUCAACACACAAAGCGUACAAGAUGUACCGAGAGGGAUCAAGUGAUCCCAUGGUAUGGUAAGCAUUGUCCAUUACGUGUUUGUGUACUAACCCAUGGUCUUCGUGAGAGUUCUAUGUGGGGGUUAGGUGUGUUUACAUGGGCUUGCGUCAAAGGGAAGAUCUCAUACAACCCAUGGAGUAUGACGUCAAGUUGUGAUCAUCAUCAAUGGUUGAUCAAGAUCUCAAACAAAGAGUAAAUCAAUAUGAUCAACACACAAAGCGUACAAGAUGUACCGAGAGGGAUCAAGUGAUCCCAUGGUAUGGUAAGCAUUGUCCAUUACGUGUUUGUGUACUAACCCAUGGUCUUUGUGAGAGUUCUAUGUGGGGGUUAGGUGUGCUUCCAUGGGCUUGCGUCUAGAGGAAGAUCUCAUACAACCCAUGAAGGAUGACGUCAAGUGGUGAUCGUCAUCAAGAUGGCGGUGUGCAAGUUCAAGUGGAUCAACACGAAGAUAUCUUGCUUGAAGCCUGCUGUUCAUUGUGGUGGCAAUGUACUUGUGAAGAUAUGCUGAAGAGUGGCUCACCCAUAGUGAGUAUGGGGGAGCAAUCAACUAGUCUUCAUCAAGCCAACACAAUCAAGAAAGGUGGUCCAUCUUGAGGAAGCCAAGAUCAUCAUCAUCUAGCUCAAGAGGACGAGGUGCAAGGUAUAGGUUUGCCCUUGAUAGGUUUUCUGGUUAGGAUAGAUUGCUGUUCUAUCAAGGGGGGCUCUCAAGUGAGUAGCUUGAUCGUAUCGUUCGUUGAGAGCUCAAACCAUUUGCAUCCUUGCAUCAUACUUCUUGGUUCUUGUUUGGUGUUUCUCUUUGUGAGUUUUAGAGCUUAUGGUCAUCUUCGUGACAAGCUCGAGUUCAUCGAGAACGGAGUCCAUAUGCAUCUACUAUGAUGUUUUCGAUGUUGGAGUUUUUGCCGGUUCUUCAUUCAUAGAGAUCUCACAUCUCUAUAACUUUGGCAUAUUCAUAACCGCAUGGUCUUAAGCUUGGGUUUGCUCGAUUCGGAGCUCGUAUGCGAAAGUUAUGGCUGUUUCAGUGGCGAGCGGUAGUACCGCUGGAGUUGGCGGUAGUACCGCUGGCCCUAGCGGUAGUACCGCUAACUGGCGGUAGUACCGCCCCUGGUCAGCGGUAGUACCGCUCCAGGAGCUUAGUACCGCCUGCCUAGCGGUUGUUCGUGGACGGACCUUUUUGCGAAGACUUUCUUGGCGGUGGUAGUGCCGUUGCACUACCAUGGGCCCAACGGUAGUACCGCUGCAGCUAGCGGUAGUACCGCUGGAGUGCCAGCGGUAGUACCGCUGCAGCUAGCGGUAGUACCGCUAGCUGGCGGUAGUACCGCUGGAGUACCAGCGGUAGUACCGCUGCAGCCAGCGGUAGUACCGCUGGAGCUCGGGCAGAAAGUGGGGGUAACGGUGUGAUUCCUUCCCCCACUAUAUAAAGGGGGUCUUCUUCCCCCUUGGUCUGAUUCAUCCGUUGAGCUCUUGUUCUAUCUCCAUUGUUGACAUUAUUAGAGCUUGAUUACUCUCUAUCCCUCCAAUGAUUCUUGCUUGUUCUUGAGGGAAAAGAGAGAGGAGAUCUAGAUCCACAUCUCCACCAAUCACUUUCUCCUCUAUGUGAGGGGAACUCCUUGGAUCUUGAUCUUGGAGUUAUUUGUGAGCUCCUUGUUCUUCCUCUCAUAUUUCUCCAUAGCUUUUGCUGUUGUGGAGGGAUUUGAGUGUGAGGGACUUGACCACUUCGUGUGUUCUUGCCAUUGCAUUAGUUGCAUCGGUUUGAGUUCUCCACGGUGAUACGUGGAAGUGAGAAGUUGAGAAGCUUACUACCUUUGGUACUUAGUACCCUUGAUAUUGUUCUUCGUGGAUGCUUCGGCGUCCUAGAAGCUUGGUGGUGUCCCGGAGCUCAAUCAUUGUGGUGUGAAGCUCCGGGAAGCGUCGGGGUCUCCAAUUAGGUUGUGGAGAUUGCCCCGAGCAAUUUGUACGGGUACCGCUAACCGCCCCCAAGGGUUGCCACGUGUACGGGUUCGGUGACCGCCCCCAAGGGUUGCCAUUUGUACGGGUUCGGUGACCGCCCCCAAGGGUUGCCAUUUGUACGGGUUCGGUGACCGCCCUCAAGGGUCCCUUAGUGGAAUCACGGCAUCUUGCAUUGUGCGAGGGCGUGAGGAGAUUACGGUGGCCCUAGUGGCAUCUUGGGGAGCAUUGUGCCUCCACACCGCUCUAACGGAGAUUAGCAUCCGCAAGGGUGUGAACUUCGGGAUACAUCAUCGUCUCCCCGUGCCUCGGUUAUCUCUUACCCGAACCCUUUACUUAUGCACUUUACUUUGUGAUAGACAUAUUGUUUAUUGUAAUAUAUCUUGCUAUCACUUAGUUGUUUAUCUUGCUUAGCAUAAGUUGUUGGUGCACAUAGGUGAGCCUAGUUGUUUGUAGGUUUUGUGCUUGACAUAUUAAACGUUAGUUUUAUUCCGCAUUUGUUCAAGCCUAAACUUUAACUAUUUUAAAGCGCCUAUUCACCCCCCCCCCUCUAGGCGACAUCCACGUCCUUUUCACCAGGUGCCACCUGGCCGGGAGCGAUUCCACCGCUGGACGUGAGUGGGACUUACCUGUAAGUCGCAGAAUCACUAUAAUGGACGACGGUUUCGAAAUCCGAGCCCCCCAAAUCGCUCGUGAGCGUUUUGCUCUCCCAUUUCUCCCCCUCCUUCGCUACUUUAUCUCAAGCGACCACAGUGGAUCAGAGGGGAAUCGUGGUGGACUUCUUGAAUCGGCUGUUGUUGGAUGCUUCUCCACCGGUAUUCGUUGCUCCUCGUCGCCAUUGGAGGUACCACCUUGCUCCCCCUCCUUCUCCAUGUAUCGAUGGAUUCGAUAAACGCGGCGGACAGAGGAGUUGGGGCUGCGAGUGGUGUUACUGCGGGGGGGGGGGGUGGUGUGUUUGUUGGAGGAGAUGGGAGACGUGGUGGCGGCGUCCCGGAGGCCGCGCCACUGUUGAGUUGGAGGGAGGAAGAGGGGUGGGGGUGGCAGAUAGGCAGCGCCUCUAUCUAUCUCUUGAAAGGUAGGGAGAUAGUCAUUGUUGUUCGCCACACGUUUUGGUGGGCUCUGAGGAAAGGAUUCGCCCGAGAUUCUCCUCUCCUCUCAUGCUCGACUGCGCAUCUAGCUUCCCGUCCCAUAUGGUUGAGAUUUCUCCGGUGAUCUGUUCAUGAUUCGAUGCCUUGUUGGUAGAUGUGUGCAAUGUUGUGCCCAAUGUUGCAUGUCUGAGUUGGAACUUGGUUUUUAGAUUUUGUUUUGUUUAGUUGCACAAAUUUGGUCUCGGUUGGUUGUCUCAGUAUAUUAGUUGGUUGUUUGUAUGUUGCGCAUUUGCACUAGUUGAGAGAGAGAGAGAGAGAGGAGUUUAGGGUUGCUUGUCUAUAUAUGCCAAUUUUGUGUGCAAGGUUGCUUUCCUCGUUGUUAUAGUUGGUUGUGCAUAUAAUGUCCAGUUGCACAAGUUUAGUUUCCAGUUCAGUUGGCAUGAUUGCAUGUAAUUGUUUUGUCCUUGUUUGUUACAUGUGCACAGUGCUUAUGGAUGGUUAUGACUGUUGUUGCAUAAAAUUAUAUUCAGUGGGCUGCAUUGAUACAUUAGGUGGCUGUCCAUAUGUUGCUCGGCUUGGACUAGUUCCCUUGUUUUGUUAUAUGUUGUUCAGUUGCACAAGUUGCCUGCCCUGUUGGCUGCAUCAGUAUAGUAGUUGGCUGUCCAUCUCUUCUAUAGUUCCAUACUAGAUUUCCUACUUAUGUGUAGAGGUUUGCAGAUCAAAGCAAUUGGUGGUGCACAUGGCUGCAUUGAUAUUCUUUAUGUAGUCUGCUUGCGUAUCCUCUAACUUCUAUGUUUUUUUCUUUCUUUUUUCCGCGGGCUUAAAAUGGUUAUAAUACGAGGAGAUGCGGAUGGGAGAGAAUCAAAUGUAUUUUUUCAUUUUUUGUGUCUCUUUGACUUCUUUUCAACUUCUCCAUGUAUCCUUAUAUGCUUGCUUAAUUAGGAUUCUUCAAAUCAGCUCUCCCGCCGUAACUUGAAGCGUGCUGCGGGUCGUCAGACACGCUCUGCCCGUAGUGUUCAGCAGGGAGAGGAAGUUGAGGUUAGUGUCAUGCUCAAGUCAUAACCAUAUUUUUUGUGUUUCGUGUAAUUAAUCUUGUUUUCAACAUGCACAUUUUUUAUUUCUUAGGGUGUUGAUCAGUUCCGGGUUGUAAAGCGGAGUAGACAUGCAACAGUUUUAGGGGGAGCUGCAUCAUCUUCUAAGGUAAAUAAAUCCUGGAAUAUUAGUUUUUCUCAGUUAGAUGCACAUGAUUUGUGCAGCUAUUGGCACCACCAUCUAUUGUAGUUGCACAAUAACCAUUUUGUAGUUGACAUCAUUAGUCAUCUUUUUCUAAAAAGAGUUUUUCCAGAAAAAAUUGGCAUGUGUUGGCAUGCUCUAAUUUUGUAUUGCUGAUUAUUUCUGUAUCAGUUGGUAUACUCCAUGUUUUUCAUGUUAUUUUCACCACCAUGUGUGGAGGCAGUAGUUGCUAGAGGAGUAGCCUCUUCUUCUGCUACAACAGUUGCUGAGGUAUGAGGGUAUCUUUUGGGUUUAUGAGCUUUUGUACUGGUUUUGCAAACUUUUUCAUGUUGAUGUUUUUGUUGGAAUACUGUGCUUGUAGUUGCACAAUCCGUAGCUCUUGUAUUUUACACGUCGAGUCUAUUUUAGGUUAUUUCCAGUUUGCACGCUCGAAGUAUGUAGUUGUCAUCAUGAGCUUUCAUAGUUGCACAAGAACAUCACAUCAGUUGGCAUUAUCCAUUUCUUGUUUAUAUAAUUGCAACCAAGCAGUUGUCCCUCCUUUCUUCUAUAUUCAUUCAAGUCAUUUUUCCUAGUAUUUUAUUUUCAAUGUUUUUUUCUCGUCAACAGGGUAGAGGUGAAGGAGUUGAGGAGAAUGCAGGGGAAGAUGCGGACCGACCCUUACAAGCUGGCAGGAUAAGGACGUCACCAGGGCAGUUUGCUAAGUUCAACAACAAGCUAUCCCAUUGUAGAAGUCUGAGAUAUGUUCAAGAUUGUUUGGGGGUAUAUUGAACCUAGCAGAUACACUUCCAGCGGAUCUCAUGAAAUACCUGGUGCGGUGUUACAAGCCGGGAAGCUCUAAAAUGGUGUUUCCAAGCAGGGGAAGGAUCUAUGUCGAUGCUGACAGCGUGCAACCAGGAGAUUCAGAGAGACUUUCAACAUCACUGGGAAUUCUCAUCCCAAUAUAAGUGCAUGGUGCAAGAUGGUUCAGGAUAUGGCUGGAAAAACUGAUGACACAUUCUUUAUUGCCUGGCUUGCAGUUGCAUUCAACACCUUUCUAGAUCAAACAACUUCCCUGAAGCUCAGCCCGAAGUGCUAUGGACUUGUGUUAGAUCAUCAAAUGCUCAAGAACACAAACAUGUGCCUAUUUGUAGCAUAACACAUUAAUGAAGCUUUCCAGAACAUGGACUAGGACAAGCAAAUUGUUUGCUGCUACUUAUACCACUUGGUGGUGAGUGAAAAUGAGUAGUCACAUGUGCUUUUCUUCUUUUUUGCAGUUGCAGUUUUUGAAUAUCGUCUUAAUAACUAAAGUUUUUCUCUUUUUUUGUUUGUUUGUGCGACAUAUCCUAUACCUUGACGCACUUGUUCACGAUGUGCGAGUAAGCAAUUGCACCAUACGAGUGAAUGCAUGGGAUAGCAAUUUAAUUGCAAAGGUGAUCAAGAAAGACUUGGUAUCUCCUGGUGUGUUCGGCAAAUUACAAGUGAGUUAUCUUGCUUUUUUUCAACAACGCCUCCUGCUUUUGCAUUCUAUACUUGGUAGAUUUUGAUAACAGAUUCAACACUUUAUGCUUGGUAGGGUAGUUGCACAAAUGGUUUGAUCAGUUGACACAACAGUGACUGUAGUUGCAUAGUUUUCAGAUUUUGUUUGGCAGCUGCACACAUGUCUGUCUCACUUUUGUGGCACAUCAUCUGUUUGAGUCCCACGGUUUUUACCUGUGUGGUUUUUGCAUAGAUGUUGACAUAAGUUGGAUCAAAACUUUUUGUGUGGUGUUUGUUUGGCCAGUUUUUUUUUGCUUUGCACAGUUGCACAACAACGCUUGUAGUUGCACAAAUUAUAAUCAUUUUUUAUUCCAAUGCAACUUCAGUUUGAUAACCUUAUUGAUUCCUAGUAUUUUCACAUCAGCUUAAAGAGGAGUAUAGAGGCACACGGCAGACACCACUGUUUGGUGGUCUUUUGCAAGCUCAAGCAUUCAUGGCAUCCAAGUUACCACUAACCUACAAUCCGCAGGUAAGUUUUUGCAAAAAGGAGUGCAUUUAGUUGCAACAUGUUUAAGUUGUUGUUGAUGCAAUUCUGAUCUUUUUGUGUUCUCCUGCAUUUUUUGCAAUGAUGCAGAAAAAGGCAAAGAUUGUAGAAGUGGUUCAUGAUAUGUGCAAGUCAGUAACUGAACAAGUGGGCAACUUCAUUGAAGCAGUUGUCAAGAUCGAUGAGGAGGAACCAGAUAUUGAUCCCUAUGUACGGCAGUCAUCAUUGCAAACCAGCAGGUCAUGUUGUGCUCAACAAAAAAAGAUAUGGGAUGCAUCUAGACAAGAAGAAGAAGAAUAGUUUGUAGAAAAGGAUGAUGAAAUGGAAACAGAGCAAGAUUUUGAAGAUGCUAAUGACACAAACGAGGAUGAAUCAGAGGAGGAGGAGGAAGAAGAUGAUGGACCAGAGGAGGAGGAAGAAGAAGAAGAGGAGGAAGAAGGUGUGACAGCCCGAGACCAACGUUCCGGAAGAUUCCCCUUUUAUUCCGUUUUCGUCAUGUGAUUAUUUUUAUUUGUCGCAUCAUCAUCGCAUCAUCCGCAUUGCAUCGGCAUCCUGUUGUCGCCAGUUUACAAAACUUGCAUUCGUUAUUAGUUGUCGGUUCUCUCCGUGUUCGUCGUUGCCCGUUUUAUGCCCAACCACACACGCACGCACCGCGGCAUCAUCAAAACCUUGUUUUUAGAAGUGUGUGUAACACUUUCUCUGAUUGGGUUGAAACUUGGCGUCCGGUCUUAUUUCAAUGUAGGUAGGCCGCUUGCCAAUUUUCGUCGCAAUCGGAGUUCGUCUGGUACCCGAACGGUCGACCGUAGCGGCACCGUAUCCGGUCUAUCGUCGGACAUUUUUCGAUAUUUUAAAUCGCGUUGCCGGGUGCCCGUUUUCCCUCUCAUCUCCGGCUAGCCUACUCUACACAGCCACUUAGCCUUUCCCCCGUUUGAAACCGUUCGAUUCCGAUCGCGCGGUUGAAACCGGGACGAAAUUCUGCUAAACCUAGCCCCCCCCAAUUGCUAUAAUUAGACCCUCAUGUCAUUUUUAGACAACCUCUCUCUCUCCUCCUCGAAUCCCGUGCAAACCCUAGCCUCCUCUCUCCUCCCUCCAGCCACCGGGGCCCGCUCCAGCCCGCAUGAGGCCCNUAGCCUCCGCCGUAUCCGCGCCCCUCGUCGCCCAAGCUCCAGAUCAGGGAGGACGCCCCGAUCCAGACGCCCCUUCGCCAACCCCCGUGAAGCCCGCGAGCCGCCGCAUCCCGCCGGUCGGAGCCCCUGCCGGAAGCUGCCCUGCUGCCGCACCCCCCCCCUUGGCCGCCGAGCUGCUUGCGCCGCCGCCUGCACCUGCCAUGGCUGUUGCCCCGCCAUGUUGGACGUCCGCCACCGGCCGCGCAACUCGCCGGAGUCCGCCGCCCCCGGUCAUCCCUCGUCGGAUCCGGCAGCCGCCGCCCUCGCCCCACCAGAUCUGCCCUUCCCGCCGGCCUCGCUCGUGCACCGCCAUGGCCUCACAUCGACGGGAGGUGGGAGACGAGGCCAGCUCCCGUGGUCUCUUUCUCGCGAGGAGACGAGCGCCCGAGGUUGGGCCAGCCAACCGCCGCAUGGCGCAGCGCCGCCCUUGCCCAGGCGCGCCCCAGCCGGCCCACCUCUCUUGUUGCCACCUCGUCGUCCUGGGCCACGACCCAGCUAGGUGAGCUAGCCGCCCCUCUCUGCUAUAUUCCGCCUGAGGCGUUGCAUAGUUAUGUAGCACUUGCUCUGAUCGGCCCAGCAGUAGUUAGGUUUCGGCCCAAUAGCUUUCUUUUUCCCGUAUUGCGAUUUAGUUAAUUUCCCAGGAUUUCAGAAAAAUGCAUUGUUUUUUUCAAACGCGUGUAGUUUAUUAUCCGAGUGUUGGAUCGCGAUGAUUUAUAUAUGAAACUUGAUUAGUUUUCCAAGUAUAUUAUUAUUUUGCAGCUUGCAUGCAUGUUUGAAUUAGUUUGACUUGCCAUAUGCCUAGUUUUGCAUGCUGUCCUAAUAGGGAUUUAUUCCGUAGUUAUAUUCGUGCUUGUCCGGAUUGUUCAAACCCCGUAGAUGAAAUGCUCAUGUUUUUAGGGACCUUUUGCCAUGUAUUUUAGAGUAUUUGUUUGCAUUUUUGCAUGUAGGAUUCCGUCGCUAGUUUGUUAUAUCACGUUUAGGACAUAUUCUCGCAUAUACGUGUGGCGUUAUUUGUAAUUUGCAACCCCUCAUGUUAUAUAUGUUUUCAGGGUAGAAAAAUCCAUAGAAUUUAACUGUGCAUUUAGUUUUAGCUUUUGAGAAAGUUAGUGCGUGUGAUAUUUUGCUAUAUUGUUCUUUUGUUUAUUUUGUGUGAUUUAAUCCGUGCAUGACAUGAAGGAGUUGUCAACUAGAGAUUUGUCCUUGGAUAUGUAUGCUAGCCCCUGGUAAUUUUGGUUGCAAUAGAAAUCCAUGUUUAGGUGUUGUUUGCUUGCUCUCAACAUGCUAGAAAAUAAUGCUUAUUUGGAGAUGCUGAAAUAUUUCUAAGUCUGAAAUCUGUUAUAUUUUGUUGGUGUCUUGUCAUGAGUUUAUCUGGUGAUCUGUAGCACUUUCGAGGUUGGUGCAAUGGAGUUAGUUGUAGUCCUUCAGAUUCUCUAGCAUGUUGUCAAUGUUCAUGCCAUUUGGAGACUUGUAGCAUAUAGUUUUGUUGAUGUCAAUAUGCCUUCAGAUCGAAAACUGCACUAUCUGAAACUGAUAUUUUCACUAAGUCUGAAACUGUGUGUAAGAUGCUAUUUUGUGAGUUCUUUUCCUAGUGAUACAUGCUUCCAUGCUAGAUGUUAUUAGUAGCAUGUUGUAGUGCAUUUUGACCUCUAUUGCCUCAUGCCUUGGUUGAGCAUUUUGGAAUUGUGUAGCUAGUUGUUCGAGGGUGUAGAAAAUGCUAUGUGGCUGAUUUUGGCAGAUUGUAGUGAUUUCUUUUUAGCUCGUAUUUGAUGAACCGUUGCUCCGUUUGGAUCGUGUCCUAUAUGAAACUUUCUUAGAAUCUUGUGUAGUUUCAUAUUUUGUUGCUUCCUUCUUAGUUUGGGAUGUUGUGGAUGCCAUUUGCACACAUAUUGCAUUCAUGCCAUCAUAUCUUGCGGUGUUCGUAUCUUUUGAACCGUAGCUCCGUUGGAGAUGUUCUCUAUGUGUAAAUUGAUUGGAACGACGUGUAGAAUCACGUGAACCUAUUUAUUUUGCUGUUUAACAAAUAUUAAAACAUGUUAGUUCAGAUCUGUACAGAUUUAUAAUUUAACGUGUGGGGUCAUCUCGGAGAUGCUAUAUGUCGUUUCCGGCCUCAUUUAAAAUGCCUAAGAUAGAUAGCUUAGUUACGCUUAACCUCUUGCCAUUUUUAACCACAUUUAAUAUUGCCGUGUACCUAAUCGAGAGUGAACUAAAUAAUUUGUAUGUGGAGUUUCGUCAAUAUGCAACUCGUUGCAUAUUGAACUUCACUUAAUGUGUAGUGUUUGAGUGUUGUGAUUUGACAUGCCAUGUCUUGCAUAUAUUCAACUGAUCAUGCAUCAUAUUAGGUUGUGCAUAAUGUCAUGCAUUUGCCGUGGUGAAUAUCUGUGUUGAUGCUUGUUUCCGGUUUGCUUCGUCUCGAUUGAGUUCCGCAAGCGUGUCGGAAAGUGAGGACCCAUUCGGCUACAUCGGUUCGUCUGCUUCACGGAGUCGUUCUUCUUCCAAGCGGGAUCUCAGGAAAGAUGACCGUUUCCCCAGAUACCAUUACUAUCAUUGCCAUGCUAGUUUUACCGUUUCUGUCGUUAUGUCUCGCUGCCUACCACCUGUUUAAUAUCAGCCUCUCAACAUUGCCAUGAAAACCUUCAACCUAUUCACCACCUAGAAAACCACUGAUUGGCUAUGUUACCGCUUGCUUUACCAUGUGUUAGUGUUGCUAGUUGCAGGUGUAGUUGUUUCCAUGUGAUAACAUGGGUUCCUUGUUAAAUCACCAUAUUAAAUGCUAUUUAAUUAAUGCACCUAUAUACUUGGUAAAAGGUGGAAGGCUCGGCCUUUCUAGACCGGUGUUUUGUUCCACCUUUCCCCCCUUAGUUUCGACUACCGGUGUUAUGUUCCAUAAUUGAGCGCUCCUAACACGAUCGAGGUUGUUAUGGGGACCCCCUUGAUAAUUCGUUUUAGAUUAAAGCUGGUCCAGAAAGGCCCAACAUUGGUACUAUAUUUGUCCAACAUAAUAAUACUGUUAAUACUGAAAAGCAUAGGGCGUCAUGAACCCGAGGAGUAAUUCUACAUAAUACAGAGAGGGCCAGUGCUGAUGGUGCUGGUCCAAAACAGAGCACUGUGCGGGGCCAACCCAGGGCAACUUGGGUGAUUUCUAUCAGGCCACCAUACGCGUCGCUUAUCCGUCAUGUCCUGAGAACGAGAUACGUGGCUCCUAUCGGGAUCGUCGACACGUCGGGUGGCCUUGUUGGAUUAGUUUUACCUUUGACGAAUGUCUUGUGCAUCGGGAUUCCGGUGAUGCUUUGGGUAAUCUCAGAGUUGAGGUUUUCCACUAAGGAGUCCGACGAGAUCGCGAGUUUCGUGAUCGAGGAUUUCUAUGAGGCUUGUGGUAAUUUGUGAUGGAUUAGUUGGAGCACCCCUGCAGGGUUAAAUAUUUUGGAAAGCCGUGCCCGCGGUUAUGAGGAAACGUGGAAACUUUGUUUAACACUGGUUCUAGACAACUUGAAGUUAACUUAAUUAAAAUAUGCCAACUGAGUGCGUAACCGUGACUGUCUCUUUCAUGAGUUCCUUCUCCGAUCGAGGACACGGUGGGGUUAUGUCUGACGUAGGUAGGUGUUGAGGAUCAUUCAUUUGAUCAUCAGCAGUUCACGUCCGCUAUGCGUAGAUCUUCUCCCUCUUUAUUCUAGUACUCAUAAGUUAGCCACUAAAUAAAUGCUUAGUCGCUUUCUGCAGCCUCACCACUUAACCUUACCUCACCCAUUAAGCUUUGCUAGUCUUGAUACAUUUGGAAAUGAGAUUGUUGAGUCCCCUGUGGCUCACAGAUUACUACAACACCAGUUGCAGGUACAUGUAAAGGAUAUUAAGACGCGAGCGUGUUGAUUGUUCAUUUGGAGUUUCUUCUUCUUAUUCAUUGAUCUAGGAUGGGUUCCAGGCCGACACCCUCGGAUAGCAAGGAUGAACGUCGUUCUCUUUUCUCGUUUGUUUUUGUCCAUAGUCGGACCCUGCUCUUCUUCGUGAUUUAUGUAUUGUACUGAUGUGACUCUGAUGUAGCUUGUGGCGAGUGUAAGCCAAUUCUAUAUAUCUCAUUUUUUCGGUACAUGUACUUGUAACGAUAUCCAUUCUUGCGAAACGACGAGAUGCGCUUCUAUCCCUGACGAGGCCCUCGUGCCAAAUUAAGGAUAGGGUCGCAUCUUGGGCAUUACAGAAGAAGAGGACAAAGAAGAGGAGGAGGAUCAAGAAGAGGAGAAAGAAGAGGAGGAGGAACAAUAAGAGGACAAAUAAGAGGAGGAGGAAUAAUAAGAGGAGAAAGAAGAGGAGGAGAAAGAAGAGGAGGAGGAUAGAGAGGUUGACGGAUACAUUGAUGCGGGACUUCAUGGCUGUGACAGUGAAGGAGAUGAUGAUGAUGAAGAAGACAAGGAUGUUGAUCAUUAUGAUCAAGGGAAAGAGGGUGGAGACAACGACACAGGCGAUAACAAUGAUUACAGGGGCCGUGAUUCUGGGGGUAUAGGAGGCAACACAACUAGGCGGCUAGCAGCAGUGACAAUCCUGGUAGCAGCAACAACUCAAUGAAUAGCAAGAGCACACUACAGAUGUGGAUGGACAAAACUUGCUGGAAGGAUGAGGAUGUUCCAAAGUCAAAGAAAAAUGAUGAACCGUUGUCUCAAGACAGCAUUGGCAUGUUCAAGGUUUGCAACUUGAAGACCAUUUUCCCAACCACUUUUCCUGUUCUAGUUUUUCAUCUUCAAGGGAUGUAUGACAAGGAGGGGCCCUAGGUGAGUGUGCCAACUACAACACUCUUGUGAACCAAGCCAACUAAUGAUGCACCAGUGAGUGUGCUGCAACUGGAAGGAGAGACCCUAGGCCAUCAACCCAUAUGCAGGUCAAGCUCAUACACCUUUCAUGGCGACGGGUAUUGCGAUGCACCAACUUUUGACCUUGGUAUAGAUGGUACCACCGAGCCUAUUGCACCAGCACAAAUAGGAGAAGCAAAUCUGGAUUCAGUAAGAGUGAAUGAGGCAUGUGAUGCUGCUCAUGCGGGCAAGGGAUUAGUUCACCCUCUAGAUGUUGCAUCACCAGACAGCUCCACACCCCGAUUUGCGGAGAAGCGGAAAGUUGGCACGAGUAGUUCUUCACGACCAGUUGUCGCACGAAGACAGAGGAGGAUAAUAAGACCCGGAUCAUCUCAACGGUCCCCAUUCAUUGAUUACAACAAAAAGAAGAUUUUUAACAGCAUUGAAACAAUCAACAAGCUCUUCGCUGCUCUCGUGUAUUGGGUUAGAAACCACCCAGGAGCAAAUGAUGUUGCCACCAGGUAAACCAAUAGCACCCACUUAGUUGCAUAAUACCACCCAUUUAGUUGCACACCAAAGCAGAGCAGGUUGCACAAAACAGGGCUUGUAGUUGUAGACUCUCAACUUUUUGUUUAAUAUACAAUAUUCUAGAGCACCGACCCUUGAACUUAACUUUCCUUUAAUUUUUCAGCCCUAAGAUAGUAAAUUAUGAUGGUUUCUACAUUUCUCUAAGGAGUUGGUCGAUUCCAUGAAGCCUCUUCAAUGGCUGUCAGGCAUGGUUAUUGAGAUUGCAAUCAUACACAUCAUCAAAAACUUAUCAGAAGGGUCAAAGAAAUUCAUUAUGCCACUGAGGCUAUGUGUAAGAUUUUUCAAAGCUUUUUCCCAUCUUAUUUUUGGACCAUUUUUUACUUGAACUUUUUAUUAACCUAUUGUGUGUUCUUUUUUAUCUAAUAAGGAGUUGCCACAUGUUUAUCAUUUCUGCACGCGAAGUUACAACAAGGGAUUUACAAUGUGUCAAACAUAAACAAAAGAUUCGAAUACAAGAACCGACUUGACAAAAAAGACAUGGUCAGUGUUGUCUGCACAUGAUCACUCUAUUAGUUAUCACUCAUAGCAAGCUCAGUUGCACAUGAUACAUCUGUUAGCUGUCAUAAACACAUAUAGUUUUUGGCAACCUGUUAACCUCACCAUUUUUUACUGCUACCUACAACGUUCUUUGCAUUUGAAUGUUUUUUGCUCAUGUGUUCACGUCAUGCUGCCGGUGCUUGAGUGGUCUGAUCCAAACCACCCCGAAGGAGGCAGACACUAUUGGGUCUUCAACGUCAACUUGAGGGAUGAACGAUUCGAAGUUCUUGAUUCUAAUAGGAAGCUGGAUGACAUUGAGUUGAUGAACACUGCCUCUACCAUCGCGGGGGAAGUACGGAUGCUAUGGAGGAAGCAUUACCCAAAGUCCAGCAUUGAACACUUCGAGAUCAUAGACAUCAAUGUACCGAAGCAGCACAUGAAGUAAGACAAGAAGCAUGUUAUUCUUCCAGAUCUGUAGUUUUUUAAAUUUUAUAGACGUACAUUUUUUCUUCUUCAAAUGCUUAUUUGUAUCAAGACACGUAAUUAGUUUGCACGGGAUAAUCUAGGCAGUUGCACAAUGGACAUCAUUAGUUGGACAGUGGUACAUAAUUAGUUGCACAGCGGAGACAUAUGCAUCAGCUUUUGGAAUUUAAAUUUGUGUAUCACUUGUGUUUUUCCUACAACGAUGAUUGUGAUUUGUUCGUAGUGUUGAAUGCUACUUAUUGGGAUGGUAGCCAACUGCCCAAGUACGAUCCCAAGGAAGUCUUCAACAUUAGGAAGAAGCUAACAUAUGAUUGGGUAACCAGUGUGCACAACUCCGCCCAGUGGAAGAAGGUGCUGAAAUAUGAGAAGGACUAGGUCAGGACUUUUUAUCCUCCACCCUUUUUUGAAUGCUUUGUUGGUUUGCACAAUUCUGCAUAGAUUUUGUUGAACUAAUUUUGCACAAUUUUUCUGUUGAACUAAUUAUGUUGCACAAUUCCGCAUAUGUGUAUUUUGUCAUCACUUUGUUGGCACACAUUAGGACCACCGGGUAUACAACUGUUCAACAACAGAAAUUUAAACUCUUUUGCAAACAAAGGCACAAAUAGUAGCCUUAGACACUCCACCCUAAUAAAUUUUACAGAAAAGAACUUAGAGAAAUGAAAGCAUAGUUGUUGAAUAUGUCCCCUUGGAGCCAACAUUGCUAAAAACAUCAUCAUUGUUUCAUGUAAACAAUGCAAGACAAUCAUAGCAGCCUCUGUGGGAAUCCACCAGCAGUGUGCUCUGUAGAUUGGCAGUGGCUGCAUUUGUAUUUCUUCUUCGGGUGUAGCUCCAUAGCCGAUUUGUACCAUCUAUUCUUCGCCCUACUUUUUGUAGUUGACCUUGGGGGAUCCCUGGGCACAAAAUCAACACAGGCUUCUGCAGGGGACGUAGCUUCCAUUGGGGUAGUAGGACUAGUGUGCGCAGUUGUUGGGCCACCAUGAGGUUGCGUAUAAUGACAUGUAGGUAACAAUGAUAAAAAGGUCAGUGUUUGCGCAACAAGGAGCAUUGUUAUGUGCAAACCACACAUCUCAUGUUGCGCAACUAAGCGGGUGUAGUUUGCAAGUUAAGUUGAAAAGAAAACCUGCAAGAGCACAACCCAUGGAGGCAGUUGGCUGGUAAUGACCUAUACAUGUAACAAUAAAAAUAAGUUACUGGUUCACGUUCUUCCUCGAAGAGUCAUAGCACGCACAAUUGGUUUUUGUGGUGGUGUGCGUAGGCCGAAGUAAUUCUCACGUGUGCGCAACGGAAUAGCAUGCUCUGUGCAACUGGGCAUCAUUGUGUGUGCAACUGAAAUUAUGCAUGUAGUUAGUUUGGUAGUCGGGGCAGGUAAUUACCUACAGGAUGAUGUCCUUGAGCACUGCUUGUAGGGACAUUGGGAGGAGGAGGUGAGGCACUUCUUGUUGGGCCGGGCGGGGGAGGAGGUGGCGGAGCAUUUUAUGUAGGUCCACGUGGUGGAGGAGGUCCUCGAGGGGUUAGCAUCAUCUGCUCGCCCCAUUGCAGUAGCUAGUUUUUUCUUUUUCUUGGACUUGUUGAGGUGACUGAUUUUAGUACGCGCUCCGCAAUUAUGCUUGUAUACAAUGGCCUAUGCUGCAUCAGAUCCACUUGCAAAUUUGGACAAUUUUUUAAAAUCCACUGUCAUGUUUCUUUGUCUUAUCCGCUUCUUUGAUUGGCGAGGCAUUUUAUGUGGUGACUCAUAGCCAGACAGCAGUAGGUGUCCACCGUUGAAUCAUGCACCAUUCCGUUAUGAUGUCAAAUCCAAGAUGGGUGAACACCUUGAGGAUGUGGAAACAAAGCAUGCCAUAUUUAUCCAUUUUGCAGCACUCACACAGAUAUGAACCCUCAUCCACGUUCGCCUGCACCAAGUAGUUUUGAGAACCAUAUUUGACAACAAACUCCUGGUUCUGUCUGAGCUCAAAAACAUCAACACCAACUUGUAAUCCAUUAUAGCGUCCAAUCAGCUCAAACUCUUCUGAGAAUGUGCGAUAAAGGUCUCUAGUGUAGGUUUCGUAAGCUUGCCUCUCUAUUGGGAAUCUCGACCAUAGCUCAAUCUCAAGGUGUUCUGUCCUGUAAUCAUUGCAGCCUCCUUGGCAAGGAUGUGGGUUUGAAUUUUUUUCAUAUUGCUUGACAAACUUUAGGAUUGAGUUGUGUGGAUUCACAUAUCUCUUUAGGACGGCGUUGAACCCCUCACUACGUUGUGUAGACUGCAGGAAGGGGAAGUACCUGUGCUUGAAGUAGCAAGGCACCCAAGUUGACAUGUAUUUGUUGGAAAUAUGCCCUAGAGGCAAUGAUAAAAUAGUUAUUAUUAUAUUUCCUGUUUCAAGAUAAUCGUUUAUUACCCAUGCUAUAAUUGUAUUGAAUGAAAGCAUAGAUACAUGUGUGGAUAUAUACACAAAACAAUGUCCUUUGUAAGACUCUAGUUGACUAGCCAGUUGAUCAAGGAUGGUUAAGGUUUUCUGACCAUAUGCAAAGUGUUGUCACUUGAUAACUGGAUCACAUCAUUAGGAGAAUGAUGUGAUGGACAAGACCCAAAUUAUAAACGUAGCAUGUGAUCGUUUCAUUUUGUUGCUAUUGUUUUCUAUGUGUCAAGUAUUCAUUUCUAUGACCAUGAGAUCAUGUAACUCACUGACACCGGAGGAAUACCUUGUGUGUAUCAAACGUCACAACAUUACUGGGUGACUAUAAAGGUGCUCUACACGUAUCUCCGAAGGUGUCUGUUGAGUUAGCAUGGAUCAAGACUGUGAUUUGUCACUCCGUGUGACGGAGAGGUAUCUCGGGGCCCACUCGGUAAUACAACAUCACAUAUAAGCCUUGCAAGCAAUGUGACUCAAGUGUUAGUCACGGGAUCUUGUAUUACGGAACGAGUAAAGAGACUUGCCGGUAACGAGAUUAAAAUAGGUAUAGAGAUACUGACGAUCAAAUCUCACGCAAGUAACAUACCGAAGGACAAAGGGAAUGUUAUACGGGAUUAUAUGAAUCCUUGGCACAGAGGUUCAACCGAUAAGAUCUUCAUAUAAUACGUAGGAUCCAAUAUGGACAUCCAGGUCCCGCUAUUGGAUAUUGACCGAGGAGUGUCUCGGGUCAUGUCUGCAUAGUUCUCGAACCCGCAGGGUCUGCAUACUUAAGGUUCGGUGACGUUUUAGUAUAGUUGAGUUAUAGGCGUUGGUGACCGAAGGUUGUUCGGAGUCCCAGAUGAGAUCACGGACGUCACGAGGGAUUCCGGAAUGGUCCGUAAACGAAGAUUGAUAUAUAGGAUGGUUUCAUUUGGUCACCAGAAAGAUUUCGGGCAUUACCGGCAGUGUACCGGGAGUGACGAAUGGGUUCCGGGUACUCACCGCGAGGGGCCCACCCACCCGGGAGUGAGCCCAAUAGUCCUAGGGUGGCGCACCAGCCCUUAGUGGGCUGGUGAGGCCAGCCCAAGUGGGCUAAGGCGCCAAGGAAAGAAAAACCAAAAGAAAGGGGAAAAAAGAGAGAGGGAGGUGGGAAGGAAGGAGUGGACUCCUCCUCCUCCAAACCGAAUUGCAGUGGGAGUCCAUCUCCUCCUUCGGCCGGAGCCCUUGGGGCUCUAUUGAGCCAAGGCUAGCCCCUCCCCUCCUCCUAUAUAUACUAGAGGUUUUAGGGUUUUUGAGACACAACUUUGCCACGUGCAACUCAAACCUAUACCUCAUAGUUCUUCCUCUAGAUCAGAUUUCUGCGGAGCUCGGGUGGAGCCCUGCAGGAAUAGAUCAUCAUCAUCACCGGUGCACCGUCACGCUGCUGGAGAACUCAUCUACCUCCCCGUCUCUCUUGGUGGAUCAAGAAGGCAGAGAUCGUCAUCGAGUUGUACGUGUGCUGAACACGGCGGUGUCGUCCGUUCGGUGCUAGAUCGGGACGGAUCGUGGGACGACGGUGAUUUGAAUCACGAAGCUGUACCACUACAUCAACGCGUUUCUUAACGCUUCCCGCUUAGCGAUCUACAAGGGUAUGUGGAUCCGAUCUCCCUCUCGUAGAUGAACAUCACCAUGAUAGGUCUUCGUGUGCGUAGGAAAAUUUUUGUUUCCCAUGCAACGUUCCCCAACAGUGGCAUCAUGAGCUAGGUUCAUGCGUAGAUGCAAUCUCGAGUAGAACACAAAAGUUUUUGUGGGCGUUGAUGUUUCAUUUUUUGCCCUCCUUAGUCUUUUCUCGAUUCGGCGGUAUUGUUGGAUUGAAGCGGCCUAGACCAACAUUACUCGUACGCUUACGAGAGACCGGUUUCAUCGACCAACAUGCAACUCGUUGCAUAAAUAUGACUGGCAGGUGUCGGUUUCUUCAACUUUAGUUGAAUUGGAUUUGACCGAGGCGGUCCUUGGAGAGAGGUUAAAUAGCAAUUUGCACAUCUCCAUUGUGGUUUUUGCGUAAGUAAGAUGCGAUCAUACUAGAUACCCAUAGAGCCACGUAAAACAUGCAACAACAAAUUAGAGGACGUCUAACUUGUUUUUGCAGGGUAUGCUUGUGAUGUGAUAUGGCCAAAGACAUGAUGUGAUAUAUUGAAUGUAUGAUAUGAUCAUGGUGUAAUAGUUAAUAUCGACUUGCACGUAGAUGCUACGGCAACCGGCAGGAGCCAUAGGGUUGUCUUUAAACUAACGUUUGUGUUUGUAGAUGCGUUUACUAUAUCGCUAGGUUGUAGCUUUAGUAGUAAUAGCAUAGAUAGCACGACAACCUCGAUGGCGGCACGAUGAUGGAGAUCAUGAUGAUGGAGAUCAUGGUGUGGCGCGAGUGACAAGAAGACCAUGCCGGUGCUUUGGUGAUGGAGAUCAAGAAGCACAAGAUCAUGGCCAUAUCAUGUCACUUAUGAAUUGCAUGUGAUGUUAAUCCUUUUAUGCACCUUAUCUUGCUUAGCACGACGGUAGCAUUAUAAGGUGAUCCCUCACUAAAAUUUCAAGAUAAACUUGUGUUCUCCCCGACUGUGCACCGUUGCGACAGUUCGUCGUUUCGAGACACCACGUGAUCAUCGGGUGUGAUGGACUCAACGUUCACAUACAACGGGUGCAAAACAGUUGCACACGCGGAACACUCGGGUUAAACUUGACGAGCCUAGCAUGUGCAGACAUGGCCUCAGAACACAAGAGACCGAAAGGUCAAGCAUGAAUCGUAUAGUUGAUAUGAUUAGCAUAGAGAUGUUUACCACUGAAACUAUACUCAACUCACGUGAUGAUCGGACUUGACUUUGUGAAUUUGGAUCAUGCCACACUCAAGUAACUAGAGGGAUGUCUAUUUGAGUGGGAGUUUAUUAGUAAUUUGAUUAGUUAAACUCUAAUUGUCUUGAACAUAGUCUAAGCCCACUUUGCAAUAUUUUAUGUUGUAGAUCAAUGGCUCACGCAGUAGCAACCAUGAAUUUCAAUACGUUCCUAGAGAAAGCUAAGCUGAAAGAUGAUGGUAGCAACUUUGUAGACUAGUCUCAUAAUCUUAGGCUCAUCCUAUAAGCUGGGAAAAAGAAUUAUGUCCUUGAUGCUGCGCUAGGAGAUGAACCACCCGCUACGUCUGACCAAGAUGUUUUGAACGCUUGGCAAUCACGUAAGGAGGACUACUCAGUAGUUCAAUGUGCAGUCUUGUAUGGCUUAGAACCGGGACUUCAACAACGCUUUGAGCAUCAUGGAGCAUAUGAGAUGUUCGAGGAGUUGAAGUUUAUCUUUCACAAGAACACCCGGAUCUAGAGGUAUGAGACCUCCGAUAAAUUCUAUUCUUGCAAGAUGGAGGAGAAAUCGUCUGUCAGUGAACAUGUGCUCAAAAUGUCUGGGUACUCAAACCGUCUAGCUGAGCUAGGGAUUGAACUCCCGCAAGAGGCUAACACUAACAAAAUUCUUCAAUCACUGCCACCUAGCUAUAAGAGCUCUGUGUUGAACUAUAACAUGCAAGGGAUGAACAAGUCACCCGGCGAGUUAUUCGCGAUGCUGAAAGUCGCAGAGUCAGAACUCCGGAAAGAGCGUCAAGUGUUGAUGGUCAAUAAGACCACUGGUUUCAAGAGAAACGGCAAAGGCAAGAAGGGUAACUCCAAGAAGAGCGGCAAAACUGUUGCCAAUCCGACGAAGAAACCCAAGGCUGGACCUAAGCCGGAAACAUAGUGUUAUCAUUGCAAGGGGAUGGGUCACUCAAAGCGCAACUGCCCCAAGUAUUUGGCUGAUAAGAAGGCGGCCAUAGAAAAAUCAGGUAUAUGUGAUAUACAUGUUAUUGAUGUGUACUUAACCAACUCUCGUAGUAGUGCCUCGGUAUUUGAUACCGGUUCUGUUGCUCAUAUUUCCAACUCGAAGCACGAAUUGCGGAAUAAACGAAGGGUGGCGAAGGAUGAAGUGACGAUGCGCGUGGGAAAUGGUUCCGAGGUUGAUGCAAUCGGCGUCGGCACAAUCUCACUUCAAUUACCAUCAGGAUUAGUUAUGAACGUAAAUAAUUGUUAUUUAGUGCAUGCGUUAAGCAUGAACAUUAUAUCUAGAUCUUGUUUAUUGCGAGACGGUUACUCAUUUAAGUCCAAGAAUAAUGGUUGUUAUAUUUGUAUGAGUAAUAUCUUUUAUGGUCAUGCACCCAAUGUGAGGGGUUUUUUCAUAUUGAAUCUUGAUUGUGAUGACACACAUAUACAUAACAUUGAGACCAAAAGAUGUAGAGUUAACAAUGAUAGUGCCACGUUUUUGUGGCACUGCCACUUAGGUCAUAUUGGAGUAAAGCGCAUGAAGAAACUCCAUACCAAUGGGCUUUUGGAGUCACUUGAUUUUGAAUCACUUGACAUGUGCGAACCAUGCCUCAUGGGCAAGAUGACUAAGACUCCGUUCUCCGGAACAAUGGAGCGUGCAAGUGACUUGUUGGAGAUCAUACGUACUGAUGUGUGCGGUCCAAUGAGUGUGGAGGCACACGGCGGAUAUCGUUAUUUUCUCACCUUCACUGAUGAUUUGAGUAGGUAUGGAUAUAUCUACUUGAUGAAGCACAAGUUUGAAACGUUUGAAAAGUUCAAGAAAUUUCAGAGUGAAGUUGAAAAUCAUCGUAACAAGAAGAUUAAGUUCCUACGUUCUGAUCGAGGGGGUGAAUAUCUGAGUUUUGAGUUUGGUGCUCACUUAAGACAAUGUGGAAUCAUUUCACAGUUGACACCGCCUGGAACACCACAACAUAAUGGUGUGUCCGAACAUCGUAAUCAUACUUUGUUAGAUAUGGUGCGAUCUAUGAUGUCUCUUACCGAUUUGCCGUUAUCGUUUUGGGGUUAUGCAUUAGAGACAGUUGCAUUCACUUUAAAUAGGACACCGUCAAAAUCCGUUGAGAUGACACCAUAUGAGCUAUGGUAUGGAAAGAGGCCAAAGUUGUCGUUUCUUAAAGUUUGGGGAUGCGAUGCUUAUGUCAAAAAGCUUCAGCAUGAAAAGCUGGAACCUGCUACUGCGACAACAGACCUUCCCUGGUACGGCGCCAGGAAUCCUGUUGCUACGGCUACGCCUUUAGGGACUUCCUUGGCAAAUAUGCAAAGGAUUUCCCCGCGGCCUUGGAGCCUUGCGUUGGUGUUCCCUUGAAGAGGAAAGGGUGAUGUAGCACAGCGGCAGAAAGUAUUUCCCUCAGUUUUGAGAACGAAGGUAUCGAUCCAAUGGAAGAACUCAUCAAGUCACAAGUACCUGCACAAACACAGAGAGCUUGCACCCAACGCUAUGAAGGGGUUAUCAAUCCCUUAUAGAUUGUUUGCAAAGUGAGAACUGAAAGCAAAAAGUAAACAAGCAAAGUAAAAGUGAAAGUGGAAACGAUAGUUGUGAAUAGACCCGGGGCCGUAGUGUUCACUAGUGGCUUCUCUCAUGAAAGCAAGUAGACGGUGGGUGAACGAAUUAUUGUCGAGCAAUUGAUAGAACCGCGCAAAGUCGUGACGUUAUCUAAGGCAAUGAUUAUAUCUAUAGGCAUCACGUCCAAAACAAGUAGACCGAUAUUUUCUACAUCUACUACUAUUACUCCACACGUCGACCGCUAUCUAGCUUGCAUCUAGUGUAUUAAGUCCAAAAGAACAGAGUAACGCCUUAAGCAAGAUGACAUGAUGUAGAUGGACAAUCUCGUAUCUAUGAUAAAAGCCCAUCUUGUUACCCUUGAUGGCAACAACACGAUCCCUGUGUGCCUUGCUGCCCCUUCUGUCACUGGGAAAGGUCACCACAUGGUAUGAACCCAAAACCAAGUACUUCUCCCAUUGCAAGAAUCAUAGAUCUAGUUGGCCAAACAAAACCCAAGACUCGGAGAGACUUACAAGGAUAUCAAAUCAUGCAUAUAAGAAAUCAGCAAAGACUCAAAUAUAAUUCAUAGAUAAUCUGAUCACAAAUCCACAAUUCAUCGGAUCUCGACAAACACACCGACAAAGAGGAUUACAUCAGAUAGAUCUCCAUGAAGAUCAUGGAGACCUUUGUAUUGAAGAUCCAAGAGAGAGAAGAAGCCAUCUAGCUACUAACUACGGACCCGUAGGUCUGAAGUAGACUACUCACGGGUCAUUGGAGAGGCGAUGAUGAUGAUGUAGAAGCCCUCCAACUCCAAAGUCCCCUCCGGCAGGGCACCGAGAAGGGUCUCCAGAUGAGAUCUCGCGGAAACGUAAGCUUGCGGCGGCAGAAAAGUGUUUUCAUGGAUGCCCUCAUUUUUUCUGGAUUUUUAGGGAAUUUAUAGGCCAAAGAGCUAGGGCAGGGGAGCACCAGGGAGGCCACAAGCUUGGUUGCCGCGGCCCCCCCUGGCCGCCGCAACACGGGCUUCGUGGGCCCCGUGCCUUGGCCCUCAAGUCUCCCGAUCUUCUUCCGUUCUGUAAAAAAUUAUUUCGAGGAUUUUAUUCCGUUUGGACUCCGUUCCAAAAUCAGAUCUGAAAAGAGUCAAAAACGCAGAAAAAAUAGGAACUGGCACUUGGCACUGGAUUAAUAAGUUAGUCCCAAAAAAAAGAUAUAAAAGGUAAACAAAACAUCCAAAGUUGACAAGAUAACAACAUGAAACCAUCAAAAAUUAUAGAUACAUUUGAGACGUGUCAGAACCCAAAGCGGAAAAGUGCGUCUUCAUAUGAUACCCAAAGGAGACAGUUGGGUACACCUUCUAUCUCAGAUCCGAGGGCAAAGUGUUUGUUGCUAAGAACGGAGCUUUUCUUGAGAAGGAGUUUCUCUUGAAAGAAUUGAGUGGGAGGAAGAUAGAACUUGAUGAGGUUGUAGAACCUCUGCUCCCUCUAGAUGGUGGCUCGAGGCAGGGGGAAACUUCUGUCGAGGCGACACCGGUUGAGGAGGAAGUUAAUGAUGAUGAUCAUGAAGCUUUGGAUCAAGUUACUAUCGAACCUCAUAGGUCGAUAAGAUCAUGUACUACUCCUGAGUGGUACAGUAAUCCUGUCUUAUCUGUCAUGUUGUUAGACAACAAUGAACCUGCGAAUUAUGAAGAAGCAAUGGUGGGCCCGGAUUCCAACAAAUGGCUGGAGGCCAUGAAGUCCGAGAUAGGAUCUAUGUAUGAAAACAAAGUGUGGACUUUGGAAGUAUUACCUGAAGGUCGCAAGGCUAUUCAGAACAAAUGGAUCUUUAAGAAGAAGACGGAUGUAGACGGUAAUGUGAUAGUUUAUAAAGUUCGACUUGUGGCAAAGGGGUUUUUCACAAGUUCAAGGAGUUGACUACGAUGAGACAUUAUCACUGGUAGCAAUGCUUAAGUUCGUCCGAAUCAUGUUAGAUCGAUUAUGAAAUUUGGCAGAUGGAUGUCAAAACGGCGUUCCUUAACGGUUUUCUUAAGGAAGAGUUGUAUAUGAUGCAACCCAAAGGUUUUGUCGAUCCGAAGAAUGCUAAGAAAGUGUGCAAGCUCCAGCGAUCCAUUUAUGGACUAGUGCAAGCAUCUCGGAGUUGGAAUAAGCGCUUUGAUGAGGUGAUCAAAGCAUUUGGGUUUAUACAAGAUGUUGGAGAAUCUUGUAUUUACACGAAAGUGAGUGGGAGCUUUGUAGAGUUUCUAAUAUUAUAUGUGGAUGACAUAUUACUGAUUGGAAACAAUGUGGAGUUUUUAGAGAGCGUAAAAGAUUACUUGAACAAAUGUUUUUCAAUGAAGGGCCUAGGAGAAGCUGCUUACAUAUUAGGCAUUAAGAUCUAUAGGGAUAGAUCGAGGCGCCUAAUAGGACUUUGACAAAGCACAUACCUUGAUAAAGUUUUGAAGAAGUUCAAAAUGGAGCAGUCCAAGAAGGGGUUCUUGCCCGUAUUACAAGGUAUAAAAUUGAGUAAGACUCAAUGUCCAGUAACUGCGGAAGAUAGAGAAAAGAUGAGUAUCGUCCCCUAUGCUUCAGCCAUAGGGUCUAUCAUGUAUGCAAUGCUGUGAAUUAGAUCGGACGUCAGCCUGGCCAUAAGUAUGGCAGGCAGGUUUCAAAGUAAUCCAGGAGUGGAUCACUAGACGGCGGUCAAGAAUAUUCUGAAGUACCUGAAAAGUACUACGGAAAUGUUUCUCGUUUAUGGAGGUGACGAAGAGCUCGUCGUAAAGGGUUACAUCGAUGCAAGCUUUGACACUGAUCCGGAUAACUCUAAGUCUCAAACAGGAUACAUAUUUAUUCUUAAUGCGGGUGCGGUAAGCUGGUGCAGUUCCAAGCAAAGCGUCGUAGCAGAUUGUACAUGUGAAGCAGAGUACAUGGCUGCCUCGGAGGCAGCUAAGGAGGGUGUCUGGAUGAAGCAGUUCAUGACGGAUCUUGGAGUGGUGUCGAGCGCACUAAAUCCAAUAACUCUAUUAUGUGACAACACUGGUGACAUUGCUUUAGCAAAUGAACCAAGGUUUCACAAGAAGACCAGACACAUCAAACGAUGCUUCAACCUCAUCCGCGACUACGUCGAAGGAGAGGACGUAAAUAUUUGCAAAGUGCACAUGGAUCUGAAUGUAGUAGAUCCGCUAACUAAACCUCUUCGACUAGCAAAGCAUGAUCAACACCAGAACUGUAUGGGUGUUAAAUUCAUUCCAAUGUAAAUCACAUAGCGAUGUGAGACUAGAUUAUUGACUCUAGUGCAAGUGGGAGACUGUAGGCAAUGAUAAAAUAGUUAUUAUUAUAUUUCAUGUUUCAAGAUAAUCGUUUAUUAUCCAUGCUAUAAUUGUAUUGAAUGAAAGCAUAGAUACAUGUGUGGAUAUAUAGACAAAACAAUGUCCAUCGUAAGCCUCUAGUUGACUAGCCAGUUGAUCAAGGAUGGUUAAGGUUUUCUGACCAUAUGCAAAGUGUUGUCACUUGAUAACUGGAUCACAUCAUUAGGAGAAUGAUGUGAUGGACAAGACCCAAAUUAUAAACGUAGCAUGUGAUCAUGUCAUUUUGUUGCUAUUGUUUUCUGCGUGUCAAGUAUUCAUUCCUAUGACCAUGAGAUCAUGUAACUCACUGACAUCGGAGGAAUACCUUGUGUGUAUCAAACGUCACAACGUUACUGGGUGACUAUAAAGGUGCUCUACAGGUGUCUCGGAAGGUGUCCGUUGAGUUAGCAUGGAUCAAGACUGGGAUUUGUCACUCCGUGUGACGAAGAGGUAUCUCGGGGCCCACUCGGUAAUACAACAUCACAUAUAAGCCUUGCAAGCAAUGUGAUUCAGGUGUUAGUCACAGGAUCUUGUAUUACGGAACAAGUAAAGAGACUUGCUGGUAACGAGAUUAAAAUAGGUAUAGAGAUACCGACGAUCAAAUCUUGGGCAAGUAACAUACCGAAGGACAAAGGGAAUGUUAUACGGGAUUAUAUGAAUCCUUGGCACACAGGUUCAACCGAUAAGAUCUUUGUAGAAUAUGUAGGAUCCAAUAUGGACAUCCAGGUCCCACUAUUGGAUAUUGACCGAGGAGUGUCUCGGGUCAUGUCUGCAUAGUUCUCAAACCCGCAGGGUCUGCACACUUAAGGUUCGGUAACGUUUUAGUAUAGUUGAGUUAUAGGUGUUGGUGAUCGAAGGUUGUUCGGAGUCCCAGAGAGAUCACGGAUGUCACGACGGUUACCGGAAUGGUCCAAAAAUGAAGAUUGAUAUAUAGGAUGGUUUCAUUUGGUCACCGGAAAGAUUUCGGGCAUUACCGGUAGUGUACCGGGAGUGACGAAUGGGUCCUGGUUAUUCACCGGGAGGGGCCCACCCACCUGGGAGUGAGCCCAAUAGUCCUAGGGUGGUGCACCAGCCCUUAGUAGGCUGGUGAGACCAUCCCAAGUGGGCUAUGGCGCCAAGGAAAGAAAAACCAAAAGAAAAAAAAAGAGGGAGGUGGGAAGGAAGGAGUGGACUCCUCCUCCUCCAAACCAAAUUGGAGUGGGAGUCCAUCUCCUCCUUCGGUCGGCGCCCUUGGGGCUCUCUUGAGCCCCAAGGCUAGCCCCUCCCCUCCUCCUAUAUAUAUUAUAGGUUUUAGGGUUUUUGAGACACAACUUUGCCACGUGCAACUCAAACCUAUACCUCGUAGUUCUUCCUCUAGAUCGGAUUUCUGCGGAGCUCGGGCGGAGCCGUGCAUGAAUAUAUCAUCACCAUCACCGGCACGCCGUCACACUGUCGGAGAACUCAUCUACUUCCCCGUCUCUCUUGCUGGAUCAAGAAGGCGGAGAUCGUCAUAGAGAUGUACGUGUGCUGAACGCGGAGGUGCCGUCCGUUCGGUGCUAGAUCGGGACGGAUCAUGGGACGAUGGUGAUUUGAAUCACGAAGUUGUACCACUACAUGAACGCGUUUCUUAACGCUUCCCACUUAGCGAUCUACAAGGGUAUGUGGAUCCGAUCUCCCUCUCAUAGAUGAACAACACCAUGAUAGGUCUUCGUGUGCGUAUAAUUUUUUUUCCAUGCAACGUUCCCCAACAGUAUUCAUACAACUUCAAAAAGUGUGCAUGCUUUAUUGCCUCGUACAUCAUCAUUAACCUAGCCCAAUUCUGCUCAAACUCUUCUAGAGUUAAGCUGAAAUCAACACAAUAGUUGAAGUCAUCAGAGAGCCCUGGAUUCCUGCACAGCAGCCAAUCAACCUUUUCUUGAGCCUUUUUCAUGAUAUGCCAUCGGCAACAGCGAUGCACGGUAUUGAGGAAGAUUCUAACUAUUGACUGCUUCAUCACACCAUCUUGAUCGGUUUUGAAGUUAUCAGGAGGUUUUGCAUCCAUAGCGUCUAGGAUUGUUUGGAAUACCCAAUCAAAGCUUGAUGUCAACUCCUGCCUCACGAACGCGCAACCCAACAUAAAAUAUUAGCCAUGUCGGUUGAUUCCAAUGAAGGACGCGAAUGGCAUAUUGUACAUGUUGGUCAUGUAGGUGGUGUCAAAUGAUAUACAAUCAUGGUAUGCCUCCACAUAAGCUUUUCGAGCUAAGCCAUCCACCCAAAAUAUGUUGACAACUCUGUCCUCUUCAUCAUAUUUUACCUUAUAAAAGAAGUCUGGAUUAGUUUUCUGUAUCUCCUUGAAGUGCGCAAUUGUCUCAAUCAUGUCAUCCUCUUUGUGUGAUCUCUACGGAAACUUGUACACAAAUUUGUUAUUGCCUUUGGUCCGAAUGGUACCAUCAACUCAGAUCCAUAGAAUUCUGCCAUUAUAUGCAUCAUACAUCCUACAUAAUACAAAAAGAAAACAAUGUCUUUUUUUAGUUGCAUAAAUGCACACACCCACUUGCACAUCAAAAGGUCAUGUGUUGGCACAGAGGAUAAGUGCAAAAAAUGGACAGCUAGCUGCACCUUAAUAACUAACACAUCCAGUUGAACACAUGAUAUUGUUUAGUUGCACAAUGAAGGUAUUCUAGUUGCACAAAUGUACCAUAUUAGUUGCACAAUAAUAUAGAUGUGCAGCAACCUGGUGCACAAGUAAUAAAGUUGCUAUUAGGAAUUUUUGUAGUUGCACAAUGAAGGAUUCAUAGUUGCAGAGAAGUGCCAUACCACAACAACGUGUGAUCCAACAUGUGUAGUUGGACACGGGACCAUUUUGAGUUGCACAUUGAAGCCAUUUCAGUUGCACACCAGUAACAUAUCAGUUGCACACUACACUGCCUAGAUUGAAACUUAAUUCUGUAAGGGAUAUAGAAACACACAUCUAGUCACGUUGCAGUUAUACAAGAUACGCAAAAACUCUUUUCAUCCAUAGAAAUUCCUUGGUGAGAUCUCAAGUAUUUGUACAAUGAAGGUUUGUUCAUCAAGGGAUGGUUGUGGUCACGAACAAAGUGUGUCACCUCCCAGCGCUCAUCUUUCAGCUUCACCAACAUUUUUGCCUUGCGUCCAGUCUGCCUUAUUGUCUCCCGUUUUUGUUUUUUCUUUCUCCUUUUCGGAUCAGUCUCCUCUUUGCUGAAUAUUGGCGGUUCUUCUUCCAUUUCCUCAUCAUCAACAACAACUAUUGGAUCUGGUAUAGGAUCCAGGACAGGACCAGCCUAUGCUCCUCCAUCAUCAACUUUGGGUUUCUUACACUUGUUGCAACAAAACUGUUGUUUACGAGUUCAUUUGUGCAUUUUGUCCACCUCGAGGUGUUCAUAUUGAUAGGGAAACCCAACUGUACGGCAUAGCUGUUGUAAUGUUCAUAUGCAAUUUGAAGGUUGUCAAACCUCAUGCUAACAUAGGGUUCUAUGGGCUAAGGCCUAGCCUCAUCCUCGCCUUCUUCUCCUUGUACAACACCGUCAACAGCCCCAGCUCCUAGUUCAGUCCUGGUUGGACCAACAACAUUUGUCGUGGUGCCCGUGUCAUUUAGAGUAUGGCUCUCUGAGUGCAACGACACCACUACAGGGGCACCACAGGAUGAUGACUGCCCUGCCACAUGUUCAUGGCCCAUAGGAUUUUGCCCAAUACUUGGUUGUGUAGAGCGCACAUUUUCUGUCCCAUAACCAGUAAUACCUCCUGGCGGUAUGCUAGCUUGAUGAUGGUCCAUAUCAUAAGGAAGUUCAUUUAGAUCAGGAGGCAACUCAUUAAGAUCAAUCAUCUUUCUUUUGCGGCCGUUACUCAUGCCCUCCAAAUAAAAGAGAUGGAAUGGAAAUGGUCAGUUUCAAAUAACCUACAAACAUUCUGUUUUCAUGCAACGACACAAUCAUAAGUAGUUGCACAUCACCAGUAUGAGACUGUUUAGUUGCACAAUCUCUGUUUUUGUUUGCACACAGUUAUUAUGUUUGUUGCAUAAUUUGCAGUAAAUAAGUUGCAUGGAUAGAAAAUGGGACUUUUUACUUUACUGUUUUUCUCACAUUUUUUUGGUUGUUUGCUGCGAUGAUGUGCAGGUUUGUUUUGACAAGGAGCUGAUGUAGAUUUUUCUGCACAUAUGAUGAUGCUACAAUUGGGAUGGACAAAUCAAGAUCAAAGAAGAAACAAGAUUUUACUUUUAGUAUAUCGAAAAUAUAUUGCACUUUAGUUACAUGUAUCAGAGAUUUUUUUGUGUUUAUUUGCAAACAACCUAGUACCAAGUUUGCUAGAAUGCAUGUUUAGUUGGCUAGAAUACAUAUUCAGUUGGACUAUAGUGCAUGUUUAGUUGGCUAGAAUACAUGUACAGUUGGACUAUAAUGCAUGUUCAGUUGGCUAGAAUCCAUUCUUUUGUGCAACUUAUCCAUGCGUGUGCUUGUUGCACACAUCCACUGGAAGUUGGCUUUUUAAACCAUGUUUAGUUGCACAAGCAUUACAACAAGUUUUUUUCUACUAAAAUUCCCGUGAGCUUAGUUUGUUGGACAGGUCCAGGAGUUGGUUGGCUUGAAAACAUUGUAUAGUUGCACAUACAAAGUGUAUCUGUUAGGCACAGAGAUCUUGUGAUCAAAUCAUGGAGAGAUUUUUGAGAUCCAGAUGGAAGUAGGAAGGGAAAGUGAAGGAGGAUUGAUCUGGUAGCAAAAGGAUUUCUUACCUGGCUGAUAGUGUUGCCUAGUAAGCCUCUUUUCUCUUCUUUCUGGUUUUAUCACUAGAUUUCUUACCUAGAUUGACUGAUUUGCCAUGGCAACUCUACCAACUCUACAGGAUCUUCUCAGCCUGGUGCAUGGCCUGGGAUCCUUGUCCCUUUUCCACCUUUCUUUUGUGGCGAAGAAGCUGGUGGAGCAGCGGAGAAGAGAGGAUGUGCAAUGGGUACGUGCGAGGAUAAGGGCGAUGAGAAUCACGUGGGUGGGGUGGGUGACAACUAUGGUUGGCUUGUUCGGGGGUGGGACGACCAGUUGUUGCAGAGAACGGGCGGCCGCUUCCUGGCCAGGAAGAAUCUUUCCUUCCUCGGACCACGGGGACAUGCACUUUCCUUUCCUAGCCGGCCGCUCGCGAGUGCUAGCCAGCCAACGGCCGCCAGCUAGACGCGUCCCAAUUUAAAUUCUACUUUUAUUUGGGAUGGUGAUCCUCCCAGCUUUAUGUACAUUGUGUAUGAUGUAACUUUGAUUUAGGUUUAUUAAUAGUGUGCCAAGUGGCUUUCCCCUCAAAGAAAAAAAGGUUUCAUCAUUUGUCAAAUUGACACCCUAGCCACCUGUCUGGAGGGAGUACUGUUUUAUUCAUUUCAUAUGCCACCGUUCCGCUUUACAGUCAGCGCCUUCCAAACUCAGAAAAUGCUAACCACAUACUCCCUCCGUUCCUAAAUAAUUAGGAAAACUAACUAGUUCUUACCAACUACAACUAUAUAGGAACGGAGGGAGUAGAAUGUAUAACCUUCAAAACAGCUGGAUUAAACCGUUUUCAGAGACACCACCACCAGUCGCAGCGUCGCCUUGCUCGGGCGACACGGGGGAAUCUAGCGUGGCCGCCGUCCACAGCUCUCCCCUCCCCCACAUUCCCGCAUCAUCGCCGCCGUCGCACGGCUCUCCUCUCCCCCACAUUCCCGCAUCGUCGCCGCUGGAGGGGCCGCCGACGAAGCCCACGCGUGCCCCCAGGGAAGGUGGCAGUGGAGUGUUUUCCCCUUUCCGCGGUGAUGCACGCGCACGCGGCACCGUCCCAGAGGCACAGACGACCGCAUGGGUGCGCGAGAGGCGUGUGCAUGGUGAGUGGCCAGAUCCUUGCAGGGUUUGGUCGGAUCUGGCUUCUGCGCCCUCGGUGGCCGCGGCGGUAUGGCGUGCGACGCGAUGAGGCGGGGCGGCCAUGGCCAGGGGCGCGGCAAGGUGAGGAGGAGGCCGCACACGGAGGUGCGCGGCGCGAGCAAGGGCGCGGAAGUGGCUACAGCAACACGGGGUGGCGGCGCGUGCAAGGGGCGGUGGAGCUCUCGCCGAUCUGGCGAGGUGUCUAGGGCAUGAGGAGCGGCGGUUUGGGCGAUGCCUAGCAGGGAGGCUCGGCAGGCGCCCGCUCGAGGUCCGGGCAGCUCGUGUGUGCGGUGGGAGGGCCGAGGCGAGUCGUGGUGCCGCUGCUCCGGCAAGGCGCUUGGGGAGGGGCUCCGACGUCAUGUACGGUGUCGGGGACGAUGGGCUUCUUCGUCUUCGAGGUGGCUCGGUGGUGGUGCCAGGUGGUCGCCGUGGUGAGAUGAUGUGUAGAUGUGGUGGUGAUGUUUGGUGAGCUUGUCGACGUCAAUGCAAGAUGAUGUGCGGCUGAGGUGGUGUAGAGCUAGGUGAAAACCGUCUCUUGGCCUCGUGUCGUGACGAGCUAUAGCGACGGUUGUGGCCGUCGUUGACCUUCAUGAAGGCAUCGUUGCUUUGUUCUCCCACCCCUCCUGUGCGGAUCUGGCCAUUUCGGCCUCUCCGGAAGAAAUCUUGAUCUGCGAUCGAACGGUGGCGGCGCCUUGGUGUCGUAUUCCCAGUUAGGGGCUUCGUCUUGGGAGCUUGGCGUCGACGAGCGGGACCGGUGGAUGACGUUUGGCGACGGGUGUGGCGUCCAGGCUUCUGUGGCAACGGCGAUGGUGGGGGCGAUGUCGGCGACGCGGCAUUGGUUGCGGUAGUCGGCUCUUCUUCGGUGUGUCCAUGGUUUUGUCUCAGUUUGUUUCUUGCUAUGGAGUCAAAGGUGCGGCAACGAGGCCGUGUGGUAUACGAUGACUGGCUGCAGGUAGCCCGUUCUGCGAUACCUUACCUUGUCCUACAACGCUCUCCAUCUCCGUCAGAGUUGCGUCAUCUGGCCGCAGGUGGUUCAGGUGGUUGCGAUUUUGACAUAGAUCUUCAUGCCUCUUUAAUGUGGGUUGAGUCGAGAUCGCCUACGGCAGGAGUGAUGACGAUGACAUCUGCAUGCUAGGUGGUUGAUAUUUUGACAUAGAUCUUCAUGCCUCUAGUGUGGGUUGAGUCGACGAUCGCUAGUGUGGGUUGAGUCGACGAUCGCCUACUGCAGGAGUGAUGACGAUGACAUCUGCAUGCUAGGUGGUUGAGAUUUUAACAUAGAUCUUCAAACCUCCUUAGUGUGGGUUGAGUCAACGAUCGCUAUAGAUCUUCAAACCUCUUUAGUGUGGGUUGAGUCAACGAUCGCCUAUGACACGAGUGACAACGAUGACAUCUGCAUGUUGUCUCACUGAUACCCUCUUUGAAGUGGCGUCUCAGUUUUGCAUAAUUAACCAAACAAUCUGGUUUUCACUGGGUUUUCGCUAAUCAAGUAAGCAACUAUUUUCUUCUUCUUAAUGAAUGCAGGAUAACCGCCAUUACAAAAAAAAAACAGCUGGAUGAAACUGAUUCAUAUUCAUGUUUUUUUGGAAAACCUUUUAAAUCAUGUUAACUGAAACAAAAACUGAACAAUAAAAUUAUCUGUUGACAACCCAGCGGAACAAAAAGAGACAAAAGGCCAACGGAAUUAGAGUCCAGAAAACGCGGGCAACACCAAGCUCUUGGCUGGAACAUAAGCAUUGUUUUACACAACCGGACUCCAGAGCCUAUACACCAAACUACCAAUGAACCUAGAUUUGUCUUCAUCAAAGAGCAGCACCAUACCAUGCUUGACUCCAAGUAAUCUGGAAAACACAAAACAAAUAUAUAGGUAAAUAAGAAUGCUAACACAAGGAAAUGUAAAUGAACAGCCAUGACGAUUACUUUGGCGAUAAACCCUGUGCACGAAACACUUUUUGUGAGUUUUUCACAGCCGCUUAACAUGCAAACACCAUAAGCCCUCAUGUGUGUUCCAACUUACACGUGAUGUGGUUCACACUAACAAGAGAGCUUCACAAAACCAAAAACCAACCUGUCAUAUAAUUCUAUCAUCACCGGAACAACUGACAUGAGAAUUUCACACUUUUUUAUGUAGAAUCCAGUAACCAUAAAUCCAUAAUGUCAGUUUCUAGAUACAAGUCAGCUUUAACAAGACAACAGAUGCUCAAACCUCAAAGUCCGGAGUCUGAGGUCUGGACACUGAUUGUCAAGUCAAUAGCUCUCAUGAUGGGAGCACGAAAAGUCAGUAACACAUCUCUAACGGACGGUUAGUACACAAAUAAAAUCAGUGUUACCACCUUAUGAAGGCUUGUAUCACAAGAAAUAGACAAUCAGCAUGUGCACUACAUGAUCAAGGCUGAGACACAUGAAUAUAUGAUAAUCAGAGAGCAAAUUUUAACAUAUUUGAAACAAAUUCCUUUCAUGAAUGCAGGAAAGAUUGGCAAUUAUACUUCAGCCUGUGGUGAAAGAGAAAGGAGGCGACCAGGAUCUAAUGGCAAACUAUCUCACAGCCCACUCCACAAUCUACCAAGCAAACAAUAUUAUUUCAUCACAAGCUCAACAAAUUUAAGCACGAAAAGCUAGUACAGGAGAAGAUCUUCAAACGCUUCCAGUGAAAAAAAAAAACUAAUAUCAAGCCAGCAUAACACCAGACAAAAGAUUUUGAGCAGUUCCUACUCACAACAGAAAACUAUGAAUCAGAAACCUAUGUAUCUAAGAUAAGCACAUUGCCACACAUUCUAAACCGGCAUACAGCCAUACACAAGAGUCGGCCAUUAGAAUUUAUCAGAUCAGAUCACAGAGGACCUGAUAACUAAGAAUUUGACCGAACAGAAGAUGAGAUGCAUCAUCAAAAAAUUAAAUCAUUAGAGUUUCCUGGCCUACUAGAAAGAGGAAGCAACAGGCUGUUAUAACCAUCCAUGAGCAUUCCCAUGCUCUCCACUGAUAAUGCUCAUGUAAUAAUUGUGUUUGCGGGGCGGCGAGCCAAUUAGACAACACAGAUACGCAGAACACUCAUUAUCUAGGAUGUCCAGAGGAUCUAUCAAUCAACACUGACUAAUAUCUCCUAGCUUCCUAGUCGCUAUUGUAAGUCAAGCCUUGGUCUCUCAUCAUGCAAAAUCGCUAAACAUACAAUUACUUGAGCAUUGCUUUGCACAAUAAGGUAGGCUAGAUCUCUAAUUACAUGUUCAAAAUGGGUGAACACUUGAGCAUAUCAGAACAUCUGCAUUGGUUCCACAUAGUAAUAAGACAAUAACAAUAUAACAUACAAAAACACAUCAUCAAUCCCCUAGACAAAUCUAUCAUUGUAACCUAAAAUUUGACUUUAAGAGGCCAAAUUCCUUACCUAAGGUCUUACAUCAGAGGUAAGCAGGGUUGCUGAGGAACGGCAGUGCAGCGAGAGACAUAAGCAUCUCCGAGGUACCAUUCUUGGCGUGCUUUACCCUCGAAAGUUGAAGCUGCAUGUCCACGAAAGCCUGCAUCCGCUUGAGCUCCAGAUCCUUGAGGAACUUGAUCCGCUGCUUCUCCAUCUCCUCGGCAUGUCUCUGCUUGGCAGCCUCCAUGCGCUCAUACAUAUCAGCGAAUGUCUCCAUUGCCAUCGCUAGCUCCCCAAAACCUCCAGCCCCGCCCCUCUUCCUUUUGUUGCUGCCGCCACCUCCAAGAGCAGGAGGACCGUUACCACCAGAGUGAGACGACACUGAGCGCGAGGCCGAUUGCUGCGAGCCCUCGUCGUCGUCAUAGUUAAUGUUGUUGUUGUAGCCAUCUUCCGAGUCGGAAUCCGCGGCGGCCGCAGCGGCGGCGGCCUUAUGGAAGAGGUCAGCGGCCGGGAGGUUGGACCCGCGGCGGUAGUUGGGCAAGGGGAGCGCCAUCGGCGGUGCUGGCGAGGGCGGCGACGGGGAGCGAGAGGGCGACAUGCGCCUCCUCAGCAUGGGAAGCGCGCGGGGCGGGGAGGGCUUCUUGGCGGCGGCGGCGGCGGAGAGGGUCGGGCCGACGAGGACGUCGAGCUGGCGGAAGAAGGGCCAGGGCGAUGGCCCGCCCCGCGCCCGCUCGGCCUUGUACUUCUUCUUGAGGGUAUCGACACGGUUCUUGCACUGGAUGUCGGUGCGCGGGGGCCGGCGGCGCGCGGAGGCCCCCGGGCGCGUGUUGACGGCGUCGGCGACCUCCCGCCACUGCGGCUGGCGAAGGCUGCCGCGGUUGAGGUCGAUGUACCGCGACCCCCAGGCGUCGACGAGGGCGGCCGUCUCGCCCUCGCUCCAGCAGUCCUCCCGGUACGGGAGGUUGGGGUUGGGCGGCGGCAGCUUCCCGUCCAUGGCUCCCGCCCAGAUCUCUCUCUCUCAGGAAACCCUAGAAGUCUGGACAAAUUUCCCCUUACGGUGGCUGGAGAUGGAUGGAUGCGAGUCGGGGGCCGCUGGCGACGAGGGGGGAGGGGAAUAAAAGAGGGGAGCGGAGGGGCGGCGAGGUGGGGAGCGGCGGCCCGUGGGCCGUGACCGUGAGGGAGGCGGACGCGGUGGGCACGUGGAUGGGAGGGGAGCGGGCGGAGGCAUUGGGGAACGGCCGCCGUUGGAUGGGUGGGGGCGGGUUUGACUGACCGGCCGUCGGGGGUGGAGCCGAAUUAAAAUCGGAACGGAAGGCACGGUUGGCCGGCGCAGCACGUCGCGGUGCGGGACGCAGGACGCGGAUGCCGUGCCCAAGGGGGGCUCCAUACGUACGGGACGCCUCGGCUGGCCGACGUUCGGUCGGCGUGCGCUGCGUCUCUUUGGUUUUCGGGCGCCGAAAAGGAGAGAGAAACAGUCCGAGCGAGCGAGCGACGGAGGCGGGGUGGCGACGGGGUUCGAAGACUUCGGGGAUGGAUGGUCAUCGAUGGAUGCGUCGAGGUGGGACCGCCGUGUUUUGGGUGGAACGAUUUCGUUUUUGUUGUAAAACUAGUUUUAAGGUCCUGUUUGAAACCACUCAGAUUAUAUAAUCCAGUUUUUUAUAAUCUAUUAUGUCUUUAAUUCAAAAGGUUGAACUAGCAAAAGGGCCCGUGCGUUGUAACAGGAGAAAAAAUACCACAUGUUUUUAAUCUUUUUAUAAUCAUUUUGAUUUAUUAAAAUAAUAAGCUAACUAACUAAUGUAGUCAGUUCUAUCCUAUUUUGUUGAGAAAUCAACCCGUCCAUUGUUAAUUCCACCAUGAUGAGAAAUUGAACGGAACAAUCAAAGCAAAACAAAGAGUCUACGUGAAUUGAUCAAUGGACUGUUAUCUUAUUUCACUCAUGGGGUAGAGAAUAUGGGAUCAGAUGAUAAACUGAAGAUGGUGUUCCAUUCUCUCUCUCUAUAACAAUGCAAUCUUACAUUCAAUACAUUCAUUCAUCAGCAAACAAAUUCCCAUAAAACAAAAUCUCUUGCCGGUGCUUGGCACACGGUUGGAGGCAUGGGGAGGGAAUCUCACCACAUGAUGAGUUCCUGCCGGAGGAGAGGAUACAAUGAGGGGAGCAAGGGUUAGGCGCCUCUAUCUGGUCAUAAGGAGUCGCCGUUGCCGCGCCAUAACCUCGGAGUUCCCCGUGUGAGCCAUGGAGGCCUGCCUCCACCUGCAAGUACUUCGCUCUGCUGCGCCUUAUCCGCGCACCGCCGCCGUUCUGCAUUGAGCAGACGCAUCAUCCCAAGUUGUUGUAGUUGUCGCGUUGAUUUGAUCCAGAAGAUGUGCUCGAGCACCGAAAUGGGGGCAGCAAGCGGGCAGAGGUACGACCGCGAAGGCGGGUGGUUGAGAUCGACAGCAGUGGUGAUAUCUCAACCAUUAUAACGGCUUGUUCAUUACUCCGAAUGUCAUUCGGAAAUAACUAACUUCGCACACCAAAUAUUCUAACGCUGGUAUACCACUUUGUUUCAUCGCAAAAAAAGGUAUACCACUUUGUUUCGCAUUGCUCACAUUCUUUCUCCGCAUUUGAUCUCAAACUUGACAUCACAACCUUAAUGACCCAUAGUUGGUCACUUACAAUUUUGCCGUGACCAAAAACAAAAAGGGAUAAAUGUGAUGUGGCCAAGCAGUCCGAGUGAGACAAGGGUUAACAAGCAUAACAAAAAAGAUUGCUCGGCUGCUGGUUGUGUGGUCAAACCAUUCGCUCCCGCUCCAUCUUCAGCUAGCGGCAUCUAGUGACAUCCGUCGAAGCCGGCUGCUCCCUGGCGGCUGACACAUAUCUUUGGAGCGUAGGAACCUGAGGUGCACCGCCUCCAUCUGCUCCCGCUGACGGGUGGCCAGCUCCUCCAACAUGAGUCGCCGCACCACCGCCUCUCUGUACGACGGCGGCGUCCAAGGAGACAUGCCGCCAGAAUACCUCCUGCCGCUCCUCCUCCUCCUCACCGGCGUUGGCGGCGCAACGUCGACGUGAACACCUAGCAGGAUUGCCUCGUAGGAGCACGCCGAGGCGCAGAGGCACAAAACCUUCGCAAGCGCUAACACCGCGGCCUUCGGGGAAGACCAGCAGCGCGGCCUCCCAUCCGCUGCCGCCGCAGUCGGCAGCGGCGGCACCACGGCAGGCUGCAUCCACAGGUGCACGCAAUCGAACGCCCACCCGUAGCACGACCGCGUCUUGCCGGCGCUGCCCCCGAGCGCGUUCCUGCAUCAGACGUGCGCACGAUCAAGGCCCGUGCGUUGCAACGGGAGAAAAAAAUAUCACACGCUUUUAAUCUUUUUAUAAUCAUUUUGAUUUAUUAAAAUAAUGAUGGAGCGCGGGUUGAAUAAUAAAAAUUACAGGGGCUUUUUUAUAAAAAUACCGCGGUGGGUUUUCCGACGGAAGCAAUAGCCUCUUUAUUAUUAGGUAUAGAUAUAGAUUAUGUCUUUAAGGCCCUGUUUGGAACCACCUAGAUUAUAUAAUCUGGUUUUUAUAAUCUAUUAUGUUUUCAAACAGGACAAUUUAUACUAUAGAUUUUAAAAACUAGAUGACUAGAUUAUUAAAAACUCAUAAUCUACUCUACCCGAGCUAAAAUCAGAUUAUGGAUUACUAAUGACCUAUUAUCUUUGUAAACUUGAAAAUAAUUACCUACUGCCAUCGCCACCGUCUUAUUUUUAUACAGGACAAACAUGUUAUUGUACAAUGUAAAACCUGAAUUGCAGUUUAUAUAAUCUGACCUCCAAACAUACCCACGUGGAUUAUUUUUACAAACCAGAUUAUAUAAUCUAUCUUCAUAAUUCAUAUUAUUAUAAUCUAUUGUGGUUCCAAACAGAGCCUAAAUAGGACAGAUUAUGGUGUAGAUUAUAAAAACUAGAUGGAUAGAUUAUUAAAAACUCACAAUCUACUCUAUCACAGCUAAAAUCAGAUUAUGAAUUACUAAUGAUCCAUCAUCCUUGUAAAGUUGUAGAAAAUUACAUUCCCGCCACCGCCACCCUCCUCUUUUUUUUAAAAAAAUGCCGAGGACAGAGAGGUCAUUAUGCAAUGUAAAACCUGGAUUGCAGUUUAUAUAAUCUGGCAUCCAAACAUGCCUACCUAUAUUAUUUUUAUAAAUCAAAUUAUAUAAUUUAUCUUCAUAAUCUAUUGUGGUUUUAAACAGGACCUGAGUUAUUAUUUUCACACAUAUUGAGUCUUUCAUUUAUUAAAUUAUAGACUUAUCUUAUCUUAAUAUUAGUUAUGUUACUCAUAGUAUGAGUAAUUAGCUAAGUUAUUCAAAAAAAAUCAUUAAUUAGUUAUCACAUCAUAUUUUUUUUUACUUAGAUGGCAAAUAUGUUACUCUCAUUUUGGAUGGUCUUAACAAUUUUGUUAAAGCACAUCUAGAUAUGAUAUAAAUAUUACACAUCUAAGUCAUAUAUCAUUGAUCUUACAUGGAGACUCGUGUAGGUAUUUUUUUAUAUACUUGAUCUAGGUUGCCCGUAAUGAGAGUAUCAUAUAUAGUAUCAUGCAUGCCAAGUAGGCAAUUUCGAUGAGGUGACAUAUAAUUAAAUGAAGCAAGAGAGGGUUGAAUAUCAUAUCAUGACACCUAUCAUAUUAAAUAAUGUGUUACUAUGUGUCUUGCAUGUCAAUAAAUUAACUACUCUAUGAUACUAACAUAUGAUACUAUUCAUUACGGAUGUGGUAUCAUACACUAGUAUCAUAUGUAUGAUACUAGUAUAUGAUACUACCCAUUACAACCAGCCUUAGUCAUUUAGAUAUGCAAUAAUUAUGUCAAAGUCUACAUGUGUCCUGGACACCCAAUACAAAUAUGCUAAAAAUCUUACGUUAGAAUUUCAUUCAUGGCAAAUUCAAUAUUUUCAAUGAUAAUUUAUAUUGCUUAGAGCAUCUCCAAUAGAACAUGCAAAUGGAGACAUAAAAAUAAGAGGUGUAAAAUUUACAUGUCCAAUGACUACAACUAGUUCAAAUGCCUCCUACUCGAAGAUGAACUACUCCUCGUCGGAGCUCUUGAACUGGUCCCACAACUCGCCCUUUCUCGGGUCGUCGCACCCCCCGUCCUCCUCCAAGGACUCGACAUGGAUCACCGUCAGAGGCUGGCCUCAUCCUCCUCCUCCUCCUCCUUCUUCUUCUGCUCGACAUCUCGCUUCUAGAAGAAUUGUUGCUCUGCCUGAACAUACUUCGGAUGCUCCUGCGCAAACCUCCCCAUCACCGCCUCGUCGCUAUCACCGGGACUAAUGGCAAUGACGGGCCUCUUCUUUGCCUUGAUCUCCUGCAUGCAAAUUCCCUCCCCCGGCACGAGCAAUUACGCAUCCGCUUGGGUCUCGUUCUAUGGGAAGUUGAGGCCCAUCCUCGGCCUUCCGGCAUGCCACACCGACAUGUCGUAGGCACGCGCGGCCUCAUGUAUGGCGGGGUAGGUGCCGAACCAAAAGUGGUGGCCGGCGUCGCUGAACUGCACCUCGAAGUUGCCGGAGGGCUUCGCCCUCAUGCUGAAGAAUCCCGUCUUGCUCUUCGGGGUCUUCCUCGGCGACAUGGAGGGGCAACGGGGAGGGGGUGGUGCGACGGGGCGGGUGGUGUGGCGUGUCAGCGGAGGUAUCGAAUCGGGCGUCGCAACAAGGUGGGGCGGUGGGGCGAUGCGGCGACGAGGUGACAGGGCGGCGGAGGUGCCGAAUCGGGCGGCGGGAGGAGUCAAACCGGGCGGUGAAGGGGCUGAAUCAGAUGGUGUGGCGUUUGGCAGUGAGCGAUGGCAGACGACUGUUGAAACCGAUAGCGGGGCCGCCACCAGCUUCGGAUCUGGCACUAGGCGGUUGCGGCGUGCGAGGUGGGAGCUCGGGCGGGUGGGCGGUUGCAGUGGUGCGGCGGGAGGUGAGAGGAAGAAGGGAGAAGUGACAGUUGGCGGUUAGCGCGCGACUCGCAAAUAUACGAUGACGAUGCUACCCUACUCAUGUGGUGCUCUUCUCUCUUGCGUAAGGUACAAGGCAUGAAUGUUCAACCCUCAACCUGGUGCUUCACUCCUAGCUUAUAUUGAGUGAACUAUGAGGGGUGUUGUAAUGGGUUGGAAUGAAUGUUAUUUAUGGCCUCAUGUAUGGCCAAGUACUUCAUGGCAUUUACUAUGGGUAAUUGUCAUAUUUAACUAGAUUAUACCACUCUUGGAUAAUUUUUGCCUUUAAGACAUCAUGGGCGAGAGGUAUAUGCUACUUGUUAUGGAUGUUGGGAUUCCCCGAAGAGGAAGGGUGAUGUAGUAUAAUAACAUAUAGUAUUUUUCUUGGUUAAGAGUCAAGAUUUAUCAAAUCACAAGAAGACAACACACAAACAACGUCAACACUACGUGCACACACACAAAGCAAAUGCUCGGACCCAACAAAAGCAAGAGGGUUGUCAAUCCCCUUCUUCGUGUCGAUUUCAAGGAUUGAAUGUGUUAGUAUUAGGUAUGUAAAUAAAAUAAAAUAAAAAGGGAAAUAAAACAACAAGAAAUUGUAUGAUUCUUAGUAAUAAUGGAAAAGUGGACCCCGGGGGCAUAACAUUCACUAGAGGCGUCUUUAUCAUAAGCAUAGAGUGAGUUGGUAAACAAAUUACUAUUCGGCAAUUGCCAAGAUAGGGCAUUGUUAUGAUGAUAAUUGGAAGUGCAAUGGCCGGUGUCAAAACCGGCUGAUCUCAAGUAGGGGGUCCGAACUGUGGAUCUUGGAUCAUUGGGUAAAAAGGGACGAAGGAGGCGAUGUUUUACCCAGGUUCGGGCCCUCUUGAUGGAGUUAAAACCCUACGUCUUGCUCUUGUUGUAUUGACGAAGUUGUACAGAUUAUAGAGUUGAUCUAUCUCGAGAUCGGAUGUUGUGGUCUAACACCCUAACCAUAAUGAUCGUAAGUCCCCUAUGAACUAUAGCCCCCUGGUUUAUAUAGAUACCAAGGGUGUUAGGGUUUACACAACGACCAUUACAUUAAGGAAAGGAAUAUACGGAUCAACACGUUGUCUUGGAUUGCACGCCAAGUCUUCGAAAGAGUCCAUCUUGAUAUUAGUAUCUUCAAUGAUGGUCGAACAACCUAGGAGUCUGGCCCAUAAGAACGGAUAAGUGACCCGAAGACCCCCUAAUCCGGGACUCCCUCAGUAGCCCCUAAACUAGCCUCUAAUGACGUAGACUAGGCUUUCCAUCUUCACACUCUCACAAUCUUCGGCUUGCGGAGCGAGUUCCACCUUAUGUUCGGCUAACCCCAGUUUGUAUCGUUCUUCAUCUGCGAUCAUUGGAACAUUGUCGGGCCCACAAAAAUGAACAUUUUCCCCUGCAAGGUUAACGACCUCUUCGAUUCCCGUGCGCCAAUGAAAAAUAGGCGGUUACUUCCCAAGAGAAAAAAAGAUAAGUUUCUUAUCAUAUAACAUGUGCGUGCCUGUGGCACCCCGAUAGAGGGCCGACGCACGCCUGUUCCCAGGAUAAGACCGGACGCACGCCAAAAACAUGAUACAUCAAUUCCAGGCAAAAAAGGCUUUAUUAAUAAAAUGGAGUAUUACAAUACUGUUGCUUACAACAAUAUUACAUAACUCCAAAGCUAACUAAAUGGCAGCAGAGGUCUUGAAUCAGCAGCGACGACGUCUUUGGCUGAGCUCCAAAACUCGUAGGACUGGCUGGGUUACGAUCUAGCACGACGAGUCUUCUCGUGCAGCUGGCCAUGUGCAAGGCCAGGUGAGUACUUUGAAUGUACUCACAAGACAACCGAAUACAUGGAAUCCAAACAAGCAGAUAACAAAGCAAACACUAUGAUAUGUAAGAAUUAUUCUAAGGAUGGCAUUGAAUUAUUAGGAGAAUAACAUAACAUGGAUCAAGCAUGUAAUCUACCUAACUAGCAUUGCAAAGAUCACAACAAGUGUUUAAAUUACUUACUGUUACCGAAUGUCAACUUACUCUCUUUUGGGUUGUUCCACAACCCUCUACAUACUUGUAAUACAACCUGAACGAAUCCAAAUCACCUCCAAAUCAUGUAGUCAUAUGGCUACUCAUCAUAUAGCCAUAUCUUGGCUAACAUAUCAUAUCUCUGACAUCCUAUGAUGUCCACAUAAGAUGAGUUCUUCCAUCAUUACUAAUACUGAUAUGGUUGACCAUCUACUGAGGUCUGGGCGGGCUGUCCAAUACCAUGGACUCAGCUAUUCGAAUAGGUUUGACACUUUGCAGAGGUUGCACACUUUACCCACACUAUGGAGCAGUGACCUCUUGAUCCCAUUCGGGUGGACCAGUGUUGCUCCAACGAAACUUGUGUGACCCGUGACUCUCUCAUCGUACCAGCGACAUUCAUCCUCCUCCAGAGUCCUACCCUGGGUGGCCCUGUGUCCUCAUGACACCUGCCACCGUCGUGGCCAAACUAAACUGUCCCAAAAGGGGACGCCGGCACAAACAACUCAACUAGCUCACAGGGUUAUCACCGCCUACCUGAUCAGGGUAGCACACGUGCAUAACCCUCCCUCUUUGGAAGUACCGGUGAAAGAGCACGUAAUCAGACCAAGUCAAGGCCGUCCCAUAUCGGCAAAUGUGGUUGCACGAGUAAGCACGGACAGGUGACUCAAGAUCAACCAACUAGGUUGCAUUCGUUAACUCACUCAACCUAUCCAUCACCGUACCAUUACUUUGACGAGUAUAAGUGAUGAACCAUAGUGUAGCAAACAGUAGUGCUCAUAAUCAUGACAUGAGAUCAAACCCUAAUAUUAUCAUGUCAAAAUAAUUAUUAGCAUGUUAAUAUGCAAACAAUGCAUGGUAUUAGAUGGAAAGUGAUGCUAGUAGUUACUACCAAUAUCAUCACAGGUGUAUGCAAAUGCAGGCUAACACGUGAUACAAAUAAACACAUAGAGUGCAAGAAAAUUCAUCACGCAAGUUUGAAGCUCAUGAUAAGAGGUUGGCUUGCCUGGGGGUCGACGAAUACGCCGGGAAGAAGCGCGAUAAAAUGCCGGGAAGGUUUGCCGGAGAGGUUUCCCUCUCAAAAGGCUCAAUCGGAGGGCAAUGGCAAAACAAUCAUUUCUACUAUGCAAACACAUUAUGGAAAUCAUACUAUCGAAACGGGAUCGACGAGACAAAAGCGUGGGCGAUGGUUUUACCUCAAUUAGAGUUACAGUCGCAAAUAUAUGAGCGUUCAUUCGUUAAGCUAUAAAACAAACAAAAAUUGUCCAUUUCAGUGCUUAACGGGUGAACGUUCACUAUUUUAUGGCUUCGGUGGUGGGCUAAAACAGAAGGCGUACUUCCGAAAAUAUGCUUUCAGUAAACCGAAAGCGCACUUUACCAAAUACGCUUCCACUUAUUAGCGCGGGCCCGAGGGGGUUGGACUUCUUCUCUCUCUGACGGGCAGGGCCGGCCUUAUCCACUCCCUCUCUCUCUCUCUUACACGCGGGCCUUGCCCCAUCUCUCUCUGUCCUCCUCCUGGCUUCUUCUUCCUCUCGUCACGGGGACACAGGAGAGCGUCGGCCAUUACCUCGCCGCUCCUGGAGGCCGGCCGGCGAGCGGGGAGGCUUGGUUGUGCCCCACCGCGCCCCAGGGGUAGUCGUGGAGUCGCCUCAGGCGGCCUACAGCGCCGUCUCGGCCAGAUGGAACACGGUGGCCGACGGGCGCCCGCGGGCAGCCUUGGCAGUGCUUCCCCUGGGAAGAUGGGGAACGACGGCGAGCUUGCAGGCUUCCGGGGAGGCCGUGCACAGGAAUGGAGAAGAGGGGAGGGCCACAUGGCUGGAAUUGACCAGGAGAACGGCGGCGGAUGCUUCGGCCAUUGGAGCAAUGGGGAGCUCCGAGGGCUUGGGGAGGGAGCGAGGAGGUUGCUGGCUCACGGCACAGGCGCGUGGCACACUUAAAUAGCUGCGGGGAGGGGCUCUCGCGACGCCGAAAGAAGCUCUGAGAGCCAGGCGAUAUUCCGUCGACAGACACCUCCAAGGGCAAGGGGACGAGGGGGAGAGGUCUCUAGAGGAUUCACGCACGCCAUUGGAACCUCUACGACACUCCUCGACAAGCUGGAGCUUGCUGGAGACGUGCUCCCGUCGACCUCAAGGCACAGAGGGCUCGUGAUUUGGCACGCUCUGCCCAUGGUCACCACGCGUCCACAACAUUGCCACGCAGCACACGCAGCCAAAACAUGUCUAGGGCCUUCUCCAAGCUUCACUAAGGUGACCUAUGCAUAUAGACAACACUGGGGAGCACUGGUGUGACUGAUCCAAAGCCAAAUAGUCUCCAACAGCAAGGUGUUUGAUCUAUGCAGUGGCCACCACAGUGCUCCUAUUGGCAUGAUCUUUGGCUGAGGUUGACCACUCACUGAGGUCACUAUCCUGGCAAAAGUUUAGCUCAAAUGAGCAUGCCUAACUAGCACUUCCUUUGUAACUUGGCAAUCUGACCAAAAUUGAAGAAACUAAUGCUGGGGUUAAUUGGCUAAAUAAAAAUGGCUUAAACUUGGAGGAGACUAAUGAUUUAGCAUAUGGAGUUACUGUAAAAGUUUCAUACCAUUUACAUGAAUAUUAAUAGUACUUCCUUCAUAGUGCUCCAAUCUGGACAAAAACUUAAAUAAUUUGCUAAGGAAGAUGGAUUGAUGGAAUGGGCUAAAUUUUGGUGGACAAGGGUAAUUUAUCCUAAUGAACUACCCUGCAAAAUUUCUGCUCAAGGGAAUCAAGGAAUCAAACACUUCCUUUGCAAACAGGAAAUCUGGACUGAAUUUGCAAAGGGGUGUUGUGCUCAAUUUUUAAUUGGGCAACUUGAUAUUUUGAUGGAAAUGAUGAUUAUAUGGAUAUGAGAAGCUCCACAAAUUAUUUGAGAUUUUUCCUAGCUACCAAAAUGGUAGUUCCUUUGGAAAGGCCCCAAAAAUGCAAUAUUGGCUUUAAAUAGGAAAAAGGCAAUUUUCCUCACUUAGUGAUGGACAAUAUUUUUAUGAGAGCUCCAUAUGGUCACAAAGAAUAUCUCCACAAGUUUUCAUGACCUUGGGCGAUGGAUAGAUAUUUUCUUGGAUUUAAUUCCUCAGAAAAGCAGAAAGAGGAAUUAAUUCUAGAGGAGAAAUAUUGCAUAUGGCUUGGCAAUAUUUUUGCACAUCUAGGGUCUAUGAGGGAAGAAUGAUCUGUGGAAAUUUUUGAAGGAUUAACAGAGCAAGGGAAAUGAUGGCUCCUUUGCAAACACAAAGGCAAGAUUCCGAGUUCCAAUAUUUCGGAGCUAGGGUUUCCAAGAGGUUCGGGGUUUACUCAACAAGGGCAAGCUGGCACAAGGACAUGGGAAAAGCACUGAGAGGUUGAGGAUAGACUGGAUUCACCUCGUCAUUUGCCAAAUUCCAGAGGAAAAUUUUUGGGAGAGAAAAGCUAGGAAGGAAUAGCAGCAAAAAAAAUCGAUAACCCGAUUUUUGGGGUGUUACAGUGCCCCCUAGCAACGCUCCACACCCCUUCCAAAUGUCGAGAAGAACACCAAAGAAACAAAGACAUGGUGAGUGCUCCAGGCUCAUCCUUGCACCCUCGUGGAUCUCUUCCUGGCGAUUGGGUGAGUUGUUGAGUCUCGCGUAGUCGUUUACGCGAGCUCGAGGUUCAGGGGUACUUGCGUGACUCAAACCUGUCACCUUCUCGUCCGAGGCUAAUCUUUGUCAAUGGUGAGGCCUUUGCAGAGAAAUUCCCCACGCCCAACACGGUGGAGAGAGUGUGCUUUUGAAAUCACAAUUGCUCCCUACGGUGGUUUUGAUAAUUGAUACCAAUAUAUGCAUCAUUGGACUAAUGAUCUUAUUCAGGUAUAUUUCAGAAAAUUUCAAAGAUGCUUUGGCUAUAGGAUUGUGAGGAGAAGCCCCUUGAUGCAAGGAAAGGAAUAGGAUUGGCUCAAGCUUCAAGCAAGAAGACACUACAUUUUACAUUUGUGAGAAAUCACUUUGAGUCCAUAGGAAAGCCAAUACUAUUAAAAGGGGGUGAUGUAUUAUGAUGAAUUGGUUGCUCAAGUGCUUAUAUGUAGCCACCAAAAAUACUUAGCCGUUCUCCCACAAAAUAUCUCUGUCCAAAACCAUAUCAGCAAGAUUGGUGCCACCAACUAUUUCCACUCGACCCUACCGAUUUUCCACUUGACAGAUCCUAUCCCAAACCCUACCAUAUCGGUACCACCAACUUUCACAUCGGUGCCACCGAGAUUUAGUGACCAACUUUCUGUUGAGAAGAUUUCAAGAAUCGAAAUUUCCGAGUUUGAAAUCGGUCUCACCGAGAUAUGGAAACUGGUCUAGUUCAUCGUAAAGGUACCACUGAGAUUCAUAUAUCGGUCUCACUGAGAAUUCAGAAGUUGCCACAUUUAGUGCAACUCGGUACCAUCGAGAUUCCUUUCAGUGUCACCGAAUUGGGAAACAAUGUUGUAAUGGUUGGAUUUUGAGAGAUGGCUAUAUAUACCCCUCCACCUCCUCUCAUUCGUAGAGGAAGCACUCAUAACACACUUACACUUGCCAGAUCCAUUUUUCUGAGAGAGAGCCACCUACUCAUGAGUUGAGAUCAAGAUAUUCCAAUCCAACCAUUUGAAACUUGAUCUCUAGCCUUUCCGAGUUGCUUUCCACAAGAUCAAUCUCUCCUACCCAUGCCAAAUCUGUGAGAGAGUGAUUGAGUGUUGAGGAGACUAUCUUUUAAAGCACAAGAGCAAGGAGUUCAUCGUUCUACCGCAUCUAUUGCCUUUUGGAGGGUGGUGCCUCCUAGAUUGGUUAGGUGUCGCUUGGGAGCCUCCUACUUUGUUUUGUGGAGUUGAACCAAGAAGUUUGUAAGGGCAAGGAGAUCGCCUACUUCAUGAAGGUCUACCAUGAGUGAGGCUAGUCCUGUGUCGAUGGAAGCCGUGGUGGAAUAGACAAGGCCGCUUCUUCGUGGACCCCUUGUGGGUGGAGUCCUCCAUGGACUCCCGCAGCCGUUACCCUCCGUGGGUUGAAGUUUCCACUAACAUGGGCGUACGGUAGCACCACCUAUCGAAACCAUGCCAAAAAUUGUGGUGUCAACCUUUGCGUUUAAUCUCCCUUCCUUACCCUCUACAUUACAUUUUCAUGUCUUUACAUUCCGCUGUUAUAUUCUCAGAUGUGCAAGCGUAGGGUGAACUUAACUAGUCAUAAUUGCUAAAACUCGCGCACAAUUAAAAUUGGGAAAAGGCUAAGUUUUAUCUUGUCAAGUAGUCUAAUCAACUCCCUCCCUCUAAACAUACUUUUGAUCUUACAAGUGGUAUCAAAGCUUUGGUCUCCAUUGCAUUGGUUUCACAACCUAGGAAGAGUAUGGCAUCUAGUGAGAGAAAUUAUCACCGUAGAGGUCCAUAUUUUGAUGGUACAAACUUUGCUAGUUGGAAGCAUAAGAUGAAAAUGCAUAUUCUUGGUCAUAAUCCUGUCGUUUGGGCUGUUGUUCGUGUUUGUGUGCACAGUGAUUUCUUCGGAGAAGGAAGAGAAUCAGAUCGUGAUGCCACAGUGGAAGAACUAAAGAUGUUGCAAUACAAUGCUCAAGCAUGUGAUAUCAUGUUCAACUGCUUGUGCCCCGAAGAAUUCAACAAAAUCAGUCGCCUUGAGAAUGCAAAGGAAAUUUGGGAUACCUUGAUUGAUAUGCACGAAGGUAUUGAUUCUAUCAGGGAAUCUAAGUUGGAUGGGCUUCAAAGUGAGCUUGACAAGUUCAAGAUGAAGGAUGGCGAAGGAGUCACUGAGAUGUCUUAUAGGCUAGCUCUCAUCACAAAUGAGAUUGUUGGCUUAGGAAGUGAAGAGAUGACCGACAAAUUCAUCAUCAAGAAGAUACUUAGAGCCUUGGAUGGAAGAUAUGCCACUGUGUGCACAUUAAUUCAAAUGGUGCCAAACUACAAGGAUCUCAAGCCAACUGAAGUCAUUGGAAGGACUGUUGCUCAUGAAAUAUCACUCAAGGACAAAGAUGAGUUGCACAACAAGUCAAGCGGUGAGUACAAACUUCAAGUGAUACACCUGCUACUUCAAAUGACAACCUUUUUACAAAUGAAGAGAUCAGCCUCAUGGUCAGAAAACUGAGCAAUUUCUACAAUGGUAGAGGCGAAGAGAGAAGCUCAAGCUCAAGAUAUGAUGAGAAGCAUUCGUCUAGUCGUGAUCAAAACUGCUACAACUCUGGAAAGCCCAGACACUACUCCAAUGAGUGCUCGGCUCCCCACAAAUGAAGAGAAGGGUCACCUAGAAGACGAAGCUCAAGAGAUGAUUCACCUUGCAGAGAGAGAAAGAGUAGAGAAGAUCAUUAUGAACGAAGACACUCCCAGAGAGGCAAAGAAUCGGAGAACAAUCACAAGUACAUCAGAGAGGCCAUGAAGUAGUUUUCACUCCCAGAAGAAGACAUCAACCUCAUGUUGGUGAUUGGGUUUCCGGCUUCGAGUCUGACAACCAAUCUGAGACAAGCUAUCACUCCAACUCCCACUAUAGUCAAGAUGAAGGUGUUAUCAGUCUUGCACUCGUUUCCUCGAACUCCUAUGACUUAUUUGAUUCACCAAAUGAAGGGAUUGAAAACUACUUCAUGGCAAAAGGCCCCAAGGUAUCACACCCCAAGUACUUUGACUUUGAUAGUGAUGAGGAUGAUUUGUUAGGGGAAGAUGACUUGCUCUUUGGUAAGACUAGUGAUAACAUUGAAAAUGAACUCGAAAAUAAUCAUGCUAGUCAAGAGAAAUCGAAUGAUGAUGAUAAGAAAGAGAUUGGUGACUAAUUAAACAAUUAAACACUCCUAAGUUAGCUCAUGAAACUACUCUAGAAGAUCACAGAGGGCUUGCAAAAACUCAUGAGAAGCUACGCUUAGAGAAGCUAAAUUUAGAGCAAGAGCAUGAGUUUCUAAAAGCAAUCAAUGAUGAUCUUCGAAAGAAGAGUUCCUCUUAUCUAGCCGAACGAUUACUCUUGUCUACUUUUGUUCCACAAGUUAAACCUAAUAACACUAGUAAGAAAGGCAAGAAAGUUUCUCCAUCUUGUAAUAACAAUGCUAAAGCUAGAUCAAAUGAUGUUGUUGCUAGUAGCUCUCUUGAUUCCAUUGAUGAUUCUCUUAGCCAAGUUACACCUGAGCAAGAAAACGAUUUAUUGGAAGGUAUUAUAGAGACGGGUGUCUUCAAGAGUCUUGCCGGAAGUAAGAAAUUCGAGGAAAUUAUGCGCAAGCAAGGAGGACAUCGGAAGAAGCAAGGUGUUGGCUACUUCAACAUCAAUGGAGAUGUUUCGAAAGAAGGUCCAUAUCCCAUUCCCAAGUUUGUUCCUCAAGAAGAGAAGUAUGAUCCUACUCCUCCAAAGGGAACAAGCUCUUAAGAUGGACUUCUACCACUAGACCACAAGGGAAAGGAAAGCUUCAAUAGGAGAUUGACUCAUUUCAGGAAGAACCCCUAGGCAAGGUCGAGUGGGUUUCCAAGGACACUACUAGCACUACUUAAUCUAGUGCUACCACAACUCCAAGGAUCCCCAUCAAGUUGAUAAGGGUCCCCAAGAGGAAGAAUUAGAGAGUUCUUGAGGGGUGACUCCGCCAAUGAAAUUCACUCUUAUUUAUUUUGGGAAUGAACUUUAUGCAAUCAACUUCAACCAUAAGCAUUAGUUCAAGGAGUCACACAUUCCCUAAAAGGUAAGUAAGGGACAAGGUAAUUAAUGCAUCUUUGGACAUCACCUCCCAUGCAUUUCAUUCUAUGUCCAUAGAUAUCCUUGCAUAUGUUCCUUGUGCUUUGGGACUAACCCAUGUAGGUGAGAAGAGUAAGAAACAACAAGGAUAGCUCAUAGCUCAAGAUGAUCUUCAUCAACAAUGAGCAUCCACCACUAGCACACUGAUACAUCUCCAACGUAUCUAUAAUUUUUGAUGGUUCCAUGCUAUUAUCUUGUCAAACUUUGGAUGUUUUGUAUGCCUUUUAUAUCUUUUUUGGGACUAACUUAUUAACUCAGUGCCAAGUGCCAGUUCCUGUUUUUCCGUGUUUUUGACCCUUUUCAGAGGAGAAUAUUAAACGGAGUCCAAACGGAAUUAAACUUCCGAAAAGAUUUAUUCCGAAACAGAGGAUACGCAGGGCGCGUGAGAACCAAGGCAUAGGCCACCAGGGGAGGCCACAAGCCCCCUAGGCGCGGCCAGGGGGGCCUGCGCCUAGCAGGGUUGUGCCCCCCCUGUGGCUCGUCUACCCUACUUCUUCCGCCUAUAAAUCCCCGAAAAAUCCAAAACCACGAGAGAGAUCCACGAAAAUACUUUUCCGCCACCGCAAGCUUCUGUCUCUGCAAGAUCCCAUGUGGGGCACGUUCUGGUGCCCUGGCCGGGGGGGGGGGGGGUUUUGGAUACGGAGGGCUUCUUCAUCAACACCAUUGCCUCUCCGAUGAUGCGUGAGUAGUUCACCAUAGACCUUCGGGUCCAUAGCUAGUAGCUAGAUGGCUUCUUGUCUCUCUUGGAUCUUCAAUACAAAGUUCUCCAUGAUCUUCAUGGAGAUCUAUCCGAUGUAAUCUUAUUUUGCGGUGUGUUUGUCGAGAUCCGAUGAAUUGUGGAUUUAUGAUCAGAUUAUCUAUGAAUCUUAUUUGAGUUUCUUCUGAUAUCUUAUAUGCAUGAUUUCAUAUCCUUGUAAUUCUCUUCGAGUUGUGGGUUUUGUUUGGCCAACUUGAUCUAUGAUUCUUGCAAUGGGAGAAGUGCUUGGUUUUGGGUUCAUACCAUGCGGUGACCUCACCCAGUGACAGAAGGGGUAGUGAGGCACGCAUCAUGUUGUUGCCAUCAAGGGUAAAAAGAUGGGGUUUAUAUCUAUUGCAUGAAUUUAUCCCUCUACGUCAUGUCAUCUUGAUGAAGGCGUUACUCUGUUCGUCAUGAACUCAAUACACUAGAUGCAAGCUGGAUAGCGGUCGAUGUGUGGAGUAAUAGUAGUAGAUGCAGACAGUAUCGGUCUACUUGUCUCGGACGUGAUGCCUAUAUGUAUGAUCAUUGCCUUAGAUAUCGUCAUGACUUUGUGCGGUUCUAUCAAUUGCUCGACAGUAAUUCAUUCACCCACCGUAAUAUUUGGUAUUUUGAGAAAAGCCUCUAGUGAACACUAUGGCCCCCGGGUCUACUUCACAUCAUAUUUUCAGCCUUACACUUUUACUUCGUUGCACUUCCCACCUUCACAUCUCACUUUGCAAUUAAUCUUGAAGGGAUUGACAACCCCUUUAUAGCGUUGGGUGCAAGCUCAUUUGUGUUUGCGCAGGUACUCUGGACACUUGGCUUGAUUCUCCUACUGGAUUGAUACCUUGGUUCUCAAACCGAGGGAAAUACUUACUGCUACUGUGUUGCAUCACCCUUUCCUCUUCAAGGGAAAAACCAAUGCAAGCUCAAGAGGUAGCAAGAAUAAUUUCUAGCGCCGUUGGCGGGGAGGAUCAAGUCAAGAAUAGUUUCCCGUCAACGUGUCAAUCUCUGGCGCCGGGGAUUAUUCUAAGUGAAACUUAUCCAAGUAAGUGUCGAAAACUCAUCUCUUGCAUUUACUCUUUUUUGCCUCUCGUUUUCCUCUCCCCCACUUUUGAAAACAAAAAUUUACAAAAAUAUUUGCCUUGUUCGUUUGCCCUUUUCUUUCGCUUGCUUUCUGUUCGCUUGUGUGCUUGUGUGCUUGCUGAAGUCACCAUGACUGAAAACACCAAACUUUGUGACUUCUCGAAUACUAAUAAUAAUGAUUUUAUUAGUACUCCGAUUGCUCCCGCCAGUAGUACAGAAUCAUAUGAAAUCAAUGCUGCUUUGCUGAAUCUUGUUAUGAAAGAGCAAUUCUCCGGCCUUCCUAGUGAAGAUGCCGCAUCCCAUCUUAAUACCUUCAUUGAGCUUUGCGAUAUGCAAAUGAAGAAAGAUGUGGAUAAUGAUGUGAUUAAAUUGAAGCUAUUUCCGUUAUCAUUGCGAUAUCGAGCAAAAAUUUGGUUUUCAUCUUUGCCCAAAAAUAGUAUUGAUUCUUGGAACAAGUGCAAAGAUGCUUAUAUAUCCAAGUAUUUUCCGCCGGCUAAGAUUAUCUCUCUAUGUAAUGAUAUCAUGAAUUUUAAGCAACUUGAUCAUCAACAUGUUGCACAAUCUUGGGAGAGAAUGAAAUUGAUGAUUAGAAAUUGUCCCGCUCAUGGCUUGAGUCUUUGGAUGAUUAUACAAAUCUUCUACGUUGGUUUGAAUUUUGCUUCUAGAAAUAUCUUGGACUCCGCCUCCGGUUGAACCUUCAUGGAAAUCACAUUAGGAGCAGCCACAAAACUCCUAGACAAUAUCAUGACAAACUAUUCUGAGUGGCACAUUGAAAGGUCACCAACUAGUAAAAAGGUACACGCUAUAGAAGAAAUUAACUCGUUGAGUGCUAAGAUGGAUGAGUUAAUGAAAUUGUUUGCUAGUAAAGGUGCUCCUUUAGAUCCUAAUGAUAUGCCCUUGUCUUCCUUGAUUGAGAGUAGCAAUGAUAGCUUGGACGUUAAUUUUCUUGGUAGGAAUAAUUUUGGCAACAACAAUGCUUUUAGAGGAAACUAUAUUCCUAGGCCUUUUCCUAGUAAUCCCUCUAAUAACUUUGGCAACUCCUACAACAAUGCUCAUGGAAAUUACAAUAAAUUACCCUCUAAUCUAGAGAGUAAUAUCAAAGAGUUCAUCAACUCGCAAAAGAUUUUCAAUGCGUCCAUAGAAGAAAAACUACUCAAAAUUGAUGAUUUGGCUAGGAGCGUUGAUAGAAUGUCUACUGAUAUUGAUGCUUUGAAAGUUAGAUGUGCUCCUCCCAAGAUCAAUAUGGAUGAAACUUUGAAAUCUAUGCGUGUUUCCAUGAAUGGGAGUAAAGAAAGAACCACCCAAAUUUGUGCUAGACGUGAAUGGCUUAAAAAGGCGUGUUCUCGCGAUGAGAAUCACGAAGAUCUUAAAGUGCUUGGUGUGACCCCCAUUGAAUCCUUGUUUUCUAGUGUCAAACCUAAUGAUGAUGGGGCUGGAUAUGAAUCCACCUUGGUUGAAAAACACCACAAUGAUUCGGAGUCUAUCUAUCUUGAUGCUAAAAGCAUUGAAAGUGGAGUAGAGUAUAUCAAAACUUUGAGUAGUAAUGAAACUACUACUUUGGAUUUCAAGGAAUUAAAUUAUGAUAUUUGCUCUUUGAUUUAAUGUAUUUCCUUGAUGCAAUCCGUGCUAAACUCUCCACACGCUUAUAGCCAAAACAAAGCCUUUACCGAUCAUAUCGUCGAAGCUAUGAUAAAAACUCUUGAAGAGAAACUUGAAUAGGAAGUUUCUAUUCCUCGAAAACUUCAUGAUGAGUGGGAACCUACUAUCAAAAUCAAGAUAAAAAACUAUGAAUGCAAUGCUUUGUGUGAUUUGAGUGAUAGUGUUUCGGCGAUUCCAAAGUCUUUAUGUGAUGUUCUAGGCUUUAAUGAGAUUGACGAGUGCUCUCUUAAUUUGCAUCUUGCGGAUUCUACUGUUAAGAAACCCAUGGGAAGGAUCAAUGAUGUUCUUAUUAUUGCAAAUAGGAACUAUGUACCCGUGGAUUUGAUUGUGCUUGAUAUUGAUUGCAAUCCUACAUGUCCUAUCAUUCUUGGUAGACCUUUCCUAAGGACUAUUGGUGCUAUCAUCGUUAUGAAGGAAGGGAAUAUUAGAUUUCAGUUUCCUUUAAAUAAGGGCAUGGAGCAUUUUCCUAGAAAGAAAAUAAGAUUGCCUUAUGAAUCCAUGAUGAGGGCUACUUAUGGUUUGAGCAUCAAAGACGACGAUACAUGAUUCUAUCACCUUAUGCCUAGCUAAGGGCGUUAAACAACAACGCUUGUUGGGAGGCAACCCAAUGAAUUUAUCUUUGCCUUUUGCUUUCUGUUUUGUUGCAUCCACACCAUCAUAAUUCUGUUAUGAUUGUGUCUUUUGUGUUUCUUUUUGUGUUUGAGCCAAGUAAACCUUUAUGACUAGUUUGGUGAUGGUUGUUUGAUCCUGCUGGAAAAAGACGGAAACUUUUUGCUCACGCAAUUAUUUUUCAUUUUUAUCCAGAAAGAUCUUUUGAGUUGAUUCUUUUUGCUGCUGGUUGAUAUGCCAAUUUCCUAAACUGUCGUAAUUUUUCGGAAUUUUUUAGAUAUGAGAAGUAUACGAAGUAUACAGAUUGCUACACACUGGUCUGUUCUUAACAGAUUCUGCUUUUGUUGUGUUGAUUGCUUGUUUUGAUGAAACUAUGGAUAGUAUCGGGGGGUACUGAUGACCCACAAGUAUAGGGGAUAAAUUGUAGUCCUUUCAAUAAGUAAGAGUGUCGAACCCAAUGAGGUCAACUGUUCUCCCCCUUUGCAACGGCACCAGAAGAAUGCUGUUAGCACUCUCCGGCAAUCGAAACUAGGAUUAUUUUGUUGACGCCGACCAGCGCAUCGGAUCGUAGCAGUUUUCGAGGGUAGAGUAUUCGACCCAAAUUUUUGGAUUCGCCAGACAGGAGGUGAGAGGAUACUCUCAAGUAUUAGCAGCUGAAUUUAUCAGUUUCAACCACACCUGAAAUAUUAGUACCUGCAAGCAAAGUAGUAAUAGCAAAGUAGCGAGUAACAGCAGUGGCAAGGAACAACGGUAGUGACAGCAAUAGCAAGUAGCAAUAGUAGCAAGAGACAGUAGUAGCAACAAUAGCAGCAAAGCAAGACAAGUAACAACCGUAGCAACAGUAGUAGCAGCAACAGCAGAGCAAGACAAGUAACAACAGUAGCAACAGUAGUAGCAGCAGCAGAGCAAGACAAGUAACAUCAGUAGCAACAGUAGCAGCAGCAGCAGUAGGACAAACUCGUAGGCAAUGGGUCGGUGAUUUGUUUGGAUGAUAUUCAUCAUGCAACAGUUAUAACACGGAGAGAUAUGUGGCUAGCUCCCGUUUGUCAAUGUGAUGCAGGCAUGCAUUCCGUGUGUCGUCAUACGUGCUUAGGGAAAAGAACUUGCAUGACAUCUAUUGUCCAUCCCUCCCGUGGAAGCGGGGUCCAAAAGGAAACUACGGGAUAUUAAGGUUCUCUUUUAAUAAAGAACCGGACCAACGCAUUAGCACUUGGUGAACACAUGAACUCCUCAAACUAUGUUCAUCACCGGGAGUGGUUCCGGUUAUUGUCACUCCGGGGUUGCCGGAUCAUAACACAUAGUAGGUAACUACAACUUGCAAGAUCGUAUCUAAAACACACAUAUAUUGGUGACAACAUAAUAAUUUUAGAUCUAAAAUCAUGGCACUCGGGCCCUAGUGACAAGCAUUAAGCAUGGCAAAGUAGUAGCAACAUCAAUCUCAAAACAUAGUGGAUACUAGGGAUCAAUCCCGAUCAAAACUAACUCGAUUACAUGAUAGAUCUCAUCCUACUCAUCACCGCCCAGCGAGCCUACGAAUAGAUUACUCACGAAAGAUGAAGAGCUUCAUGGAAUUGGAGAGGGAAGAAGGUUGAUGAUGAUGAUGGCGACGAUUUCCCCUCUACAGAGCCCAAGACGGACUCCAGAUCUGCCCUCCAGAUGAAGAACAGGUGGAGGCGGCUGCUCCGUAUCAUAAACGCGACGAAAACUUCUCUCUUUUAUUUUUUUUCUGGGACGAAAGGGAACUUAUAGACCUGAGGUUGGGGGCGGCAGAUCCGUGUGGGCCCCACAAGCCUGCCCACCGCCACCAGGGGGUGGUGGCGGAGCCAGGGCUUGUGGCCCACUCGCCCACCCCCUCGGGUGGAACUUGCUGCAGAUAUUUUUCAUAUUUUCCAAAACUGCUCCUCGUAGAUUUUCAGGACGUUUGGAGAACUUUGAUUUCUGUACAAAAAUAACACCAAGGCAAUUCUGCUAAAAACAGCGUCACUCCAGGUUAGUUCCAUUCAAAUCAUGCAAAUUAGAGUCCAAAACAAGGGCAAAAGAGUUUGGAAAAGUACAUACGAUGGAGACAUAUCAACUCCCCCAAGCUUAAAACCUUGCUUGUCCUCAAGCACCUCAAUUCACAAACUGAGAGAGAAAGAAAAACUUUGACAAACUCUGUUUGACCUUGUUGUUGCAACUAUGUCUAACUCAUAACCAGAAUUUCAGCAAGAUCACAAGUUAACCACAUAAGCAAAUGACACAAAGGUCUCACGGUAAACUAAUAUCAAUGGCAUAAUCAGCUAACGAGCAAAUAAUAAUGAGUUUCAAAUACCAACACUUCAAUCAAAACAAGCAUGAAGGAAUAUGAAUAGAUGGUAUCUCGCUAGCUCUUUCUGAGACCGCAAAACAUAAAUGCAGAGCAUUUUCAAAGAUCAAGGGCUGACUAAACAUUGUAAUUCAUCGCAACGAAGAUCCAGUCAUAGUCAUACUCAAUAUCAAUCAAAAGCAAUGCAUAAAAAUGACAGAGGUGCUCUUUAAUUGGUGCUUAUAUAAGAGGAGGAUGACUCAACAGGAAAAUAAAUAGACAGGCCCUUCGCAGAGGGAAGCAUUGAUUUGCAGAGGUGCCAGAGCUCAAGCUUUGAAAACAGAGAUAAUAAUUUUGGGUGGCAUGCUUUCAUUGUCAACGCAAUGACCAAGAGUUCUCAAUAUCUUCCAUGCUACUCAUUCUAUAAGCAGUUCCCAAACAGAAAAGUAAAGUUUUAUCUCCCCCACCACCAAUCAAUCACACUCCACGGCUAGCCGAAUCCUCGGGUACCGUCCAUACUAACAUCAAUCCGGGGGGAGUCUUGUUUUACAGUUAUGUUUUCGAUUUAAGCGUGGAACUAGGCAUUCCAAUUACCGACCCCUUUCUCGUGAAUGACAGUGAAUAAACACAUGUCAAGGAUAACACUCCUAGAAUGGAAGAUACCAAUAGCCCCCUGUCACCACAUGAGCGGUUCGGGCAUGCAAAACAAAUUAUUUCUUGAAGGUUUAGAGAGUGAGACAUGCAAAUUUACUUGGAACGGCAGGUAGAUACGGCAAAUAGGUAGGUAUGGUGAACUCUCAUGGAAAAACUUUUGGGUUUAUGGAAGUGGAUGCACAAGCAGUAUUCCGCUUAGUACAACUGAAGGCUAUCAAAAGACUGGGAAGCGACCAACUAGAGAGCGACAAUAGUCAUCAAGAUGCAAUGAGUUUGACUAACAUUGAAUGCAAGCAUGAACAGGAUAUAAAUCACCAUGAACACGAACAUCAUAGAGGCUAUGUUGAUUUUGUUUCAACUACAUGCAUGAACGUGCGCAAGUCAAGCCACUUGAAACAUUCAAAGGAGAAUACCAUCCUAUCAUACUACAUCAUAGUCAUCUUCAAAAUCUAUGUUGGCAUUCAAGACAAACCAUUAUAAGCUCUCAGCUAAAUAAGCAUGGCAUCAGAAACUAUGAUCUCUAAGUUGUCAUUGCAAACAUGGUUCUCUCACAACAAAGCUAAAUAUGGGUCGACAAGCUAGUCAUAUUUACAAAAACAAAAUAGAUAGAGUUCAUAACAGCUUUUCAGUCUCAGUCACUUCAUCAUAUAUCAUCAUUGUUGCCUUUCAUUUGCACGAUCGAACGAUGUGAACAAUAAUAAGCACAUUGGACUAAGCUGAAUCUGCAGGCAAACACAAAGGAGAAGACAAAGUAAUAUGGCUCUUUGAAAGCUAAACAGGUAAGCAUGCAAGAACCAAUAAACAUUGUAACCAAUAUCUUCUACCUUGACCCAAAGAAAAAGAAAACUAUUUACACGGGAAAACUCCCAACAAGCAAAAGAAGAAAGAAAAAUCUUUUUGGGUUUUCUCAAAAGGACACAAAACAGGAAAACAAGAGAACGAAAAUAAACUUACAGCGGCAAAGUGUAAACACCGGCUAACAAAGUGAAAGCAUAAGCAUGAAUGUAAAGUCGGUGAGAACACGUACUCCCCCAAGCUUAGGAUUUUGGCCUAGCUUGGUCUACUCCCAAGGAUGGUCCUGACAAAAACCAAAGACAUAAUGGGUGUUAUAGGGAGUGCUGCAGCCACUGCCUGAGUAGCUGCCUCACGAAGUCGAGCAACAGUCGCCUCCCUCUCAUACUCCUCUGCCUCUCCUAUGGUUAUGUAGUAUCUUCGUUUUACCUGAAAGUCAAAGAAAGCAGGAGCAGGAUGGGUAAUAUGGAAAACACGCUGCCGGUUAAAUAUCAAGCGGUAUAGGAGGGAUCCAUGAUCUCUCUCAAGGAACUGGUAGCGUGUUAGAGCGACACUAUCAAGGUAGGUUGUACGGUGAGGAGGGUCUUCUGGACGGAUGGAUACUCCAAGAAAAUUUGCUAAGCAUGUAGCAUAAACUCCACCAAAGAAAUCCCCCUCACUUGCAUUUUUAUUCAGCCUCUUGCUAUUAUAGCUCCCAUAUUGAAGCUCGUGUCACAUGUUACUGUGCUCUUAAGGAUACUAAGGUCGGAAGCGCAUAGGUGACAAUGUGCACCCUUACCGUUAAUGCACCUACCUAUGAAGAGGGCAAGGUAGUGCAAGGCAGGGAAAUGGAUGCUUCCUAUGGUGGAUUGCGUGAUAUCUCUGGUUUCUCCAACAGUUAUACUAGAGACAAAGUCUCUGACCGAAGACUUAGAGGGAUCAUUAAUACUACCCCCAUCGGGUAUCUUGCAAAUCCUAUUGAAAUCCUCCAAAUCCACGGUAUAGGAUUUAUCGUACAGAUCAAACAGUAUGGAUGAGUCACGACCAACUGAAAAUUUAAAUCUACGCACGAAAGAGGCAGUGAUCAUAGCAUACUGUUCACAUUUAUCUCAGAGGAAUUCUUCUAACCCGGCAUUGCAGACAAGUGUAUCAAACUCAUCCUUGAAACCUGCUUCGAUCAUGAACUCAUCGGAAGGCCAUUCACAUGGUUGUACCGGUGCGUCCCUUAGUUGAAAAGGUUCGGGCUCCCAAAAAGAGAGACGAGGACCCUUCUUACUUGAGGAACCACCAUGAAACUUUCUCCUGAACAUAAUUUCCCUUUGCCGAAAUUUUUGAAGUUCAAGAGAAAAGUGAAUGAAGAUCCACCACACCUUGUAGCAACUACUCCUACUAGUGUCUAGAGACCGUAUCACGCGCUAAAACUACUUGGAACCAGCUAAAAUCAACAUUUCUAGCUCAAGAACAGGGUCACCAAGGUAGCAAGAAUACGCGAAGGAUAAAGCACUAGAGCAAAAACUAAUUGGACCAAUGGAGGAGUCACUUACCAAGGUGUAAUUUCCCCAAAACGGUUCAGAGAAUUGUGCUUGGAGCAAGGAGAUCGAAAAUCACAGCCAAAUGAGCAAGAACACGGGUUUGAGCUGCAAAACAAUUUUUUCUGGAGGUGGAAGAAGAGGUUGAGAGCUGGAAUGAGUGGAGGGGGUGCCUGUGGGCCCCACAAGCUUGCACUCCGCCACCAGGGUGGUAGGUGGCGGUGGCAGGGCUUGUGGCCCACUGGUCUGGCCCCCAGGCCAGCUCUCAGGCCCAGAAAUUUUCAAAAAUUCCAGAAAAAAAUCAUACUAAAUUUUCAGGACCAUCGGAGAACUUUUAUUUUUGAGGUAUUUUUCUCCGGGAUGCUAGAACAGAAAACAGGAAAAGCUAAACUAAUUCUAUCAUUUUUCUUCUAAGCAACAGAAAAGGAAAGCUCAAAACAGAGGUAUGUGACUCCUUGAUUCAUCCGUUUCAUGGUCAUCGAAAGAAAUCCGUCAAUGGGAUUGAUCAAGUCCUUAUGACAAAACCUUCUCGAAUCGCAAGAGAGAACGGAGAAUUUUCUAAUAGCCACUAAGUCACCUCAAUGGGGAUAUGUAUCUCCCCAACAAGCAAAUCAUACUUCAUCUUAACACGAGGAAUAGGGCAUUCAAAGCUCCCAAUAAGAAUCGAUGAAGUCUUUUCGAUAGCAUUGAUGCAAUGUACUUGAUAUCGUUUCUUCGAAAAGUGCACUGUGUGCUCAUUACCGUUGACAUGGAAAGUGACAUUGCCUUUGUUGCAAUCUAUAACAGCCCCUGCAGUGUUUAAAAAGGGUCUUCUGAGGAUGACAGCCAUGGCAUCGUCCUCGGGAAUAUCCAAGAUAACAAAGUCUGUUAAGAUAGUGGUGUUAGCAACCACAACACGCACAUCCUCGCAAAUGCCGAUAGGGAAAGCAGUUGAUUUGUCGGCCAUUUGCAGAGAAAUUUCAGUGGGUGUCAACUUGUCCAACUCAAGUCUACGAUAAAGAGAGAGCGCAUAACACUAACACCGGCUCCAAGGUCACAUAAGGCAGUUCUUACGUAGUUUCCUUUAAUGGAGCAAGGUAUAGUGGGCACUCUGGGAUCACCAAGUUUCUUAGGAGUUCCACCUUUGAAAGUGUAAUUGGCAAGCAUGGUGGAGAUCUCAAGAUCUGGUAUCUUCCGUUUAUUAGUCACGAUAUCUUUCAUGUACUUGGCAUACGGAGACAUCUUGAGCAUAUCAGUUAACCGCAUCUGCAGAAAGAUGGGUCUUAUCAUCUCCACAAAGCGCUCAAAAUCCUCAUCAUCAUUUUGUUGGAUGGCUUAGGAGGAAAGGGCAUAGGUCUCUGAACCCAUGGCUCCCUUUCUUUACCAUGCUUCCUAGCAGUGAAGUCAUUCUUAUCGUAUUUCUUAGGUUGUGGGUUAUCAGGAUUAACCGUAGGUUCAAUCUCCACAUCCUUAUCAUUGCUAGGUUGAGCAUUAUUAUGAACCUCACUGUCCAUAUUGUCAUCAGGUUCAUGUUCAUCACCAGAUUGUGUUUCUGCAUCAGACGCAGAAAUAUCAUUAGGUUCUUCAGGUGUGACAGUAUUUGGUGAACUGGCGUGCAGGUUUCUAUCAUCCUUCUUAGGAUGACUAGGUAUAUAAACAUUGAUUGCUUGAGAAUCUUGAUCAAUUCUCUUAGGAUGACCUUCAGGAUACAAAGGUUCAUGAGUCAUUUUGCCUCCUCUAGUAAUGGCUCUGACAGAGUUGUCAUUUAAUUCAUUGAGCAGGUCAUUCUGAGCUUUAAGUACUUGUUCUACCUGAGUAGUAAUCAUAGAGGCAUGUUUACUCAGAAGCUUCAGAUCGUUGACAUUUCUGUCUACACAAGCACUUAAAUGACUAAGCAUACGAGUACUUUGUUCCAAGUGUCUGCUCACAUAAUCAUUGAAACUCUGUUGUUUGGCAACAAAGUUGUCAAAUUCAUCAAAGCAUAGGGCAGCAGGUUUAUCAAAGGGAAUAUCACUCUCAUCAAACCUACGCAGAUAAUUCACUUCUACUACCUGUAUCGGGUUAUCGAGACCAUGGAUCUCUUCGAUAGGUGGUAGAUUUUUUACAUCUUCAGAUCUAAUGCCUUUCUCUUGCAUAGAUUUCUUGGCUUCUUGCAUAUCUUCGGGACUGAGGAAUAGAAUACCUCUUUUCUUAGGAGUUGGCUUAGGAGGUGGUUCGGGAAUAGUCCAAGCAUUAUCGUUGAUCAAGAUGUUAUUCAGUAGAGUCUCAGCUUGUUCUACAGUUCGUUCCCUAAAAACACAACCGGCACAACUAUCUAGGUGGUCUCUAGAGGCAUCGGUAAGUCCAUUAUAGAGGAUAUCAAGUAUCUCAUUCUUCUUAAGAGGGUGAUCAGGCAAAGCAUUCUGUAGCUGGACGAGCCUCCCCCAAGCUUGUGGAAGACUCUCUUCUUGGAGUUGAGCAAAGUUGUAUAUUUCCUACAAGGCAGCUUGCUUCUUAUGGGCAGGGAAAUAUUUCUCACAGAAGUAAUAGACCAUCUCCUGGGGACUACGCACACAUCCAGGAGCAAGAGAGGUGAACCAGACUUUAGCAUCAUCCUUUAGAGAGAAAGGAAACAACUUAAGGAUAUAGUAGUGCCGGAUCUUCUCCUCAUUAGUGAAAAGGGUGGCUAUAUCAUGUAGUUUGGCAAGGUGGGCUACGACCGUCUCAGACUCAUAACCGUGAAAAGGAUCAGAUUCGACUAAAGAGAUUAUCUCAGGAUCGACACAUAAUUCAUAAUCCUUAUCGGUGAUAAAGAUAGGUGAAGUGGCAAACUUCGGGUCAUAUUUCAUCUUAGCUUCCCGAGAUUUUUCCUUGCAGUUGAGAAGUAAUUUCUCAGCGUCAUAGGCAUCCUUACACGCAAGAAAAUCCUCAGCUAUCUCUCCCUCCAUAACGUAACCCUCAGGUAUAUCAAGCAAUUAAUAUCUAGGAGAGCUAGAUCUAGCAGGAGCAAAAGUAGGUUCUAUCUCAAUAGUACCGGCAGUUUCAGAAGCAUCACGAGCAUUGGCAGUAACUCUAGCAAUAUGAGCAUCAAGGAACACCCGUAGUGGAACAUCAAGCAAAGUAGUAUCUCUAGCAGUAUCAAGCAUAACAUCAUCAGGCAAAAUAGCAUCUCUAGCAUCAUCAGGCAAAGCAGUAUCAAGCAUAGCAUCUCUAGCAGUAUCAGGCAUAUCAUCAGGCAUAGUAUCAAGCAUAGUAUCAUCAGGCAUAGUAUCAAGCAUAGCAUGUCUAGUAGUAGUAUCACAAGCAUCAUCAAGCACACGCUACAUAUCAAGAUUUCUAGCAGGAGGUGAUGUCGCAAACUUACUCAAAACUGAAGGUGAAUCAAGUGCAGAGCUAGAUGGCAAUUCCUUACCUCCCCUCGUAGUUGAGGGCAAGACUUUGGUCUUCGGAUCCUUCAGGUUCUUCAUAGUGAUCAGCAGAUAUAAAUCCCAAGUGACUCAGAGAAUAUAGCAAUACCUCCCCGGCAACGAUGCCAGAAAAAUAAUUUAUGUCAAAUGUUCUUCCCCUUUGCAACGGCACCAGAAGAAUAAUGUUAGCACUCUCGGGCAAUCGAAACUAGGAGAAUGUUGUUGACGCCCACCAGCGCGUGGGAUCGUAGCAGUUUUCGAGGGUAGAGUAUUCGACCCAAAUUUGUUGAUUUUCCAGACACGAGGUGAGAGGAUACUCUCAAGUAUUAGCAGCUGAAUUUAUCAGUUUCAACCACACCUGAAAGAUUAGUAUCUGCAAGCAAAGUAGUAACAACAAAGUAGCGAGUAACGGCAGUGGCAAGGAACAUCGGUAGUGACAGGAGUAGCAAGUAGCAACAGUAGCAAGCGAUAGUAGUAGCAACAGUAGCAGCAGAGCAAGACAAGUAACAGCAGUAGCAAUAGUAGUAGUAGCAGCAGAGCAAGACAAGUAACAGCAGUAGCAACAGUAGUAGCAGCAGCAGAGCAAGAAAAGUAACAGGAGUAGCAACAGUAGUAGCAGCAGCAGUAGGACAAACUCGUAGGCAAUGGGUUGGUGAUUUGUUUGGAUGAUAUUCAUCAUGCAACAGCUAUAACACGGAGAGAUAUGUGGCUAGCUCCCGUUCGUCAAUGUGAUGUAGGCAUGCAUUCCGUGUGUCGUCAUACGUGCUUAGGUAAAAGAACUUGCAUGACAUCUAUUGUCCAUCCCUCCCGUGGAAGCGGGGUCCAAAAGGAAACUACGGGAUAUUAAGGUUCUCCUUUUAAUAAAGAACCGGACCAACACAUUAGCACAUGGUGAACACACGAACUCCUCAAACUAUGGUCAUCACCGGGAGUGGUUCCGGUUAUUGUCACUCCGGGGUUGCCGGAUCAUAACACAUAGUAGGUAACUACAACUUGCAAGAUCGGAUCUAAAACACACAUAUAUUGGUGAACACAUAAUAAUUUCAGAUCUGAAAUCAUGGCACUGGGGCCCUAGUGACAAGCAUUAAGCAUGGCAAAGUAGUAGCAACAUCAAUCUCAGAACAUAGUGGAUACUAGGGAUCAAUCCCCAUCAAAACUAACUGGAUUACAUGAUAGAUCUCAUCCUACUCAUCACCGCCCAGCGAGCCUACGAAUAGAUUACUCACGAACGACGAAGAGCUUCAUGGAAUUGGAGAGGGAAGAAGGUUGAUGAUGACGACGGCGACGGUUUCCCCUCUCCGGAGCCCAAGACGGACUCCAGAUCUGCCAUCCAGAUGAAGAACAGGUGGUGGCGGCGGCUCCGUAUCGUAAACGCGCCGAAAAGUUCUCUCUUUAUUUUUUUCUGGGACGAAAGAGAACUUAUAGACCUGAGGUUGGGGGUGGCAGAGCCGUGUGGGCCCCACAAGCCUGACCACCGCCACCAGGGGGGUGGUGUCGGAGCCAGGGCUUGUGGCCCACUGGCCCACCCCCUCAGGUGGAACUUGGCGCAGAUAUUUUUCAUAUUUUCCAAAACUGAUCCCCGUAGAUUUUCAGGACGUUUGGAGAACUUUGAUUUUUGCACAAAAAUAACACCAAGGCAAUUCUGCUGAAAACAACGUCAGUCGAGGUUAGUUCCAUUCAAAUCAUGCAAAUUAGAGUCCAACACAAGGGCAAAAGAGUUUGGAAAAGUAGAUACGAUGGAGACGUACACCCAACGAGGAGCAGAUGGAUCUCACAAGUGGUUUUCAACAAGGUAAAAUCUGCAGGCACUGAAAUUGUCAGUAAUAAGUGAUUGUGUGGUGAGAUGAUUCGUAGGAAGCAACAAGUAACAGAAGUAGCAACGGUGCAGCAAAGUGGCCCAAUCCCUUUUGUAGCAAGGGACAAGCCUGGACAAAGUCUUAUAGGAGGAAAAACGCUCCCGAGGACACACGGGAAUUUCUGUCAUGCUAGUUUUCAUCAUGUUCAUAUGAUUCGCGUUCGUAACUUUCAUAGUUUGAUAUGUGGGUGGACCAGCGCUUGGGUACUGCCCUUACUUGGGCAAGCAUCCCACUUAUGAUUAACCCCUCUCGCAAGCAUCCUCAACUACAAAAGAAGAAUUAAGACAAAGUCUAACCAUAGCAUUAAACUAGUGGAUCCAAAUCAGCCCCUUACGAAGCAACACAUAAACUAGGGUUUAAGCUUCCGUCACUCUGGCAACGCAUCAUCUACUUACUACUUCCCAAUGCCUUCCUCUAGGCCCAAAUAAUGGUGAAGUGUUAUGUUGUCGACGUUCACAUAACACCACUAGAGGAAAAACAACAUACAACACAUCAAAAUAUCGAACGAAUACCAAAUUCACGUGGCUACUAUUAGCAUGACUUAUCCCAUGUCCUCAGGUAAAAAAGUAACUACUCACAAAGCAUAAUCAUAUUCAUGACCAGAGAGGUAAUGAGCAGCAUCAAGGAUCUGAACAUAAACUCUUCCACCAAGUAAUCCAAGUAGCAUCAACUACAAAGAGUAAUCAACACUACUAGCAACCUUACAAGUACCAAUCGGAGUCGCGAGACGGAGAUUGGUUACAAGUGAUGAACUAGGGUUUGGAGAUGAGAUGGUGCUGAUGAAGAUGUUGAUGGUGAAGAGUCCCCUCCGAUGAGAGGAGUGUUGGUGAUGACGAUGGCGACGAUUUCCCCCUCUAGGAGGGAAGUUUCCCCGGCAGGAUCGUCGUGCCGGAGCUCUAGAUUGGUUCUGCUCAAGUUCCGCCUCGUGGCGGCGGAGAAUCCAUGAAAAAGCUCCUCCCUAAUUUUUUUUCCGAACGAACCCUUCAUAUAGCAGAAGAGGGGGGCAAGUGGGCCUGUGAUACGUCUCCAACGUAUCUACUUUUCCAAACUCUUUUGCCCUUGUUUUGGACUAUAAUUUGCAUGAUUUGAAUGGAACUAACCUGGACUAACGCUGUUUUCAGCAGAAUUGCCUUGGUGUUAUUUUUGUGCAGAAAUCAAUGUUCUCCAAACGUCUUGAAAAUUUACGGGGAGCAGUUUUGGAAAAUAUCAAAAAUAUCUGCGCCAAGUUCCACCUCAGGGGGUGGGCCAGUGGGCCACUAGCCCCUGCUCUGCCACCACCCCCCUGGUGGCGGUGGGCAGGCUUGUGGGGCCCACAGGCACGUGCCGCCCCCAACUCCAGCUCUAUAAGUUGUCUUUCGUCCCAGAAAAAAUAAAAAGAGAAGUUUUCGUCGCGUUUCCGAUACGGAGGCGCCGCCACCACCUGUUCUUCAUUUGGAGGGCAGAUCUGGAGUCCGUCUUGGGCUCCGGAGAGGGGAAAUCGUCGUCAUCGUCAUCAUCAACCUUCUUCCCUCUCCAAUUCCAUGAAGCUCUUCGUCGUUCGUGAGUAAUCUAUUCGUAGGCUCGCUGGGCGGUGAUGAGUAGGAUGAGAUCUAUCAUGUAAUCCGGUUAGUUUUGAUGGGGAUUGUUCCCUAGUAUCCACUAUGUUCUGAGAUUUGAUGUUGCUACUACUUUGCCAUGCUUAAUGCUUGUCACUAGGGCUGAGUGCCAUAAUUUCAAAUCUGAAAUUAUUAUGUUGUCACCAAUAUAUGUGUGUUUUAGAUCCGAUCUUGCAAUUGUAGUUACCUACUAUGUGUUAUGAUCCGGCAACCCCGGAGUGACAAUAACCGGAACCAUUCCCGGUGAUGACCAUAGUUUGAGGAGUUCAUGUGUUCACCAAGUGCUAAUGUGUUGGUCCGGUUCUUUAUUAAAAGGAGAACCUUAAUAUCCCGUAGUUUCCUUUUGGACCCCGCUGCCACGGGAGGGAUGGACAAUAGAUGUCAUGCAAGUUCUUUUCCCUAAGCACGUAUGACGACACACAGAAUGCAUGCCUACAUCACAUUGACGAACGGGAGCUAGCCACUUAUCUCUCCGUGUUAUAGCUGUUGCAUGAUGAAUAUCAUCCAAACAAAUCACCGACCCAUUGCCUACGAGCUUGUCCUACUGCUAUUACUUGUCUUGCUCUGCUGCUACUACUGUUGCUACUGUUGUUACUUGUCUUGCUCUGCUGCUGCUAAUACUGCUACUACUGUUGUUACUUGUCUUGCUCUGUUGCUGCUACUACUGUUGCUACUUCUGUUACUUGUCUUGCUCUGCUGCUACUGUUGCUACUACUGUCGCUUGCUACUGUUGCUACUUGCUACUGCUGUCACUACUGCUGUUCCUUGCCACUGCUAUUGCUAGUUACACUGCUGCUACCUGCUACACUGUUGGUUCACCUACCGUUGACGGGAAUUGACAACUUCCGUCGACGCAGCAACGAAGGCGCCAUUGAUACAAUCGUUAGGAAUAGUCUGCCGUCAACAGAUCGUUUCUGACACUGUUGUUAUCAUAUUACCUUGCUGUUACUACUGUGCUUGCACAUACUAAUCUUUCAGGUGUGGUUGAACCUGACAAAUUCAGCUGCUAAUACUUGGGAGUAUACUCUCACCUCCUAAGGCUUAUCAACAAAUUGGGUCGAAUACUCUACCCUUGAAAACUGCUGCGAACCCACGCGCUGGUGGGCCAUCAACAACAUUCUUCCAGUUUCAUUGUCGGGGAGUGCUAUCAUCAUUCUUGUGGUGCCAUUGCAGGAGAAGGUUUGUUGUCAUAAGCAUUCGUCUAGUUAACGCCAGAGAUUGCACGAUCAGCAUUUUUCUGGUGCCAUUGCCGGGGAGGUAUUGCUAUAUUCUCUGAGUCACUUGGGAUUUAUAUCUGCUGAUCACUAUGAAGAAUCUGAAGGAUCCGAAGAGCAAAGUCUUGCCCUCAACUACGAGGGGAGGUAAGGAAUUGCCAUCUAGCUCUGCACUUGAUUCACCUUCCGUUAUGAGUAAGUUUGCGACAUCACCUCCUGCUAGAAAUCUUGAUAUGUCGCCUGUGCUUGAUGAUGCUUAUGAUACUACUGCUAGAGAUGCUAUGCCUGAUGCUAUGCCUGAUACUAUGCCUGAUACCGCGCCUGAUACUGCUUGAGAUGCUAUGCUUGAUACUGCUUUGCCUGAUGAUGCUAGAGAUGCUAUUUUGCCUGAUGAUGCUAUGCUUGAUACUGCUAGAGAUACUCCUUUGCCUGAUGUUCCACUGGGAGUGUUCCUUGAUGCUCAUAUUGCUAGAGUUACUGCCAAUGCUCAUGAUGCUUCUGAAACUGCCGAUGCUAUUGAGAUAGAACCUCCUUUUGCUCCUGUUAGAUCUAGCUCUCCUAGAUAUGAAUUGCCUGAUAUACCUGAGGGUUACGUUAUGGAGGGAGAGAUAGCUGAGGAUUUUCUUGCGUGUAAGGAUGCCUAUGACGUUGAGAAAUUAAUUCUCAAGUGGAAGGAAAAAUCUUGGGAAGCUAGGAUGAAAAAUGACCCGAAGUUUGCCACUUCGCCUAUCUUUGUCACCGAUAAGGAUUAUGAAUUCUCUGUCGACCCUGAGAUAAUAUCUCUAGUCGAAUCUGAUCCUUUUCACGGUUAUGAGUCUGACACGGUCAUAGCCCAUCUUGCCAAACUAUCCAAAAUAGCCAACCUUUUCACUAAUGAGGAGAAGAUCCGCCACUACUAUAUCCUUAAGUUGUUUCCUUUCUCUCUAAAGGAUGGUGCUAAAGCCUGGUUCAUCUCUCUUGCUCCUGGAUGUGUGCGUAGUCCCCAGGAGAUGGUCUAUUACUUCUGUGAGAAAUAUUUCCCUGCCCACAAGAAGCAAGCUGCCUUGCAGGAAAUAUACAACUUUGCUCAACUCCAAGAAGAGAGUCUUCCACAAGCUUGGGGGAGGCUCGUCCAGCUACAGAAUGCUUUGCUUGAUCAACCUCUUAAGAAGAAUGAGAUACUUGAUAUCCUCUAUAACGGACUUACCGAUGCCUCUAGAGACUACCUAGAUAGCUGUGUCGGCUGUGUUCUUAGGGAACGAACUGUAGAACAAGCUGAGACCCUACUGAAUCACAUCUUGAUCAACGAUAAUGCUUGGACUAUUCCAGAACCACCUCCGAAGCCAACUCCUAAGAAAAGAGGUAUUCUAUUCCUUAGUCCCAAAGAUAUGCAAGAUGCCUAGAAAUCUAUGCAAGAGAAAGGCAUUAGAUCUGAAGAUGUCAAAAAUCUACCACCUAUCGAAGAGAUCCAUGGUCUCGAUAACCCGAUACAGGUAGUAGAAGUGAAUUCUCUGCGUAGCUUUGAUGAGAGUGAUAUUCCUUUUGAUAAACCUGCUAGCCUAUGCUUUGAUGAAUUUGACAACUUUGUUGCCAAACAACAGAGUUUCAAUGAUUAAGUUAGCAGACAUUUGGAACAAAGUACUUGUAUGCUUAGCCAUUUAAGUGCUUGCGUAGACAGAAAUGUCAAUGCUCUGAAAUUUCUGAGUAAACAUGCCUCUAUGAUUACUACUCAGGUACAACAAGUACUUAAAGCUCAGAAUGACCUGCUCAAUGAAUUAAAUGACAACUCUGUCAGAGUCAUUACUAGAGGUGGCAAAAUGACUCAGGAACCUUUGUAUCCUGAAGGUCAUCCUAAGGGAAUUGAUCAAGAUUCUCAAGGAAUCAAUGCUGAUACACCUAGUCAUCCUAAGGAGAAGAAGAAGGAUGAUAGAAACCUGCACGCCAGUUCACCAAAUACUAUCACACCUGAAGAACCUAAUGAUAUUUCUGCGUCUAAUGCAGAAACACAAUCUGGUGAUGAACAUGACCCUGGUGACAAUAUGGACAGUGAUGUUCAUAAUAAUUCUCAACCUAGCCAUGAUGAGGAUGUGGAGAUUGAACCUACGGUUAAUCCUGAUAAUCCACAACCUAAGAGAUACGACAAGAAUGACUUCACUGCUAGGAAGCAUGGUAAAGAAAGAGAGGCAUGGGUUCAGAGACCUAUGCCCUUUCCUCCUAAGCCAUCCAAGAAAAAGGAUGAUGAGGAUUUUGAGCGCUUCAUUGAGAUGAUAAGACCCGUCUUUCUGCAGAUGCGGUUAACUGAUAUGCUCAAGAUGUCUCCAUAUGCCAAGUACAUGAAAGAUAUAGUGACUAAUAAACAGAAGAUACCAGAUCUUGAGAUCUCCACCAUGCUUGCCAACUACACUUUUAAAGGUGGAACUCCUAAGAAACUUGGUGAUCCCGGAGUGCCCACUAUACCUUGCUCCAUUAAAGGAAACUACGUAAGAACUGCCUUAUGUGACCUUGGAGCCGGUGUUAGUGUUAUGCCGCUUUCUCUUUAUCAUAGACUUGAGUUGGAUAAGUUGACACCCACUAAAAUUUCUCUGCAAAUGGCCGACAAAUCAACUGCUUUCCCUAUCGGCGUUUGCGAGGAUGUGCCUGUUGUGGUUGCUAACACCACUAUCUUAACAAACUUUGUUAUCUUGGAUAUUCCCAAGGACGAUGCCAUGGCUAUCAUCCUCGGAAGACCCUUUUUAUACACUGCUGGGGCUGUUAUAGAUUGCAACAAAGGCAAUGUCACUUUCCACGUCAACGGUAAUGAGCACACAGUGCACUUUCCGAAGAAACGAUAUCCAGUACAUUGCAUCAAUGCUAUAGAAAAGACUUCAUCGAUUCUCAUUGGGAGCUUUGAAUGCCCUAUUCCUCGUGUCAAGAUGAAGUAUGAUUUGCUUGUUGGGGAGAUUUAUGUCCCCAUUGAGGUGACUUAGUGGCUAUUCAAAAAUUCUCCGUUCUCUCUUGCGAUUCAAGAAGGUUUUGUCAUAAGGACUUGAUCAACCCCAUUGACGAAUUUCUUCCGAUGACCAUGAAACUGAUGAAUCGGAGAGUCACAUACCUCUGUUUUGAGUUUUCCUUUUUCUGUUGCUUAGAAGAAAAAUGAGGGAAUUUGUUUAGCUUUUCUUGUUUUCUGUUUUAGCGUCCCGGAGAAAAAUACCUCGGAAAUAAAAGUUCUACGAUGGUCCUGAAAAAUUAGUAUGAUUUUUUCUGGAAUUUUUGAAAAUUUCUGGGCCUGAGAGCUGGCCAGGGGGCCUGACCAGUGGGCCACAAGCCCCCCCACCGCCACCUACCCCCCUGGUGGCGGGGUGCAAGCUUGUGGAGCCCACAGGCACCCCCUCCACUCAUUCCAGCUCCCAGCCUCUUCUUCCACCUCCAGAAAAAAUUGUUUCACAGCUCAAACCUGUGUUCUUGCUCAUUUGGGUCUGAUUUUCGAUCUCCUUGCUCAAAGUACCAUUCUCCGAACCAUUUUGGGGAAAUUACUCCUUGGUAAGUGACUCCUCCAUUGGUCCAAUUAGUUUUUUGCUCUAGUUCUUUAUCCUUCGCGUAUUCUUGCUACCUUGGUGACCCCGUUCUUCAGCUUGAAAGGUUGAUUUUAGCUGGUCCCAAGUAGUUUUAGCGCGUGAUACGGUCUCUAGGCACUAGUAGGAGUAGUUGCUACAAGUUGGGUUAAUCCUUAUUCACUUUUCUUUUGAAGUGUCUAAAAAUUUCAGAUUUUUUUAAAGCUAGAAAAAGGAAAAGAUGAGGAGGUUCUUGAGAGGCUCUUCAAGCCAUAACCCCAAGAAGGAUGAGAAGAACCACCCCAAGUACGCAGUCCCUUGAGUCACAGAAGUUCGAGUGUGCGAGUGGCCAAGUGAUGAAUUUUUGCGCACCGCCGGACUUUAUGAAGACUUUUAUUACUUGGUGGAGAACGCGGGUCUUACUGCGCUCGCUGAAGAUAAGUGCCCACAAUAUCUCCUCCUCACCAAUAUUUUCGUCCAAAGCUUCAACUUUUAUCCGAGGAAGAAUCCUCCCAUGGUUGAGUUCAUGAUAUACGAUGUUCCCCAGUACAUGACGUUGCAGGACUUUUGCAAUGUAUGCAAAUUACCUUAUGUUGGGGAUAUCCGUGACCCUCGUCCACAGGACUUGGAGGAUUUCAUUGGUUCUAUUGCUGUUGGAGAGGAGAGAGGAGUGUGUCGCGCUAGAAUUGCUAGCAUAUAUUUUCUUGUGCUUCGGUACUUCUCACUAUUUGUGGGAAAAUGUUUGAUUGGCCGUGGGGAGGCUGGAUCACUUAGCUCUCCAGACCUGGCGGUUUUGCGCGAAGGCCUUUAUAACAAUAAGACUUAUAGCCUGGGCGCUAUAGUAGCUCAACGGUUGAACCUGAACCGUUCUAAAGGUGUUGUCUAUGGAGGUAUCUAUGCUACCCGUCUUUCCAGACACUUCGAGAUACCCAUUAGACUGGGAGAGGAAGGAGAGAUGCUUCUCCGUGAGAAAUAUCUGGAUUAUGACAGCAUGGUUCGCCAUGAUUUUCUGGAUAGAGAUGCUAGUAGACGGAUGAUUUAUGACCUGGUAUUUAGUCAGGGUACUCGAGAGACUAUUACUUUGCCUGCUCCUUCUUUGUUUGAUCUUCAUGCAGGUAGGUACACUAUUAUGCCCGCGAACAUCUACGCAUAUUGGGGCUUGGCCCAACCACAGGCACCAGUGCCCGAGCCGCCAGUCGAGUACCAGACGCCAGUUUAUCAGGGGGAGCCAAAGGAGCUCACACAGCAGUGGCAUCCGCAGUCUGCUCUGGAGUAUCCUGGAGCUGGUUAUUUCCCACCUUGGGAGUAGACCAAGCUAGGCCAAAAGCCUAAGAUUGGGGGAGUACGUGUUCUCACCGACUUUACAUUCAUGCUUACGCUUUCACUUUGUUAGCCGGUGUUUAAACUUUGCCACUGUAUUAUCCAUGCUAGUUUCUUUUCGUUUUCUUGUUUUCUUGUUUUGUGUCCUUUUGAGAAAACCCAAAAAGAUUUUUCUUUCUUCUUUUGCUUGUUGGGAGCUUUCCCGUGUAAAUAGUUUUCUUUUUCUUUGUGUCAAGGUAGAAGAUAUUGGUUACAAUGCUUAGUGGUUCUUACAUGCUUACAUGUUUAGCUUUUAAAGAGCCAUAUUAUUUUGUCUUCUCCUUUGUGUUUGCCUGUAGAUUCAGCUUAGUCCAAUGCGCUUAUUAUCGUUUUCAUCGUUCGAUCGUGCAAAUGAAAGGCAACAAUGAUGGUAUAUGAUGAAGUGACUGCGACUAAAAAGCUGGUAUGAACUCUAUCUAUUUCAUUUUUGUAAAUAUGACCAGCUUGUCGACCCAGAUUUAGCUUUGUUGUGAGAGAACCAUGUUUGCAAUGACAACUUAGAGAUCAUAGUUUCUGAUGCCAUGCUUAUUUAGCUGAGAGCUUAUAAUGGUUUGUCUUGAUUGCCAACAUAGAUUUUGAGAUGACUAUGAUGUAGUAUGAUAGGAUGGUAUUCUCCUUUGAAUGUUUCAAGUGGCUUGACUUGGCGCAUGUUCAUGCAUGUAGUUGAAACAAAAUCAACAUAGCCUCUAUGAUGUUCGUGUUCAUGGUGAUUUCUAUCCUGUUCAUGCUUGCAUUUAAUGUUAGUCAAACUCAUUGCAUCUUGAUGACUGUUGUCGCUCUCUAGUUGGUCGCUUCCCAAUCUUUUGCUAGCCUUCACUUGUACUAAGCGGGAAUACUGCUUGUGCAUCCACUUCCAUAAACCCAAAAGUUUUUCCAUGAGAGUCCACCAUACCUACCUAUUUGCGGUAUCUACCUGCCGUUCCAAGUAAAUUUAAACGUGCCAUUCUCUAAACCUUCAAGAAAUAAUAUGUUUUGCAUGCCCGAACCGCUCAUGUGGUGACAGAGGGCUAUUGAUAUCUUCCAUGCUAGGAGUGUUAUCCUCGACAUGUGUUUAUUCAAAGUUAUUCACGAGAAAGGGGCCGGUAUUUGAGAUGCCCAGUUCCAUGCUUAAAUCGAAAACAUAACUGUAAAACAAGACUCCCCCCGGAUUGAUGUUAGUAUGGACGGUACUCGAGGAUUCGGCUAGCCGUGGAGUGUGAUUGAUUGGUGGUGGGGGAGUUAAAACUUUACUUUUCUGUUUGGGAACCGCCUAUAGCAUGAGUAGCAUGGAAGAUAUUGAGAACUCUUGGUCAUUGCGUUGACAAUGAAAGCAUGCCACCCUAAAUUAUUAUCUCUGUUUUCAAAGCUUGAGCUCUGGCACCUCUGCAAAUCAAUGCUUCCCUCUGCGAAGGUCCUGUCUAUUUAUUUUCCUGUCGAGUCAUCCUCCUCUUAUAUAAGCACCAAUUAGAGUGCAUGUCUGUCAUUUUUAUGCUUUGCUUUUGAUUGAUAUUGAGUAUGACUAUGACUGGAUCUUCGUUGCUAUGAAUUACAAUGUUUAGUCAGCCCUUGAUCUUUGAAAGUGCUCUGCAUUUAUGUUUUGCGGUCUCAGAAAGAGCUAGCGAGAUACCACCUAUUCAUAUUGCUUCAUGCUUGUUUUGAUUGAAGUGUUGGUAUUUGAAACUCAUUAUUAUUUGCUCGUUAGCUGAUUAUGCCAUUGAUAUUAGUUUACCGUGAGACCUUUGUGUCAUUUGCUUAUGUGGUUAACUUGUGAUCUUGCUGAUAUUCUGGUUAUGAGUUAGACAUAGUUGCAACAACAAGAUCAAACAGAGUUUGUCAAAGUUUUCCUUUCUCUCUCAGUUUGUCAACUGAGUUGCUCGAGGACAAGCAAGGUUUUAAGUUUGGGGGAGUUGAUACGUCUCCAACGUAUCUACUUUUCCAAACUCUUUUGCCCUUGUUUUGGACUAUAAUUUGCAUGAUUUGAAUGGAACUAACCUGGACUGACGUUGUUUUCAGCAGAAUUGCCUUGGUGUUAUUUUUGUGCAGAAAUCAAAGUUCUCCAAACGUCCUGAAAAUUUACGGGGAGCAGUUUUGGAAAAUACAAAAAAUAUCUGUGCCAAGUUCCACCUCAGGGGGUGGGCCAGUGGGCCACAAGCCCCUGCUCCGCCACCACCCCCUGGUGGCGGUGGGCAGGCUUGUGGGGCCCACAGGCACCUGCCGCCCCCAACUCCAGCUCUAUAAGUUGUCUUUCGUCCCAGAAAAAAUAAAAAGAGAAGUUUUUGUCGCGUUUUCGAUACGGAGGCGCCGCCACCACCUGUUCUUCAUCUGGAGGGCAGAUCUGGAAUCCCUCUUGGGCUUCGGAGAGGGGAAAUCGUCGCCAUCGUCAUCAUCAACCUUCUUCCCUCUCCAAUUCCAUGAAGCUCUUCGUCGUUCAUGAGUAAUCUAUUCGUAGGCUCGCCAGGCGGUGAUGAGUAGGAUGAGAUCUAUCAUGUAAUUGAGUUAGUUUUGAUGGGGAUUGAUCCCUAGUAUCCACUAUGUUCUGAGAUUUGAUGUUGCUACUACUUUGCCAUGCUUAAUGCUUGUCACUAGGGCCCGAGUGCCAUGAUUUCAGAUCUGAAAUUAUUAUGUUGUCACCAAUAUAUGUGUGUUUUAGAUCCGAUCUUGCAAGUUGUAGUUACCUACUAUGUGUUAUGAUCCGGCAACCCCGGAGUGACAAUAACCGGAACCACUCCCGGUGAUGACCAUAGUUUGAGGAGUUCAUGUGUUCACCAAGUGCUAAUGCGUUGGUCCGGUUCUUUAUUAAAAGGAGAACCUUAAUAUCCCGUAGUUUCCUUUUGGACCCCGCUGCCACGGGAGGGAUGGACAAUAGAUGUCAUGCAAGUUCUUUUCCCUAAGCACGUAUGACGACACACGGAAUGCAUGCCUACAUCACAUUGACGAACGGGAGCUAGCCACUUAUCUCUCCGUGUUAUAGCUGUUGCAUGAUGAAUAUCAUCCAAACAAAUCACCAACCCAUUGCCUACGAGCUUGUCCUACUUCUGUUACAUGUCUUGCUCUGCUGCUGCUACUACUGUUGCUACUGCUGUUACUUGUCUUGCUCUGCUGCUGCUACUACUGCUACUACUGUUGUUACUUGUCUUGCUCUGUUGCUGCUACUACUGUUGCUACUGCUGUUACUUGUCUUGCUCUGCUGCUACUGUUGCUACUUGCUACUGCUGUCACUACUGCUGUUCCUUGCCACUGCUAUUUCUCGUUACACUGCUACUACCUGCUACACUGUUGGUUCACCUACCGUUGACGGGAAUUGACAACUUCCGUUGACGCGGCAACAAAGGCACCAUUGAUACAAUCGUUAGGAAUAGUCUACCGUCAACAGAUCGUUUCUGACACCGUUGUUAUCAUAUUACCUUGCUGUUACUACUGUGCUUGCAUAUACUAAUCUUUCAGGUGUGGUUGAAUCUGACAAAUUCAGCUGCUAAUACUUGAGAGUAUACUCUCACCUCCUAAGGCUUAUCAACAAAUUGGGUCGAAUACUCUACCCUCGGAAACUGCUGCGAACCCACGCGUUGGUGGGCCAUCAACAACAUUCUUCCAGUUUCAUUAACGGGGAGUGCUAUCAACAUUCUUCUGGUGCCGUUGUAGGAGAAGGUUUGUUGUCAUAAGCAUUCGUCUAGUUAACGCCAGAGAUUGCGCGAUCAGCCAGCAGGUUGACCACAAGCCCUCAUGGUGCGUCCUGGGGGGUGGCCGCGCCGUGCAGGCUUGUGGGCACCCCCUGGCGCCCCUGUGGCACUUCUUCGGCCCAAUAUUUUUGAUAAAUCCGGAAAAAAUCCUCGUUGAUUUUCACGGCCUUUGGAGUUGCGCAGAAUAGGUAUCUCAACUUUGCUCCACUUUCACGCCAGAAUUCCAAUUGCCGGCAUACUCCCUCUUCAUGUAAACCUUGCAAAAUAAGAGAGAAAAGGCAUAAGAAUAGUACCAUGAAGUGAAAUAACAGCCCAAGAAGCGAUAAAUAUCAACAUGAAAACAUGAUGCGAAAUGGACGUAUCAACUCCCCCAAGCUUAGACCUCGCUUGUCCUCAAGCAAAAGCCAAGCUCAAUAAAUAUGUCCACAUGUUUAGGGAGAGAGGUGUCGACAAAACAAGAUACGAACAUGCAUGCAUCAUGAUCAAGAUCAUAACAACAAUACCAACAUAUAAUCUCUCAUGCUAAAGUGAUAAUUCCUUCACAAAGUAAAGCAUGGAUCAAGAACCUUACCGAGAAGUAACAACCGAUAGCUUUUAGUCAUUGAAGCAAUUGCAAUUUAUCACAACAUCAGAAAGAGUCAAAUAAGAGCUUGUAAAGCAAAUCCACAUACUCAAUCAUUCUUUCGUUCUCUACAAUUGGUACAACUCACGUGGUACUCAUGAGAUCAAAGUUUCAGCUGGACACAGAGAAAGAUAGGGGCUUACAGUUUUGCCUCCCAACUGCUUACCUCAAGGGUAAUGUCAUCAAUAAUAAUUCAUGAAUACUUACCUCCAAGUUGACAUAUGAAUAUAGAUCUUUCCCAAGCAUAUGACGUUAGCCAAGAUAAAGGCGAAACAAGGAAUUGGUGAAGAUCACCAUGACUCUUUCAAAGGCAAAAAGUAAAGGUACAAGAUAGGCCCUUCGCAGAAGGAAGCAGAGGUUGUCAUGCGCUUUUGAGGUUUGGAUGCAUGUCCUCUUAGUGCGGAGGAAUGCCACUUUAUAUUUCUUCCUGUGAUAAAGAACUUUAUUAUGCAGUCUGUCACUUUUAUGUCUUCCUCAUCACAGGUUCGUAUAAAGCUUAUUUUCCACACACUAAUAGAUCAUACAUAUUAGAGAGCAUUUUUUAUUGCUUGCACCGAUGACAACUUACUUGAGGGAUCUUAUUCAAUCCAUAGGUAGGUAUGGUGGACACUCAUGGCAAAACUGGUUUGAAGGUUUAUGGAUGCACAAGUAGUAUCUCUACUUGGUGCGGGAGGUUUUGGCUAAUAUGAGGCGGAAGCAAUCGUCACAUGCUAAGGGAUCUCUAAUCAUAUAACAUUGUUUGGAGCCAAGCAAGCACAAUUCAUUAUGUUGUCUUCCUUGUCCAACAUCUACUUCUAGGCAUGUAAUAGUUUAGUGAGUGUUCACAAUCAUAGAUGGUGUGAGAGAUGAUAUAUUUAUACGUGAACCUCUCCUUCUUUAUCACUUCCUAUUAAUUGCAACCAUGACCAAGGUCUACGUUUGCCUACCCUCAACAAGUUUCAAUCCUCAUUCUUUUUAUAUGUGAAGCCAUCACUUCCCAUAAGAUCAUUACAUGAUCUUUCAUGCUUUUGUUCUAUUCUCACUCUUUUGAUCAUGGCAAGAGGCGAAGCCCUUCAACUAAGACACUCUUUAUUAUAUGGCUCACGAGCUCGAAUACAUCGGGGGUGACACAAAGCAAAACUCAAGACUAAAACACUAAGACUUUUAAUCUACUAGAGAAAAAGAAAACUGAAAAGGAACAAACUUAAACAAAGGUAAAAGCAAAAGAUGUGAUGGUGAUACGAUACCGGGGCAACUCCCCUGAUCUUGGCACAAGCCAAGGGGAUUGCCCAUACCAAUGCUGAGUUGUCUUCGUUUGGUUGUGAUGGUGGAGUUGUUGCAACAUGAGUUUGAUCCUCCGUCUUCCAAGUCAUAGGUGCUCCAUCAUGGAAAGAUGAACGACUCUCCAGAAUCCUCAAAUCUGGAGCCAACCGUAUUGAUUUAAAUUUGUACUCAUACUCACAAUUUUGGUUCUGCAGGUCAUAGAUCUGGGCCUGGAGUUGAUGAAUCCUGUCAUAGAGCCUGGAGAGGUGCUUCCCAAUGUCAUUGGCAUCAAUCAUGUGCUUGUUGGUGAACUCCGUGAUCAUCAUGUGGUUGGCGUUGAGUCCACGCUCCACCAUCCCUUGACACUUGAAUACUUGUUGCUCCAUUGCUUCGAGCCUCGUCUCCACGCUUCCCAUCUUCUUAGGCCCCUCAACAUCAUGGAUGUGCAACAUCCCCUCAUGCAUCUCGAUAGAUUGAGGGUGUUGUAGCACUCCCAUGAGGUAGGGAUUGAUUAACUUCUCGAAGAUCUUGUCCUUCGGAGCUUUUGGGGAAGUCAUGGCGAUCUAGAUCUGCAACAGAAACAUGCUCGAAACGAAAAACAGAGGAAAUCUGCGUGAUCCAGGGGUCAGACCAAACAAAAGUAUAUAUAAUGUUUUUUCAGACCAGAAGGAGUACCCCGCACGAAAACGGAGUCCGGGAGGGGCACGAGGUGGCCACAAGCCCUCAUGGCGCGGCCAGGGGGUGGACCCGCGCCGUGCAGGCUUGUCGCCUCCUCGCGCACUUUUCGGACUACUUCCAAUUUUUGUAUUUUUUCAAAUAUUCCAAAACAGAGAAAAUUUCCUACUGGAAAAGUUUUGGACUCUGUUUUCUUACCGAAUCACACACCUCUUCGUUUUCGGAGUCUGAAACAGGGUGAUAAAUAUCCCUUAGGUAUUCUUCCGGAGUUAUGGUAUUGAAAAUAUUGCUUUCAACAUUUAUGGGAGUACCUGAGAUAUAAUGCUUGAUUCUUUGCCCAUUUACCACUCUCGGACAAUUACCUUCCGUGUUGUUGAUCUUGAUAGCACCAGAACGAUAUACUUCCUCAACAACAUAGGUACCUUCCCAUUUAGAGAGAAGCUUGCCUGCAAAGAAUCUUAAACGAGAGUUAUAUAGCAAGACAUAAUCACCUACAUUGAUCUCACGCUUUUGUAUCCUCUUAUCAUGCCACCUCUUAACCUUCUCUUUGAACAGCUUGGCAUUCUCAUAUGCCUGAGUUCUCCACUCAUCAAGCGAGGUAAUAUCAAAUAACCUCCUCUCACCAGCAAGUUUGAAAUCAAAGUUUAGCUCUUUGAUUGCCCAAUAAGCUUUAUGCUCUAGCUCAAGAGGUAAAUGACAUGCUUUAUCGUACACCAUUUUGUACGGAGACAUGGCCAUGGGAUUCUUAUAUGCAGUUCUAUAAGCCCACAGUGCAUCAUCGAGCUUCUUAGACUAAUUAUUUCUAGACCUGUUGACAGUCUUUUGCAGAAUUAGUUUAAUCUCUCUAUUUCUUAGCUCUACUUGACCACUGGACUGAGGGUGAUAGGGAGACGCAAUUCUAUGGUUGACAUCGUACUUAGCAAGCGUUUUAUGGAAAGCACCAUGAAUGAAGUGUGAACCACCGUCGGUCGUUAGGUAUCUAGGGACUCCAAAUCUAGGGAAGAUAACUUCUUUAAGCAUCCUCAUAGAAGUGUUGUGAUCAACACUACUAGUGGGGAUAGCUUCCACUUAGUGACGUAAUCAACAACAACUAGGAUAUGAGCAUACCCAUUGGAUUUUGGAAAAGGUCCCAUAUAAUCAAAGCCCCAAACAUCAAAUGGUUCAAUGACAAGUGAGUAGUUCAUAGGCAUUUCCUGACGUUUUCUAAUAUUAUCUAUUCUUUGAGAUUCGUCACAAGACAAGACAAACUUACGGGCAUCCUUGAAGAGAGUGGGCCAAUAGAAACCUGAUUGCAAUACCUUGUGUGCAGUUCUAUCUCCCGCAUGGUGUCCUCCGUAGGCCUCGGAGUGACACUUCUGCAGGAUCUGUCCCUGUUCAUGUUCAGGUACACAACGUCUAAUAACACCAUCUACUCCUUCCUUAUAAAGGUGAGGAUCAUCCCAAAAGUAGUGUCUCAAGUCAAAGAAGAAUUUCUUCUUUUGCUGGUACAUGAAACUAGGUGGUAUGUAUUUGGCAACGAUAUAGUUUGCAUAAUCAGCAUACCACGGUGAACUACGUGAAGCAUUGAUGACAUUCAAUAGCUCAAUGGGAAAGCUAUCAUCAAUAGGUUGUGGGUCAUCAAGAACGUUCUCCAACCUAGACAAGUUAUCUGCUACUGGGUUAUCAGCACCCUUUCUGUCGACAACGUGCAAAUCAAAUUCUUGUAGCAAGAGAACCCAUCUGAUAAGUCUCGGUUUAGCGUCUUUCUUCUCCAUGAGGUACUUCAUGGCAGCGUGAUCAGUGUGAAUAAUGACUUUGGAAUCAACUAUGUAAGACCUGAACUUUUCACAUGCAAACACGGGUGCUAAAAAUUCCUUCUCCGUAGUGGCAUAGUUUCUCUCGGCACUGUCUAGAGUUUUACUAGCAUAGUGAAUAACAUUCAACUUCUUAUCAACUCUUUGCCCAAGAACAACACCAACAGCAUAAUCACUAGCGUCACACAUGAUCUCAAACGGUAAGUUCCAAUCAGGUGGUUGAACAAUAGGUGCAGUUAUCAAAGCCCUCUUAAGUAUUUCAAAGGCUUCCUCACAAUCAUCGUCAAAGACAAAAGGAAUAUCCUUUUGCAAGAGAUUGGUAAGAGGCCUAGAAAUCUUAGAGAAGUCUUUAAUGAACCUUCUAUAGAAACCUUCAUGACCAAGGAAACUUCUUAUCCCUUUGAUAUCUGUGGGGUAUGGCAUUUUCUCGAUUGCAUCAACCUUAGCCUUAUCGACUUCAAUACCUCUUUCGGAAAUUUUAUGUCCUAAGACAAUUCCUUCAUUAACCAUAAAGUGGCACUUCUCCCAAUUCAAGACAAGAUUGGUGUCUUUACAUCUCUCUAAGACUCGAUCAAGGUUGCUGAGGCAAUCAUCAAAAGAAAACCCGUAAACGGAGAAGUCAUCCAUGAAAACCUCGACAAUCUUUUCACAAAAGUCAGAGAAUAUAGCCAUCAUACAUCUUUGAAAGGUGGCAGGUGCAUUACAUAAGCCAAAGGGCAUACCUCUAUAAGCAAAGGUACCGAAAGGGCAGGUGAAAGUGGUUUUCUCCUGAUCAGAUUGUGCAACUGGUAUUUGGGAGAAACCAGAAUAACCGUCUAGAAAGCAAAAGUGUGUGUGUUUAGACAACCUUUCUAGCAUUUGGUCGAUAAAAGGCAAAGGGUAAUGAUCCUUCCUAGUGGCUUUAUUCAAUUUCCUAAAACCGAUCACCAUCCUAUAGCCAGUAAUAAUCCUUUGUGGGAUAAAUUCAUCCUUAUCAUUAGGGACAACGGUAAUGCCUCCCUUCUUAGGGACGCAAUGCACCGGACUCACCCAAUCGCUAUGAGCAACAGGAUAGAUAAUACCCGCUUCCAGGAGCUUUAGUAUUUCUUUUCUCACUACUUCUUUCAUCUUAGGAUUUAAUCUCCUUUGAUGAUCAACAACUGGUUUGAAAUCAGGAUCGGUUUUAAUCUUGUGCUGGCAUAGGGUAGGACUAAUGCCCUUAAGAUCAUCAAGAGUAUAUCCAAUAGCAGCACGGUGCUUCCUCAGAGUUUUUAGUAACUUCUUUUCUUCAUGCUUUGAGAGGCUAGCACUAAUAAUGACAGGAUAUAUCUCCUUUUCAUCAAGAUAGGCAUACUUAAGAGUAUCAUGCAACUAUUUAAGAUCGAACACAGGAUCACCCUUUGGUGGGGGUGGAUCCCCAAGCAGUUCAACGAUAUUGUUCUAAGACAACUCUAUCUCAUCCCUUUCAUCCAUAUGUAUAUCAUUUUUAUGCUCAAGCAAGUAUUGCUCUAAGGGAUCAGUAGGAGGCACGACAAUAGAAGCUAAGGCAAUAGUUUCAUCCUUACUAGGCAACUCCUUUUCAUGAGGUUGUCUACCAAACUUAGAGAAACUGAACUCAUGUGACACACCUUCAAAGCCAACAGUGACAGUUUGCUUCUCACAAUAAAUAUGAGCAUUGACGGUAUUGAGAAAAGGUCUGCCAAAUAUGAUGGGACAAAAGCUAUCUUGUGCGGUAGAAAGAACGAGGAAAUCAGCAGGAUACUUCAUUUUACCACACAAGACUUCAACAUCCCAAACAAUUCCCACAGGGCAGAUAAUAUCUCUAUUGGCAAGCUGAAUAGUGACAUCAAUGGGCUCUAUCUCAACAGGUGCAAUCUCGUCUUUAAUUUCAUCGUAUAAGGAUUGAGGUAUUGCACUAACACUAGCACCCACGUCACAUAAGCCAUGAUAACAAUGAUCUCCUAUCUUAACAGAAACCACAUGCAUGCCAACAACAUGCCUAUGUUUGUCUCUAGCGUGAGGUUUAGCAAUUCUAGCAGCAUCUUCACAGAAGUGAAUAUUAUGUCCCUCAACAUCGUCGCACAGAAGAUCUUUGAUAAUAGCAAUGCUAGGUUCAACUCUAAUUUGCUCAGGGGGUGUAGGUGUUCUAAUAUAGCCUCUACGUAUCACAAUUGAAGCUUUAGAAUGAUCCUUCAUCCUAACAGGGAAAGGUGGUUUCUCAAUGUAAGCACUCGGAACAAGAGGAUCAUUAUAGGCAAUGACUUUCUCUUCAACUGGAAUGGGUUUAACUACAUUGACUUCUAAAGGAGGAUGAUAUUUAAACCACUUCUCUUUGGGGAGAUCAAUAUGGGCAGCAAAGGAUUCACACAAUGAAACUACUAUCUCAGAGUCAAGUCCAUACUUAGCGCUAAAAUCACUAAAGGUAUUUGUCUCAACAAAGGAUUUAACGCAAUCAAACGUGAAAUUCAUACCUGACUCCUUACCUUCUUCAAGCUCCCAAUCUUCAGAGUUGCGUUUAAUUCUCUCCAAUAAAUUCCAUUUGAAGUCAAUAUCUCUCUUCAUAAAAGAACCGGUACAAGAAGUGUCAAGCAUGGUGCGAUCAUCAUGAGAAAGCCGAGCAUAGAAGUUCUGAAUGAUAAUUUCUCUCAAGAGCUCAUGAUUGGGGCAUGAAUAUAACAUUGAUUUAAGCCUCCCCCAAGCUUGAGCGAUGCUUUUUCUGUCACAAGGCCAAAAAUUGUAAAUAUAAUUCCGAUCACGAUGUACUAAAUGCAUAGGAUAAAACUUUUGAUGAAACCAAUUUCAACCGAUUGUAGUCCCAUGAUCCAGUAUCAUCACAUAGCCUAUACCAUGUCAACGCCUUAUCCUUCGAAGAUAAAGAAAAGACAUUCUUCUUGACCUCAUACUCGGGCACACCUGCAAGCUUAAAUAAACCACAAACUUCAUCUACAUAGAUUAGAUGCAAGUCUGGAUGUGAUGUUCCAUCUCCUGUAAAAGGAUUAGCCAGCAGUUUCUCAAGCAUACCCAAAGGAAAUUCAAAGAAAAUAUUUUCAGUAGGUGCAGAAAGUUGAGGAGCAACUAUUUGUGCUUCCGUUCGAGGUGAACAUACCCCGAACAAGCCCCUCAAAGGAUUAGUAUCCAUAGUAACAAGUGACAAUAAAUUUCAGCACACUAUAUGAANAGGAGACACGAGAAUUUCUGUCAUGCUAGUUCUCAUCAUGUUCAUUUGAUUCACGUUCGUUACUUUGAUAGUUUGAUAUGUGGGUGGACCAGCGCUUGGGUACUGCCCUUACUUGGGCAAGCAUCCCACUUAUGAUUAACCCCUCUCGCAAGCAUCCGCAACUAUGAAAGAAGAAUUAAGACAAAGUCUAACCAUAGCAUUAAACUAGUGGAUCCAAAUCAGCCCCUUACGAAGCAACACAUAAACUAGGGUUUAAGCUUCUGUUACUCUAGCAACCCAUCAUCUACUUACUACUUCCCAAUGCCUUCCUCUAGGCCCAAAUAAUGGUGAAGUGUUAUGUAGUCGACGUUCACAUAACACCACUAGAGGAAAAACAACAUACAACACAUCAAAAAAUCGAACGAAUACCAAAUUCACAUGACUAGUAAUAGCAUGACUUAUCCCAUGUCCUCAGGAACAAAAGUAACUACUCACAAAGCAUAAUAAUAUUCAUGAUCAGAGAGGUAAUGAGUAGCAUCAAGGAUCUGAACAUAAACUCUUCCACCAAGUAAUCCAACUAGCAUCAACUACAAAGAGUAAUCAACACUACUAGCAACCUUACAAGUACCAAUCGGAGUCGCGAGACGGAGAUUGGUUACAAGUGACGAACUAGGGUUUGGAGAUGAGAUGGUGCUGAUGAAGAUGUUGAUGGUGACGAGUCCCCUCCUAUGAGAGGAGUGUUGGUGAUGACGAUGGCGAAGAUUUCCCCCUCUAGGAGGGAAGUUUCCCCGGUAGGAUCGUCCUGCCAGAGCUCUAGAUUGGUUCUGCUCAAGUUCCACCUCGUGGCGGCGACGAAUCCACGAAAAAGCUCCUCCCUGAUUUUUUUCCAGACGAAACCCUUCAUAUAGCAGAAAAGGGGGGCAAGUGGGCGAGCAGGUUGCCCACAAGCUCUCAUGGCGUGGCCGUCGGGGGGGGGGGGGGGUGGCCGCGCCGUGCAGGCUUGUGGGCACCCCCUGGCGCCCCUUGAUACGUAACAAACGUAUCUAUAAUUUUUGAUGAUUUCACGCUGUUAUCUUUCCUUCUUUGUAUGUUUUAUGUACCUUUUUAUAUCUUUUUGGGACUAACUUAUUAAUUCAGUGCCAAGUGCCAGUUCCUGUUUUUCCGUGUUUUUGACUCUUUUAGAUCUGAUUUUGGAAUGGAGUCCAAACGGAAGAAAAACCCCGAAAUGAUUUUCUCCCGAACGGAAGAAGUCCACGGGGCUUUUGGGCCAAGCCAGGUGGGCUCCAGGGAGCCCACAAGCCCCCACUCCGCCACUAGGGGGGAGGCGGCGGUGGGCAGGCUUGUGGCCUCCCUGGCCGCCCCCUGACCUAGAUCUUUGGCCUAUAAAUUCCCAAAUAUUCUGCAAAAAAUCUCGGGAGUCUCGAAAAUACAUUUUCGCCGCCGCAAGCUUCCGUUUCCGUGAGAUCUUAUCUGGAGACUCUUCCCGGCGCCCUGCUGGAGGGGACUUUGGAGUUGGAGGGCUUCUUCUUCAUCAUCAUCGCCCCUCCAAUGACUCGUGAGUAGUUCACUUCAGACCUACGGGUCCAUAGUUAGUAGCUAGAUGGCUUCUUCUCUCUCUUGGAUCUUCAAUACAAAGUUCUCCAUGAUCUUCAUGGAGAUCUAUCCGAUGUAAUCUUCUUUGGCAGUGUGUUUGUCGAGAUCCGAUGAAUUGUGGAUUUGUGAUUAGAUUAUCUAUGAUAUAUAUUUGAGUCUUUGCUGAUUUCUUAUAUGCAUGAUUUGAUAUCCUUGUAAGUCUCUCCGAGUCUUCGGUUUUGUUUGGCCAACUAGAUCUAUGAUUCUUGCAAUGGGAGAAGUGCUUGGUUUUGGGUUCAUACCGUGCGGUGACCUCACCCAGUGACAGAAGGGGUAGCGAGUCACGCAUCGUGUUGUUGCCAUCAAGGGUAAAAAGAUGGGUUUUUUAUCAUUGGUUUGAGAUUAUCCCUCUACAUCAUGUCAUCUUGCUUAAGGCGUUACUCUGUUCUUAUGGACUUAAUACACUAGAUGCAUGUUGGAUAGCGGUCGACGUGUGGAGUAAUAGUAGUAGAUGCAGACAGUAUCGGUCUACUUGUUUCGGACGUGAUGCCUAUAGAAAUAAUCAUGGCAUAGAUAUCGUCACGACUCUGCACAAUUCUAUCAAUUGCUCGACAGUAAUUUGUUCACCCACCGUCUACUUGCUUUCAUGAGAGAAGCCACUAGUAAACACAAUGGCCCCCGGGUCUAUUCACAUCCAUCGUUUACAACUCCACUUUUACUUUGCUUUGUUACUUUGUUCCUUUCAGUUCUCACUUGGGAAACAAUCUAUAAGGGAUUGACAACCCCUUCAUAGCAUUGGGUGCAAGUUUUUGUGUUUGUGUAGGAUCUUGAGAUACUCCUCCGCCGGAUUGAUACCUUGGUUCUCAAAACUGAGGGAAAUACUUACCUCCGCUGUGCUACAUCAUCCUCUCCGCUUCGAGGGAACACCAACGCAGAAGGAUUCCUGGUGCCGUCAACGUGCUCAUUUCUGGCACCACUGGAAGGUCUUUUGUGCAGUAGCAUAACGGACAUCAGAAGCAUCUCUGGCACCUUGCCGGGGAUACACAGCAAACAUCAGAAGUAUUUCUGGCGCCGUUGCCGGGGAGGAGAAAUCAAGAUCUAUCCAAGUAGGUCUCACAAACUCUUCUCUUGCAUUUACUUUUGUUGCCAGUUGCCUCUCGUUUUCCUCUCCCCCACUUCACAUUUGCCGUUUUCAUUCGCGUUUCUCCUUCGCCAUUUUCUCUUGCCCUUGCCGUUUUCCUUUGCCGGUUUCUUGCUUGCUUGUGUGCUUGUUUGUUUGUUGAAGACAUCAUGUCUGAAAACACCAAACUUUGUGACUUCUCGAGCACUAAUAAUAAUGAUUUUAUAGUACUCCGAUUGCUCCCGCCACUAGUGUGGAAUCGUAUGAAAUCAACGCAACUUUGCUGAAUCUUGUUAUGAAAGAGCAAUUUUCUGGCCUUCCUAGUGAAGAUGCCGCAUCCCAUCUCAAUACCUUCAUUGAGCUUUGUGAUAUGUAAAAGAAAAGAGAUGUGGAUAAUGACGUGAUUAAGUUGAAACUUUUUUCCUUUCUCGUUGCGAGAUCACACAAAAACUUGGUUUUCUUCUUUGCCUAAAAAUAGUAUCAAUUCUUGGGAUAGGUGCAAAGAUGCUUACAUAUCCAAGUAUUUUCCGCCGACUAAGAUCAUCUCCUUACAUAACGAUAUCAUGAAUUUCAAGCAACUUGAUCAUGAACACGUUGCACAAUCUUGGGAGAGUUUGAAGCUUAUGAUUAGAAAUUGUCCCGCUCAUGGCUUGGACUCCGCCUCAGGUGGAACGUUCAUGGAAAUCACGUUAGGAGAUGCUACAAAACUCCUAGACAAUAUCAUGACCAACUACUCUCAGUGGCAUACUGAAAGGUCGCCUGCUAGCAAAAAGGUGCACGCUAUAGAAGAGAUUAACUCGCUUAGUGCUAAGAUGGACGAGUUGAUGAAUUUGGUUGCUAGUAGAAACGCUACCGUAGAUCCUAAUGACAUGCCACUAUCUUCUUUGAUUGAGAGUAGCAACGCUAGUUUGGACGUGAACUUUGUUGGUAGGAACAAUUUUGGCAACAACAAUGCUUUUAGAGGAAACUAUGUUCCUAGGCCUUUUCCUAGUAACUCCUCUAACAAUUAUGGCAAUUCCUACGGCAACACUUAUGGAAAUCACAACAAAUUACCCUCUGAUCUAGAGAGUAAUAUCAAAGAGUUCAUCAACUCUCAAAAGAUUUUCAAUGCGUCCAUAGAGGAAAAACUACUCAAAAUAGACGAUUUGGCUAAGAGCGUUGAUAGGAUGUCUUGUGAUAUUGAUGCUUUGAAAGUUAGAUGCGGUCCUCCCAAGAUCUACUUGGAUGAAACUUUGAAAGCUAUGCGUAUCUCCAUGAAUGAGAGCAAAGAAAGAACCGCCCAAAUUCGCGCUAGACAUGAAUGGUUUAAAAGGGUGCAUUCUAGUGAUGCAAAUCACAAAGAUCUUAAAGUGCUUGGUGUGUCUCCUCUUGAAUCUUUGUUUUCGCGUGACAAACCUACUUAUGGAGGGGCUGGAUAUGAAUCCACUUUGGUUGAAAAACGCCCCGAUGAUUGGAGUCCACCUAUCUUGAUGAUAAAGGUGUGGAGAGUGGAGUAGAAGAAGUCAAAAUUUUGGGUAGUAAUGAAACUCCCACUUUGGAUUUCAAGGAAUUCAAUUAUGAUAAUUUCUCCUUGUUUGAAUGCAUUUCUUUGAUGCAAUCCAUUGCAAACUCUCCACAUGCUUAUAGCCAAAGUAAAGCCUUUACCGCGCAUAUCGUAGAUGCUAUGAUGAAAUCUCUUCAAGAGAAGCUCGAACUAGAAGUCUCUAUACCUAGAAAACUUCAUGAUGAGUGGGAACCUACUAUCAAAUCAAGAUAAAAAACUAUGAGUGCAAUGCUUUGUGUGAUUUGGGUGCUAGUGUUUCCGCGAUUCCAAAGUCUUUAUGUGAUAUUCUUGGUUUUCAUGAGAUUGAAGAGUGUUCUCUUAAUUUGCAUCUUGCGAAUUCUACUGUCAAGAAGCCCAUGGGGAGGAUCGAUGAUGUUCUUAUUGUUGCAAAUAAGAACUAUGUACCCGUGGAUUUCAUUGUACUUGACAUAGAUUGCAAUCCUUCAUGUCCCAUUAUUCUUGGUAGACCUUUCCUAAGGACUAUUGGUGCUAUCAUCGAUAUGAAGGAAGGGAAUAUUAGAUUUCAAUUUCCCUUAAAGAAGGGCAUGGAGCACUUUCCUAGAAAGAAAAUAAGAUUGCCAUAUGAAUCUAUGAUGAGGGCUACCUAUGGUUUGAGUACCAAAGAUGACUAUACGUGAUUCCAUCACUUUCGCCUAGCUAAGGGCGUUAAACAAAAGCGCUUGUUGGGAGGCAACCCAACGAAUCCAUCCUUUUUCUUUCUGUUUUGUGUUUUCCACACUUUCAUAAUUCUGUUAUGAUUGUGUUUUUGUGUUCCUUUUUGCGUUUGUGCCAAGCAAAACCGUUAUGAUUAGUCUUCAGGAUGAUCGUUUGGACAUGCUGGAAAAGACAGAAACUUUCUGCUCACGAAAAGAAUUUUAAUUUAUUUCUAUAAGAGCUUUUGAGUUGAUUCUUUUUUCUGCUGAUUUCUACGCAAAUUCUUCAGACUGUCGUAAUUGUUCUAAAUUUUUGAAGUACCAGAGGUAUAAGAAAUAUACAGAUUGCUACAGACUGGUCUGCUGUUAACAGAUUCUGUUUUUGUUGUGUUGGUUGCUUAUUUUGAUGAAACUAUGGAUAGUAUCGGGGGGUAUUAGCCAGGGAAUAUUGAAAGUACAGUAACACAACAUCAUAACAAGUAGAAUUUAAGUUCGCUACAGUACCUAAGGAAGUGGUGGUUUGCUUUCUUGUACUAAUGUUAUCACGAGUUUCUGUUUAAGUUUCGUGUUGUGAAGUUUUCAAGUUUUGGGUGAAGUUCUUAUGGACAAAAAGAUAAAGAGUGGCAAGAUAUCAAGCUUGGGGAUGCCCAAGGCACCCCAAGAGAUUCAAGGAUGCCGUAAAAUCCUAAGCUUGGGGAUGCCCCGGGAAGGCAUCCCCUCUCUCGUCUUCAAUCCAUCGGUAACGUUACUUGGGGCUAUAUUUUUAUUCACCACAUGUUAUGUGUAUUUGCUUGGAGCGUCUUGUAUCGUAGGAGUCUUUUCUUUUUGUUGUGUCCCAAUCAUCCUUGCUGCACACCUAGAGAGAUAUACAUGCACACACCGUGAUUUUGUCGAGCUUCACUUAUAUCUUUUGGUAGACAAUUCAGCUCACAUGUGCUUCACUUAUAUCUUUUGAGCUAGAUACUUUUGCUCUGUGUGCUUCACUUAUAUCUUUUAGUGCGCAACGGUGCGUGGCUUGGUAGUUGAUCUAUGCUUUUAAAGUAGUCUCAAAAGGGGUAGUUAUCCAAAGGAAUACGAAAACUUCCACCUUCAUGUGCAUUGAAUAGUUAGAGAAGUUUGAUUCAUCUCAAUUAGUUUUGAGUUGUGGUUAUGGUAAUAUUGAAGUCAUGCUAGUAAGGUGUUGUGGAUCUAGAAAUACUUGUGUUGAAGUUAGUGAUUCCCGUAGCAUGCACGUAUGGUGAACCUCUAUGUGAUGAAGUCUGAGCAUGAUUAGUCUUUUGAUUGUCAUCCUUUGCGUGGUGGUCGGGAUCGCGCGAUGGUUUAUACCUACCAACCCUUCCCCUAGGAGUAUGUGUUGAAUGCUUUGUUUCGAUUACUAAUAAAACUUUUGCAACAAGUAUAUGAGUUCUUCAUGACUAAUGUUGAGUCCAUGGUUUAGAUGCACUUUCACCUUCCACCAUCACUAUCUUCUUAGUGCCGUGCAACUUUCGCCAGUGCACAAAACCCACCAUUAGCCUCCCUCAAAACAGCCACCAUACCUACCUACUAUGGCUUUUUCAAAAGUCAUUCCGAGAUAUAUUGCCAUGCAACUAACACCAUGACAUGUGCCACCACGUCUACAUUGCCAUUGCAAGAUUGUAAGAUAGCUAGCAUGAUGCUUCCAUUGAUGUCUAUACCAUGCUAGAUCAUUGCCACAGUACACUACCGAAGGCAUUCCAUGUAGAGUCAUAGUUGCUCUAAGUUUUGAGUUGAAAGCGUGAUGAUCAUCAUUAUUGGAGCAUUGUCCCAUGUGAGGAAAUAAAAGAGGCCAAAGAAGCCCAUAAAAAAAGAGGCCAAAGAGCCCACCAAAAAAAAUGAGAGAAAAAGAGAGAAGGGACAAUGCUACCACUUUUUCCACACUUGUGCAUAUUGAGCACCAUGAUCUUCAUGAUUGGGACUCUCUCAUUUUGUCACCACCAUAUAGCUAGUGGGAAAUUUUCAUUAUAUAACUUGGCUUGUAUAUUCAGAUGAUAGGCUUCCUCAAAAUUGCCUUAGGUCUUCGUGAGCAAGCAAGUUGGAUGCACACCCACUAGUUUUCUUUAUGAGCUUUCACAUACUUGUAGCUCUAGUGCAUCAUUUGUAUGGCAAUCCCUACUCAUUCACAUUGAUAUCUAUUGAUGAGUAUCUCCAUAGCUCAUUAAUAUGCCUAGUUAAUGUGACUAUCUUCUCCUUUUUGUCUUGCAACCUCCACCACAUUCCACACCAUCUAUAGUGCUAUAACCAUGGCUCACGCUCAUGUAUUGCGUGAGAGUUGAAAAUGUUUGAGAAAGUAAAGGUGUGAAACAAUUACUUGGCCAAUACCGGGGUUGUGAAAGAUUUAAAUUCAUUGUGCAAUGGUGAUAGAGCAUAGCUAGACUAUAUUAUUUUGUAGGGAUAACUUUCUUUUGGCCUUGUUAUUUUGAAAGUUCAUGAUUACUUUGCUAGUUUGCUUGAAUUAUUAUUGUUUCCACGUCAAUAGAAAACUAUUGUAUUGAAUCUAAUGGAUCUGAACAUUCACGUCACAUAAGAGGAAUUACAAAGGACACCUAUGCUAGGUAGCAUGAAAGCAUCAAAAAUUCAUUCUUAUCACCUCCCUACUCGAGGACGAGCAGGAGUUAAGCUUGGGGAUGCUUGAUACGUCUCAAACGUAUCUAUAAUUUUUGAUGAUUUCACGCUAUUACCUUGCCUUCUUUGUAUGUUUUAUGUACCUUUUUAUAUCUUUUUGGGACUAACUUACUAAUUCAGUGCCAAGUGCCAGUUGCUGUCUUUUUCGUGUUUUUGACUCUUUUCAGAUGUGAUUUUGGAACGGAGUCCAAACGGAAGAAAAACCCCGAAAUGAUUUUUUCCCAAACGGAAGAAGUCCAGGGGGCUUUUGGGCCAAGCCAGGUGGGCUCCAGGGAACCCACAAGCCCCCACUCCGCCACCAGGGGGGAGGCAGCGGUGGGCAGGCUUGUGGCCUCCCUGGCCGCCCCCUCACCUAGAUCUUUGGCCUAUAAAUUUCCAAAUAUUCUGCAAAAAAUCAGGGGAGCCUCAAAAAUACUUUACCGACGCCGCAAGCUUCCGUUUCCGUGAGAUCUCAUCUGGAGACCCUUCUUGGUGCCCUACCGGAGGGGACUUUGGAGUUGGAGGGCUUCUUCAUCAUCAUCAUCGUCCCUCCAAUGACUCGUGAGUAGUUCACUUCAGACCUACGUGUCCGUAGUUAGUAGCUAGAUGGCUUCUUCUCUCCCUUGGAACUUCAAUACAAAGUUCUCCAUGAUCUUCAUGGAGAUCUAUCCGAUGUAAUCUUCUUUGGCGGUGUGUUUGUCGAGAUCCGAUGAAUUGUGUACUUGUGAUCAGAUUUUCUAUGAUAUAUAUUUGAGUCUUUGCUGUUUUCUUAUAUGCAUGAUUUGAUAUCCUUGUAAGUCUCUCCGAGUCUUCGGUUUUGUUUGGCCAACUAGAUCUAUGAUUCUUGCAAUGGGAGAAGUGCUUGGUUUUGGGUUCUGCCAUGUGGUGACCUUUCCCAGUGACAGUAGGGGCAGCAAGGCACACAUCAAGGAGUUGCCAUCAAGGGUAAAAAGAUGGGGGUUUUAUCAUUGGUUUGAGAUUAUCCCUCUACAUCAUGUCAUCUUGCUUAAGGCGUUACUCUGUUCUUAUGGACUUAAUACACUAGAUGCAUGUUGGAUAGCGGUCGACGUGUGGAGUAAUAGUAGUAGAUGCAGACAGUAUCGGUCUACUUGUUUCGGACGUGAUGCCUAUAAAAAUAAUCAUGGCAAAGAUAUCGUCACGACUCUGCACAGUUCUAUCAAUUGCUCGACAGUAAUUUGUUCACCCACCGUCUACUUGCUUUCAUGAGAGAAGCCACUAGUAAACACUACGGCUCCGAGGUCUAUUCACAUCCAUCGUUUACAACUCCACUUUUACUUUGCUUUGUUACUUUGUUGCUUUCAGUUCUCACUUGGCAAACAAUCUAUAAGGGAUUGACAACCCCUUCAUAGCGUUGGGUGCUAGUUUUUGUGUUUGUGCAGGAUCUUGAGAUACUCCUUCGCCGGAUUGAUACCUUGGUUCUGAAAACUGAGGGAAAUACUUACCUCCGCUGUGCUACAUCAUCCUCUCCGCUUUGAAGGGAACACAAACGCAGAAGGAUUCCUGGUGCCUUCAACGUGCUCAUUUCUGGCGCCACUGGAAGGUCUUUUGUGCAAUAGCAUAACGAACAUCAAAAGCAUCUCUGGCACCUUGCCAGGGAUACACAACAAACAUCACUCCUCUGGCACUUCUUCGGCCCAGUAUUUUUGAUAAACCCGGAAAAAAUCCUCAUUGAUUUUCACGGCGUUUGGAGUUGCCCAGAAUAGGUAUCUCAACUUUGCUCCACUUUCAGGCCAGAAUUCCAGUUGCCGGCAUUCUCCGUGUUCAUGUAAACCUUGCAAAAUAAGAGAGAAAAGGCAUAAGAAUAGUACCGUGAAGUGAAAUAACAGCAAAAUAAGCGAUAAAUAUCAACAUGAAAACAUGAUGCAAAAUGGACGUAUCAGGUACUAGCCAUGGAAAAGUGAGAAUGCAGUAAUCUAACACCAAUAUAAAUAGAAAUCAAGUUUGCUACAGUACCUAAAGAGAUGGUAGUUUGUUUUCUUACGCUAAUGAUAUCAUGAGUUUCUGUUUAAGUUUUGUGUUGUGAAGUUUUCAAGUUUUGGGUGAUGUUCUCGUGGACAAUGGAAUAAAGAGUGGAAAGAGAUCAAGCUUGGGGAUGCCCAUGGCAUCCCAAGCCAAAUUCAAGGACACCAAAAAGCCUAAGCUUGGGGAUGCCCCGGGAAGGCAUCCCCUCUUUCGCCUUCAAUCCAUCGGUAACAUUACUUGGAGCUAUAUUUUUAUUCACCACAUGAUAUGUGUUUUUCUUGGAGCGUCUUGUAUUGUAGGAGUCUUUCCUUUUUGUUAUGUCACAACUAUCCUUGCUGCAAACCUUUUGAGAGAGACAUGCACUCAUCAUGAAUUUGCUAGAAUACUCUUUCAGCUUCGCUUAUAUCUUUUGAGUUAGGUAACUUUGCUCUAUGUGCUUCACUUAGAUCUUUUAGAGCACGACGGUGUCAUAUUUUGGAGAAAUAAGAACUCUCGAUCUUCACUUAUAUCUUUUUGAGAGUGAUCUCUCUAAGUAACUUGGUAGUUGGCUUGUGCUAUGAAAGUAGUCCCAAAGGUGAUAGGUACCCAAAGAGGAUACAAUAAAACUUCCAUGUUCUUGUGCAUUGAUUAGAAAGAGAAGUUUGAUUCCUCUCAAAUAGUUUUGAGACAUGGAUUUGGUAAUAUUAAGAGUUAUGUUAGUAGGGUGUUGUGAAUCUAGAAAUACUUGUGUUGAAGUUAGUGAUUCCCGUAACAUGCACGUAUGGUGAACCGCUAUGUUAGGAAGUCAGAGCAUAAUUGAUCUAUUGAUUGUCAUCCUUUGUGUUGGGGUCGGGAUCGCGCGAUGGUUAACACCUACCAACCCUUCCGCUAGGAGUAUGUGUUUAGCACUUUGUUUGAAUUACUAAUAAAAACUUUCGCAAUAAGUAUGUGAGUUCUUCAUGACUAAUGUGAGUCCAUGGUAUAGAUGCACUUUCACCUUUCACCAUUGCUAGCCUCUCUAGUGCCGCGCAACUUUCGCCGGUGCACAAACCCACCAUAUGCCUUCCUCAAAACAGCCACCAUACCUACCUACUAUGGCAUUUUCAUAGCCAUUCCGAGAUAUAUUUCCAUGCAACUCCCACCGUUCCAUCUCAUGACAUGUGCCAUCACUUUCAUAUUGCCAUUGCAUGAUCGUAAGAUAGCUAGCGAGAUGUUUUCAAUGUCACACGCCAAGCUAGAUCGUUGCACAUCCCAGUACACUGCCGGGGGCAUUUCCUAUAGAGUCAUCAUUGUUCUAAGCAUUGAGCUGUGAGUAAAUUAAAGUGUGAUGAUCAUCAUUAUUAGAGCAUUGUCCCAUGUGAGGAAAUAAAAAAAAGGCCAAAGUUGCCCACAAAAAAAAAGAGAUAUGGAAAGAGGCCAAAGAGCCCAAACAAAAAAUAAAUAAAUAAAAGAGAGAAAAAGAGAGGAGGGGCAAUGCUACUAUCUUUUCCACACUUGUGCUUCAUAAUAGCACCAUGUUCUUCAUGAUUGAGAGUCUCUUGUUUUGUCACCACCAUAUGCUAGUGGGAAUCUUCAUUAUAUAACUUGGCUUGUAUAUUCCAAUGAUGGGCUUCCUCAAAAUUGCCCUAGAACUUCGUGAGCAAGUGAUGUCUGCUAUGCUAAUGCACAAAUGUCCUUCCAAUGGCGCCAGAAACAGGUGUGUCGACGGCACGAGGAAUCCUUCAGCUGCGGCUACGCCUUAAGGGACUUCCUAGGAAAGUAUGCAAAGGAUUUCCCCCGUGGCCUUGGAACCUUCCGUUGGUGUUCCCUUGAAGCGGAAAGGGUGAUGUAGCACAGUUACGGUAAGUAUUUCCCUCAGUUUGAGAACCAAGGUAUCAAUCCUGUGGAGGAGUAUCACAAGAUCCUGCACAAACACAAAAGCUUGCUCCCAACACUAUGAAGGGGUUGUCAAUCCCUUAUAGAUUGUUUGCCAAGUGAGAACUGAAAGUAACAAAGUAACAAAGCAAAGUAAAAGAAGAGGUGUAAACGAUGGAUGUGAAUAGACCCGGGGGCCGUAGUGUUUACUAGUGGCUUCUCUCAUGAAAGCAAGUAGACGGUGGGUGAACAAAUUACUGUCGAGCAAUUGAUAGAACCGCACAAAGUCAUGACGAUAUCUAUGCAAUGAUUAUAUAUAUAGGCAUCACGUCCAAAACAAGUAGACCGAUACUUUCUGCAUCUACUACUAUUACUCCACACGUCGAUCGCUAUCCAACAUGCAUCUAGUGUAUUAAGUCCAUAAGAACAGAGUAACGCCUUAAGCAAGAUGACAUGAUGUAGAGGGAUAAUCUCAAACCAAUUAUAAAACCCCCAUCUUUUUAUCCUUGAUGGCAACUGCUUGAUGUGUGCCUUACUGCCCCUAUUGCCACUGGGAAAGGUCACCACAUGGUAGAACCCAAAACCAAGCACUUCUCCCAUUGCAAGAAUCAUAGAUCUAGUUGGCGAAACAAAACCCAAGACUCGGAGAGACUUACAAGGAUAUCAAAUCAUGCAUAUAAGAAAUCAGCAAAGACUCAAAUAUAUAUCAUAGAUAAUCUGAUCAAAAAUCCACAAUUCAUCGGAUCUCGACAAACACAGCGCCAAAGAAGAUUACAUCGGAUAGAUCUCCAUGAAGAUCAUGGAGAACUUUGUAUUGAAGAUCCAAGAGAGAGAAGAAGCCAUCUAGCUACUAACUACGGACCCGUAGGCCUGAAGUGAACUACUCACGAGUCAUUGGAGGGGCGAUGAUGAUGAUGAAGAAGCCCUCCAACUCCAAAGUCCCCUCCGGCAGGGUGCUGGGAAGGGUCUCCAGAUGAGAUCUCGCGGAAACGGAAGCUUGCGGUGGCGAAAAAGUAUUUUCGAGGCUCCCCUGAUUUUUUGCGUAAUAUUUGGGAAUUUAUAGGCCAAAGAUCUAGGUCACGGGGCGUCCAGGGAGGCCACAAGCCUGCCCACUGCCGCCUCCCCUAGUGGCGGAGUGGGGGCUUGUGGGCUCCGUGGAGCACACCUGGCCUGGCCCAAAGGCCCCCCGAUCUUCUUCUGUUCGGGAAAAAAUCAUUUCGGGGUUUUUCUUCCGUUUGGACUCCAUUCCAAAAUCAGAUCUGAAAAGAGUAAAAAACACGGAAAAACAGGAACUGGCACUUGGCACUGAAUUAAUAAGUUAGUCCCAGAAAAGAUAUAAAAGGUACAUAAAACAACCAAAAAAGACAAGAUAACAGCGUGAAACCAUAAAAAAUUAUAGAUACGUUUGAGACGUAUCAACAAGCAAGUUGGAUGCACACCCACUAGUUCUCCUUUUGAGCUUUCACAUACUUAUAGCUCUAAGUGCAUCCAUUGCAUGGUGAUCCCUACUCUCUCACAUUGAUAUCUAUUAAUGGGCAUCUCCAUAGCCCUUUGAUACGCCGAGUCGAUGUGACCAUCUCCUCCUUUUUGUCUCACAACCUCCACCACACUCUAUUCCACCUAUAGUGCUAUACCCAUGGCUCACGCUCAUGUAUUGCGUGAGAGUUGAAAAAGGUUUGAGAAAGUAAGAGUGAGAAAAUAAUUACUUGACCAAUACCGGGGUUGUGCAUGAUUUAAAUUAGUUGUGUGGGGAUAAUGGAUCAUGGCCAGACUAUAUGAUUUUGUAGGGAUAAUUUUCUUUGGCCUUGUUAUUUCGAAAGUUCCUGAUUAUGUUGCUAGUUUGCUUGAAGUAUUAUUGUUUUCAUGUCAAUAGCAAACUAUUGUUUUGAAUCUUACGGAUCUGAACAUUCAUGUCACAUGAAAGAAGUUACAAAUGACAAAUAUGCUAGGUAGCAUUCCACAUCUAAAAUUCGGUCUUUAUCACUUCGCUACUCGAGGACGAGCUGGAGUUAAGCUUGGGGAUGCUUGAUACGUCUCCAACGUAUCUAUAAUGUUUGAUGGUUCCAUGCUAUUAUCUUGUCAAACUUUGGAUGUUUUGUAUGCCUUUUAUAUCUGUUUUGGGACUAACUUAUUAACUCAGUGCCAAGUGCCAGUUCCUGUUUUUUCCGUGUUUUUGACCCUUUUCAGAGGAGAAUAUUAAACGGAGUCCAAACGGAAUAAAACUUCCGAAAAGAUUUUUCCGGAAUAGAAGAUAUGCAGGGGGCGUGAGAACCAAGGCACAUGCCACCACGGGAGGCCACAAGCCCCUAGGCGUGGCCAGGGGGGCCCGCACCUAACAGGCUUGUGGCCCCCCUGUGGCUCGUCUGCCCUACUUCUUCUGCCUAUAAAUCCCCGAAAAAUCCAAAACCACGAGUGAGAUCCACGAAAAUACUUUUCCGCCGCCGCAAGCUUCUAUCUCCGCAAGAUCCCAUCUGGGGCACAUUCUGGUGCCCUGCAGGAGGGGGGAUUUGGAUACGGAGGGCUUCUUCAUCUUCACCAUUGCCUCUCCGAUGAUGCGUGAGUAGUUCACCAUAGACCUUCGGGUCCAUAGCUAGUAGCUAGAUGGCUUCUUCUCUCUCCUGGAUCUUCAAUACAAAGUUCUCCAUGAUCUUCAUGGAGAUCUAACCGAUGUAAUCUUCUUUUGCGGUGUGGUUGUCGAGAUCCGAUGAAUUGUGGGUUUAUGAUCAAAUUAUCUAUGAAUCUUAUUUGAUUUUCUUCCGAUCUCUUGUAUGCAUGAUUUCAUAUCCUUGUAAUUCUCUUCGAGUUAUGGGUUUUGUUUGGCCAACUUGAUCUAUGAUUCUUGCAAUGGGAGAAGUGCUUGGUUUUGGGUUCAUACCGUGCGGUGACCUCACCCAGUGACAGAAGGGGUAGCGAGGCACACAUCGUGUUGUUGCCAUCAAGGGUAAAAAGAUGGGGUUUAUAUCUAUUGCAUGAAUUUAUCCCUCUACAUAAUGUCAUCUUGCUUAAGGCAUUACUCUGUUCAUCAUGAACUCAACACACUAGAUGCAUGCUGGAUAGCGGUCGAUGUGUGGAGUAAUAGUAGUAGAUGCGGACAAUAUCGGUCUACUUGUAUCGGACGUGAUGCCUAUAUGUAUGAUCAUUUCCUUAGAUAACGUCAUGACUUUGCGCGGUUCUAUCAAUUGCUCGACAGUAAUUCAUUCCGCCACCGUAAUAUUUGCUAUUUUGAGAGAAGCCUCUAGUGAACACUAUGGCCCCCGAAUCUACUUCACAUCAUAUUUUCAGCCUUACACUUUUACUUCGUUGCACUUCCCACCUUCAUAUCUCACUUUGCAAUCAAUCUUGAAGGGAUUGACAACCCCUUUAUAGCGUUGGGUGCAAGCUCGUUUGUGUUUGCGCAGGUACUCUGGAAACUUGGCUUGAUUCUCCUACUGGAUUGAUACCUUGGUUCUCAAACUGAGGGAAAUACUUACUGCUACUAUGCUGCAUCACCCUUUCAUCUUCAAGGGAAAAACCAACGCAAGCUCAAGAGGUAGCACACACCUACUUGAAGUCUUCCACGACAAAACCCAAGGUUAGUUUAUCCCUCUUAGGGGGGUGUCACAUCUAGGGGAGCUUUACUCUAAGACUUGAGUAUAAGCAUCUUCUAAACCAUGUCAACACAUUAAUGCUUUAUGUAAAAGUGGUAACCCCACCUGUGCUUAAUCGAUGAGUAUGACCUAUGAUCAAGUAUUCUUACUUGGCUCCUAUGUCAAUAUACACAUAUAUAGAUGACUUCGUCAUCGCCAAAGUGCUUGAUAGAUGCUAGAAUGUUUGUGCAUGUUCACCAUGUUUUAUUUGACAUCUUAUUGUGUGAGCAUGUUGGUAUGCUUAUUUUGUUCAUUCGAGGAUAUCCAAUUGUUGUUAUUUGGCUUUCUAUUUAUUUUGGCCAAUUGGAUAUGCAAGAAUGCCUAAGUACCUCCAUCUAGUUCUCUAUGCUUUCUCGCCUCAAAUUCAAUUCAUGCUACAUCACAAAAUUUGAGCAAGCACUUUAGGGACACUUUGUGUGAGGAGCACUCGGAGAUCCAUGUCAACAAGGGCUGAAUUCCGAGUCUCCCAAAGUGCAUUUUUGUGUGACCAACCUCAAAAUCUCGGUCCCACCGAAGCCUAGGGCUGAUCAGGUUUUCCCAUCUCGGUACCGCUGUGUUGUUGCUUUCGGCCUCACCGAGUUUCUCUCUCAGCUGGCAGUUAAGGAACUUGGCGGCACUGAAACAUCCAUCUCGGUGUCACCGACAACCAGUAGAUAUAUAUUGGGGAAAGUUGCAUGGGAAACAAAAAAUUUCCUACGCACACGCAAUACCUAUCCAUGGUGAUGAUCAUCUACGAGAGGGGAGAGUGAAUCUACAUACCCUUGUAGAUUGCUAAGCGGAAGCGUAUAUAACGUGGUUGGUGUAGUGGACCAUCUUCAUGAUCCAAAUCGCAGCCCGUCCUGCGGUCCCAUCAUGAUCCAUCCCGAUCUAGUGGCGAACGGACGACACCUCCACGUUCAGCACACGUACAGCUCGAUGACGAUCUCCGCCUUCUUGAUCCAACAAGAGGGGCGGAGAGGUAGAUGAGUUCUCCAGCACGGCGGCCUGGUGGUGGUGGUGGUGAACUAAUCCAACAGGACUUCGCCUAAGCACCGCCGAACUAGACUAGAGAAGAAACAGAUCUAGAGAGAAGUAGAGGCAGCCGUGCCUAAUUUGUGUCUCUCAAAACCCUCAAAACCUCUAGUAUUUAUAGGAGGAGGGGAGAGGAGGCAGACUUGGCCCCUACUCCAAGGAGAAGGGGUCGACCGAACUCUUCAAGGAAGAGUCCACCUUCCCACAAGGGAGGUGGACUACUUUGGGAGGACUCCUCCUUCCUUUCCUUUUAAAGGACUUUUGCCUUUUAUCUCCACUCCUAGCCACAUGGUAUUUUGAGAGAGGCUUCGUCCAUCCCACCAGGGGCUGGUCCACCUACUCUCACAUCCCAUAAGGCUCUUGGGUCAUCACACCCCUGCCGGUGGUCCCCCGGCACUCCCGGUACACUGCCGAUGAGCCCAAAACUUUUCGUGUGACCAAAACAUGACUUCCUAUAUAUCAAUAUUUACAUCUGGACCAUUCCGGAACUCCUCGUGACAUCCAGGAUAUCAUUCGGGACUCCAAACAACCUUCGGUCACCAAAACCUAUAACUCAACUAUACUGAAACAUCACCGAACCUUAAGUGUGCAGACCCCGCGGGUUCGAGAACUAUGCCGACAUGACCUGAGACACUCCCCGAUCAAUAACCAAUAGUGGGACCUGGAUGCCCAUAUUGGAUCCUACAUAUUCUACGAAUAUCUCUAUCAGUUGAACCUCCAUGUCAAGGAUUCAGUUAAUCCCGUAUGCUAUUCCCUUUGUCCUUUGGUAUGUUACUUGCCCGAGAUUCGAUCGUCGGUAUCUGCAUACCUAGUUCAAUCUCGUUACUGGCAAGUCUCUUUACUCGUUCUAUAAUACAAGAUCCCAUGACUAACUCCUUAGUCACAUUGCUUGCAAGGCUUGUAGUGAUGUUGUAUUACCGAGUGGGCCCCGAGAUACCUCUUCGUCACAUGGAGUGAAAAAUUCCAGUCUUGAUCCACGCCAACCAAACAGACACCUUCGGAGAUACCUGUAGAGCACCUUUAUAGUCACCCAGUAACGUUGCGAUGUUUGAUACACACAAGGUAUUCUUCAGGUGUCCGGGAGUUGCAAGAUCUCAUGGUCAUAGGAAGAGAUACAUUGACAUGUAGAAAAACAGUAGCAAUAAACUGACACGAUCAUAUGAUACGUUUAUAGUUUGGGUCUUGUCCAUCACAUCAUUCUCCUAAUGAUGUGAUCCCGUUAUCAAGUGACAACACUUGUCUAUGGACAAGAAACCUUGACCAUCUUUGAUCAACGAGCUAGACAACUAGAGGCUCACUAGGGACACUGUGUUGUCUAUGUAUCCACACAUGUAUUUGAGUUUCCAAUCAAUACAAUUCUAGCAUGGAUAAUAAAUGAUUAUCAUGAGCAAGGAAAUAUAAUAGUAACCAAUUUAUUAUUGCCUCUAGGGCAUAUUUCCAACAGUCUCCCACUUGCACUAGAAUCAUAAUCUAGUUCACAUCACUAUGUGAUUGUAAUGAAUCUAAUACCCAUAUAGUUAUGGGGUUUGAUCUUGCUUGUGAGAGAGGUUUUUAGUCAACGGGUCUGAAUCUUUUAGAUCCGUGUGUGCUUUACAAAUCUCUAUAUCAUCCUAUAGAUGUUGCUACCACGCGCCAUUUGGAACUAUUCCAAAUGACUGCUCUACUAUACGAACCCGGUUUAUUACUCAAAGUUAUCCGGAUUAAUGUCAAAGCUUGCAUCGAUGUAACCCUUUACGACGAACUCUUUAAUCACCCCCAUAAUCGAGAAAAAAAAUCCUUAGUACACUAGUUACUAAGGAUAACUCUUGACCAUUGUCCAGUAAUCCAUUCCUGGAUCACUCCUUUACACCUUUACAGAUUCAUGGCAAGGCGCACAUCAGGUGAAGUACACAACAUAACAUACUAUAGAUCCUACGGCUGAUGCAUAGGGGACGACCUUUGUCCUUUCUCUUUCUUCUACCGUGGUUGGGCUUUUGAGUCUUAAUCAAAUUCACACUUUACAACACACCAAGAACUCCUUCUUUGCCGAUCUAUUUUGAACUCCUUCAAAACCUUGCCAAGGCAUGCAUUUCAUUGGAAGUUUUAUUAAGCAUCUUAAUAUAUCUCUAUAGAUCUUAACGCUCAAUGUUCAAGUAGCUUAAUCCAGUUUUUCCUUUGAAAAACUCCUUUCAAACAACCCUUUAUGCUUUCUAGAAAUUCUACAUUGUAUUUGAUCAACAAUAUGUCAACCACAUAUACUCAUCAGAAAUUCUAUAGUGCUCCCACUCACUUCUUUGGGAAUACAAGUUUCUCAUAAAUGUUGCAUAAACCCAAAAACUUUGAUCAUCUCAUCAAAGCUUAUAUCCCAACUCCGAGAUGCUUGCUCCAGUCCAUAGAAGGAUCGUUGGAGCUUGCAUACUUGUUAGCAUCCUUGGGAUUGACAAAACCUUCUCGUUAUAUCACAUACAACCUUUCCUCAAGGAAACCAUCGAGGAAACAAUGUUUUGACAUCCUAUCUGCAAGAUUUCAUAAAUAAUGUAGCAAAUGCUAACAUAAUUCCAACAUACUUUUAGCAUCGCUACGAGUUAGAAAGUGUCACUCUUUGAACUUGUCGGAAACAUCUUUGAGACAAGUCGAGCUUUCUUAAUGGUGACUUUUCACCAUCAUCGUUUGUCUUCCUUUUGAAGAUCCAUCUAUACUUAAGAGUCUUACGACCAUCAAGUAGUUCUUCCAAAGUCUACACUUUGUUUUCAUACAUGAAUCCUCUCUCGGAUUUCAUGGCAUCCAACCAUUUGUCGAAAUCUGGGCCCACCAUCGCUUCCCCAUAGUUCGUAGGUUCAUUGUUGUCCAACGACAUGACCUCCAAGGCACGGUAAUCGUACCACGCUGGAGCAGUACGUGACCUUGUCGACCUACUAGGUUUGUAGUAACUUGAUCUGAAGCUUCAUGAUCACUAUCAUCAGCUUCCACUUCAAUUGGUGUAGGAGCCACAUGAACAACUUCCUGCGCCCUGCUACACACUGGUUGAACUGACAAUUCAAUAACCUCAUAAAGUGUCAACCAUCCUCCCACUCAAUUCUUUUGAUAAAAACUUUUCCUUGAGAAAGGACUCGUUUCUAGAAACAAACACUUUGCUUCCGGAUCUGAGAUAGGAGGUAUACCUAGCUGUUUUGGGUGUCCUAUGAAGAUGCAUUUAUCCGCUUUGGGUUCGAGCUUAUCUGGCUGAAACUUUUUCACACAAGCGUCGCAGCCCCAAACUUUUAAGAAACGUCAGCUUAGGCUUCUCUAAACAUAGUUCAUAAGGUGUCAUCUCAACAGAAUUCUGUGGUGCCCUAUUUAAAUCGAAUGCGGUUGUCUCUAAUGCAUAACCCAAAAACGAUAGUGGUAAUUCGAUAAGAGACAUCAUAGUAUGCACCAUAUCUAAUAGGGCGCGACUACGACGUUCGGACACACCAUAACACUAUGGUAUUCCACGUGGCAUUAGUUGUGAAACAAUUUCCACAAUGUCUUAAUUGUGUACCAAACUCGAACUCGGAUAUUCAUCUCUAUGAUCAUAUCGUAGACAUUUUAUCCUCUUGUCACGACGAUCUUCAACUUCACUCUAAAAUUACCUGAACCUUUCAAUAAUUCAGACUUGUGUUUCAUCAAGUAAAUAUACUAGUAUCUACUCAAAUCAUGUGUGAAGUAAGAACAUAACGAUAUCCACCGCGUGCCUCAACACUCAUUGGACCGCUCACAUCAAAUUGUAAUACUUCCAACAAGUUGCUUUCUUGUUCCAUCUCACUAGAAAACGAGGCCUUUAGUCAUCUUGCCUAUGUGGUAUGAUUUGGAUGUCUCAAGUGAUUCAAAAUCAAGUGAGUCCAAAUGAUCCAUCUGCAUGGAGUUUCUUCAUGCGUUCAUACCAAUAGACAUGGUUCGCAUGUCUCAAACUUUUCAAAAAACGAGUGAGUCCAAAGAUCCAUCAACAUGGAGCUUCUUCAUGCAUUUUAUACCAAUAUGACUCAAGUAUAAGUGCCACAAGUAAGUGGUACUAUCAUUACUACUUUAUAUCUUUUGUCAUCAAUAUUAUGAACAUGUGUAUCACUACGAUUGAGAUUCAAUAAACCAUUGAAGAUAUUUUUUUAAGAAAAUAGAAUAACCAUUAUUCUCUUUAAAUGAAUAAUCGUAUUGCAAUAAACAUGGUCUAAUCAUGUUCAUGCUCAACGCAGACACCAAAUAAUAUUUAUUUAGGUUCAACACUAAUCCCGAUGGUAGAAGGGAGUGUGCGAUGUUGAUCACAUCAACCUUGGAAUUAGUUCGAACACACAUUGUCACCUCACCCUUGAUAGUAUCCGUUUAAUCCGUAGCUAUAAUUUCGAGUUACUAACACUAGGAACUGAACCGGUAUCUAAUACCUUGGUGCUACUAGGAGUACUGGUAAGGUACACAUCAAUAUCACGUAUAUCCAAUAUACUUUUGUCGACUUUGCCAGCCUUCACAUCUACCAACUAUCUAGGGUAGUUCCACUUCAGUUGCCGUUCCCCUCAUUACAGACGCACUUAGUCUCGGGUUUGGGUUCAACCUUGGGUUUCUUUCACUAGAGCAGCAACUGGUUUGCCGUUUCAUGAAGUAUCCCUUCUUGCCCUUGCCCUUCUUGAAACUAUUGGUUUUACUAACCAUCAACAAUUGAUGCUCAUACUUGAUUUCUACUUUCGCGGUGUCAAACAUUGGGAAUAGCUCAACGAUCAUCUAUCCCUGAUAUGUUAUAGUUCAUCACCUAGAUCUGUAGUUUGGUGGAAGUGACUUUGGAGAACUAUGUCAAUCACUAUCUUAUCUGGAAGAUCAACUCCCACUCGAUUCAAGCGUUUGUAGUACUCAGACAAUCUGAGCACAUGCUCAAUGAUUGUGCUUUUCUCCCUUACUUUGUAGACAAAGGAUCUUGUUGGAGGUCUCAUACCUCUCAACACGGGCACGAGCCUGAAAUCCCAAUUUCAUCUCUUGGAACAUCUCAUAUGUCCCGCGACGUUCAAAACGUCUUUAGUGGCUCAAUUCUAAGCCGUUUAAGCAUUAUGCACUCAACUAUCAUGUAGUCAUAAAAAACGUGUAUGUCAGAUGUUCGCAACAUCCACAUACGACGCUCGGGAUUCAGCACACCGAGUGGUGCAUUAAGGACAUAAGCCUUCUGCGCAGCAAUGAGGACAAUCCUCAGUUUACGGAUCGAGUCCGCAUAAUUGCUACUAUCAUCUUUCAAGUAAAUUUUCUCUAGGAACAUAUCAAAAAUAGUUGAGCUACAACGCAAGCUACAACAUAAUUUGUAAAGACCUUUUGACUAUGUUCAUGAUAAUGAGUUCAAUUAAUCAUAUUACUUAAGAACUCCUACUCAAAUUGACAUCCCUCUAGUCAUUCGAGUGUUGCAUGAUCCAAAUUCACUAACUCAAGUCCGAUAAUCACGUGAGUUGAGUAUAGUUUCAAUGGUGAACAUCUCGAUGUUGAUCAUAUCAACUAUAUGAUUCAUGCUCGACCUUUCAGUCUCUUGUGUUUGGAGGCCAUGUCUAUACAUUCUAGGAUCGUCAAUUUUAACCCGAGUGUUCCGCAUGUGCAACUGUUUUGCACCCGUUGUAUGUGAACGUUGAGUCUAUCAGACCCGAUCAUCACAUGGUGUCUCGAAACGAUGAACUGUCACAACAGUGCACAGUCGGGGAGAACACAAUUUUAUCUUGAAAUUUUAGUGAGGGAUCACCUUAUAAUGCUAUCGUCGUCCUAAGCAAAACAAGGUGCAUAAAAGGAUUAACAUCACAUGCAAAUCAUAAGUGACAUGAUAUCCCCAUCUUCAAAGCACCGACAUGAUCUCCAUCGUCACCGGCGCCACACCAUGAUCUCCAUCAUUGUGCUGCCAUCGAGGUUGUCGCGCUAAGUAUGCUGUUACUACUAAAGCUACUACUAGCAAUAAAGCAAAUCAUCCCCAAGCGCAAAAUAAUUAAAGACAACCCUAUGGCUCCUAUCGGUUGUCGUAGCAUCGACGUGCAAGUCGAUAUUUAACUAUUAAAACAUGAUCAUCUCAUACAUCCAAUAUAUCAUAUCAUGUCUUUGGCCAUAUCACAUCACAUGCAUACCCUGCAAAAACAAGUUAGACGUCCUCUAAUUUGUUGUUGCAUGAUUUACGUGGCUACUAUGGGUAUGUAGUAUGAUUGCAUCUUACUUACGCAAAACCACAUCAGUGAUAUGCAAGUUGCUAUUUAACCUUCUCCAAGGACUGCCUCAGUCAAAUCCGAUUCAACUAAAAUUGAAGAAACAGACACCCGCUAGUGAUCUUUACGCAACAAGUUGCAUGUUACUCGAUGAAACCGGUCUCUCGUAAGCGUAUGAGUAAUGUUGGUCCGGGCCGCUUCAAACCAACUAUACCGCUGAAUCAAGAAAAGACUAAGGAGGGCAGCAAAUUGAACAUCAACGCCCACAAAAUCUUUUGUGUUCUACUCGAAGUAUCAUCUACGCAUAGACCUAGCUCAUGAUGCUACUUUUGGGGAACAUUGCAUGGGAAACAAAAAAAUUCCUACGCACACGCAAUACCUAUCCAUGGUGAUGAUCAUCUACGAGAGGGGAGAGUGAAUCUACAUAACCUUGUAGAUCACUAAGCGUAAGCGUAUAUAACACGGUUUAUGUAGUAGAACAUCUUCGCGAUCCAAAUCAUAGCCCAUCCCGCGAUCUCAUCACGAUUCGUCCUGCGAUCCCAUCACGAUCCAUCCCGAUCUUAUGCCGAACGGACAGCACCUCCGUGUUCAGCACACGUAAAACUCGAUGACGAUCCCCGCCUUCUUGAUCCAGAAAGAGGGGCGGAGAGGUAGAUGAGUUCUCCAGCACGGCGGCGUGGUGGUGGUGGUGGUGAACUAAUCCAGCAGGGCUUCGCCUAAGCACCACCGAACUAGACUAGAGGAGAAACACAUCUAGAGAGAAGUAGAGGCAGCCGUGCCUAAUUUCCAUGUCUCAAAACCCUCAAAACCUCUAGUAUAUAUAGGAGGAGGGGAGAGGAGGAAUCCUUGGCCCCUACUCCAAGGAGAAGGGGUCGGCCGAACCCUACAAGUAAAAGUCCACCUUCCCACAAGGGGGGUGGACUACUUUGGGAGGACUCCUCCUUCCUUUCCUUUUAAAGGACUUUUGCCUUUUAUCUCCACUCCUAGCCGCAUGGGAUUUUGAGAGGGGCUUUAGACUUCCCACCAGCGGCUGGUCCACCUCCUCUCACAACCCAUAAGGCUCUUGGGUCGUCACACCCCUCCCGAUGGUCCCCCGGCACCCUCCCGGCACUCCCGGUACACUACCGAUGAGCCCAAAACUUUGCCGAUGAUCAAAAUAGGACUUCAUAUAUAUCAACCUUUACCUCUGUACCAUUCCGGAGCUGCUUGUGAUGUCUAGGAUCUCAUCCGGGACUCCGAACAGCCUUCGGUCACCAAAACCUAUAACUCAACUAUACCGAAACGUCACCGGACCUUAAGUGUGUAGACCCUCCGGGUUCGAGAACUAUGCAGACAUGACCUGAGACACUCCCCGGUCAAUAACCAAUAGCGGGUUCUGGAUGCCCAUAUUGGCUCCUACAUAUUCUACAAAUAUCUCUGUCAGUUGAACCUCUAUGUUAAGGAUUCAGUUAAUCCGGUAUCUUGUUCCCUUUGUCCUUCAGUAUGUUACUUGCCCGAGAUUCGAUCGUUGGUAUCUCCAUACCUAGUUCAAUCUCAUUACCGGCAAGUCUCUUUACUCAUUCCAUAAUACAAGACCCCGUGACUAACACCUUAGUCACAUUGCUUGCAAGGCUUGUUGUGAUGUUGUAUUACCGAGUGGGCCUCGAGAUACCUCUCCGUCACAUGGAGUGAUAAAUCCCAGUCUUGAUCCACGCCAACCCAAUAGACACCUUCACAGAUACCUGUAGAACACCUUUAUAGUCACCCAGUAACGUUGUGACGUUUGAUACACACAAGGUAUUCUACCGGUAUCCGGGAGUUGCAUGGUCUCAUGGUCAUAGGAACAGAUACAUUGACAUGCGGAAAAACAGUAGCAAUAAACUAACACGAUCAUAUUCUACGUUUAUAGUUUGGGUCUUGUCCAUCACAUCAUUCUCCUAAUGAUGUGAUCCCGUUAUAAAGUGACAACACUUGUCUAUGGCUAGGAAACCUUGACCAUCUUUGAUCAACGAUCUAGUCAACUAGAGGCUCACUAGGGACAGUGUGUUGUCUAUGUAUCCACACAUGUAUUUGAGUUUCCAAUCAAUACAAUUCUAGCAUGGAUAAUAAACGAUUAUCAUGAACAAGGAAAUAUAAUAGUAACCCAUUUGUUAUUGCCUCUAGGGAAUAUUUCCAACAAUAUAUAUAUCUCGCAUGGACCCGACGGUUGGAAAAACUCUUCAAUCAUAGAGGAUUCACAACCAAGUUAGGGUAUGAAUCUGGCCCCUGACUGCGCUACCAAAUCUAAUUCUUGCGCAAAUAUGUUUUGACAAUUUCUGUCCACUUAUUCACUAAUUCUAUCCAGAAUAAAGUUCCCAUAGAUUAGAGAACAAUUGAAAUUUUAGGGUUGGUAGUCCGUAAAAUUGAAUCUUGGUGUCACCGAUUCAUAAAAGUCGGUCUUACCAAUUUGGUUUUAGGGUUACUAAGAACAUUCUUGGUGGAACCGAGUUCUCCUUUUCGGUGAAAACGAAAGGGUUGCCAAGUUCUUGUUAAUGAGAAAGUCAAUCUCGGUGGCUCCAAUUUUUUUGACUUGGUGGAACCGAAAUCCCCUUUUGCUGAAUAUUAAACCUAAUUUUUGAGAGUUCAACUUUUCAAAAACUUCAGAUUUUUGUGAUGCUCAUCCACUCCAGCUCUUCUAUAUCUCUUACACGGUGUGCUUGUAUGCUUGGCUGUUUGUCAGGAUGUGAAGAUCAGAGGAUAGUCAGAACAACUUCAGUGAGCUGAGUGUUGACAUGGAUUCAGGCACUAGUCCUGAGAGGACACCUUCUGACCCAGGUACUCCUAGCUCCCAUGGCUUGCCCAAGGCAGCUACCAGGUCCAGAAGUAAGAUCUAUUCUCACAAAGAAGAUGUUGAAUUUAUCCCUGAGGAAUCUGUUCCCCAGAAGCAAAAGGAAAAGACCACAGUCAGGAAGACUAUGAGGAAGGAGUAUGCUAGACAUGCUGGCAUUAGAGCUCCAGAAGCUAGGCUUGCAAAGAAGCCAGGACAGAAGAGAGCCGGAAAGAGAAUUGUCCAUGUUGUUGGUAGGCCAACCUCAAUGUAUGAAGAACUAGUAGAAGCUAUUGAUGAGGAGGAGGAAGAAAUUCCAGCUGAGGUUCCUCCUCCUAGGAAGGAAAAGUUGAUGGCUGAUCCUAUGCCUAAGAAGAAUGCCCCAAGCCUUCAGCACCUAAGGCUAAAAAAUUUGUAGCUCCCAAGGGGACUACAAAGGACAUUCCUCCAGCUGAAAAGAACAAAGGCUCUGCAUCCAGAGGAUUUGCUGCAAAGGAAGAAGAUGAUGCCCCUGUGCUUAUGAAGCUGAGAGCUCAUCUGCCUUCUCACAGUGAAGCUCAUCGAGUUGUUGAGGACAGGAAGAAGAGAAGAGAUCAAGUACUAAGGAAGUGGAGAUCAGUUGAUACAUAUGUUGUGAGAAGGAGAACAACUGUUGAUCCCCACUUUCACACAAAGGAGCAACACGAUUUCUAUGAGACAGUGUUGCUUGAUAAGAGUCCAGCAGUUAGUGAGAUGAGAUAUGUCAGUUGGGAAUACAUCAAGGCCAAUGAACAUUACUUUACCCAUGUGAGAGAAAACUUAAGGAUGGUUGAUAUUGAAGACUUUGUUGUCAGAGAGAUGACUGCAUGGAAUGAUGAGAUGAUCAUGCAAUUCUAUUCAACCGCUCAUUUCUAUUCCGAUGGAAGGAUUGUAUGGAUGAUUGAAGGUCACCCUUAUGAGUCUACAAUUGAUGAAUGUGCCACUGUCAUUGGUGCUCCAAAAGCACUAGAAGGAGAUUUGUAUGUGUAUUCAGAACUCAAGAGAAUCACAACUCCAUGGCCAACAUGUAAAAGCCAUUGCCUCAUAAGUAUGUGCAGACGCACAAGUUUGGAUGUGUCUAUUUCUUGCAAGCAGGAAUACCCACUACGGACACCAUUAUGAGAUACACCCUUAUGCCCAAAUAAGGAGAUGAUAAGAUGAUUAGAGGUUAUUCCAUCAAUACGCUGCAUCAUCUAGACACCCACACGUGGUUCAGAGUGAUGGACUUGAUAGUUGAGUCUGUCAGGAGGACUGCUGCAGAUCAGAAGAAAUCUUGUGGACAUGCCCCAUAUAUUCAGAUGCUCAUCAAUGCCAAUAUUGGAAAGCAGCAUAUCUACUUGAUCGUCCCCACCUUCCACUUCAACUAGAAUUUGAAGAUAAUGAAGCUGUGAUGCAUUCAAGCCAUCCCAGCUCAGCUACUUCUCGAGAGGCAGCAGAGGCAGAUGCUGCUAGGAAUGCUCCAGCUCCAACUCCACAUCUAAGAACCAGAGAUGAGCAGAUGUCAUUCUAGGUUAGCACCAUCCUAGGGAUGGAGAAGAAAGUUUCCGGGACCUUGCUGAACUAGAAGAGCCUCGAGAGGAUCGUCGAGACAAAAUUCCAUGACCUGGAUGUGAAGGCAACGGAGUUGACUACCACUGUUAAGCAGCUCCAGCAUGAAGUUGAUCCUGUGAAGAUUCCACGCUCCAGCAGUGAUGAUGAAGAGUCGCCUCUUCCUACUACUACUCACUUCAUGACCCAGAGUAUGUCAUCAACUGUGCUAGUUCCGGAAGCAAGACCAUCUUCAGUAGCUCAAGCUUCAGCACCUUCACCUCCUGGUCCUGCACCUCCAGUGUCUACAUGUGACACCCUCGAAUUUAAUCGUUCUCUAAUCAUACACGCAAAUGCGUACGACAAAGCUCAAGGAUUCAUGGGAAGAUAUCACAACACAACUCUAGACACAAAUAAAAUAUACAAGCUUCAUAUUACAAGCCAGGGGCCUCGAGGGCUAGAGUAGAGAAGCUCGAUAAACACACGAGUCAGCGGAAGCAACAAAUAUCUGAGUACAAACAUUAAACAUGUGGUGCCUUAGAGAAGGCUAGCACAAAAGAUACAACAAUCGAACGAGGCGAAGCCUCCUGCCUGGGAUCCUCCUAACUACUCCUGGUCUUCAGCGGCCUCCACGUAGUAGUAGGCACCAUCGGGGUAGCAGUCGUCGUCGGCGGGAUACUCCAUCUCCCGGGCUCCAUCAUCUGGUCGCAACAACGGAUAAAGGGGAAAAGGGGGAGCAAAGCAACGGUGAGUACUCAUCCAAAGUACUCGCAAGAUUGACAUGAGAACUAUUCUAAGUAUGCAUCAGUAUCAAAGGAAGGGGUUUAUAUGUGGACCGACUGCAGCAAUGCGAGAAAUAGAGGGAAGGCCUAGUCCUAUCAAAGACUAGCAUCUUCACUGGUUUUGCAGCAAUAGACGAGAGUAGAACAGGGGUAACACAAUUAAUAGUCAUAUUGUUGCAGCAAUAUUAAUAUGAGGUCACCCCAGAGAUUCUUCCUCGACUCCCUGCGAGAAAGAAAUCCCGGAGCAAACAUUCCAGUUAAGUAACAAUUAUAGUUGUAUAAGAUCGGGGCACAAAUCCAAGUCGUCCUAUAACCGUGGACACCGCUAUUAGACGUCACGCUCGAUAAAAUCUGGCCGGACACACUUUCCUGGAUCAUGCCCGGCCUCGGAACAUGGACACAACGCAACCCCACCUAGACUCAAUAGAGAGGCCAACCCGCCGGUCUAAAUCCUAAGCACACAUGGGUCAUGGGCCUAUCACCCUUUGCACUCCUGCACGAAGCGAGGGCGGCCGAUGUCAGUCCUAGCACCCCUUAUUACAAGCGCGAUGCCUAUCCGGACCACUCGGGGGCGCGCCGCUCCAUUGCUAACGUCUGAAGAGGUUCGGCUGAUAUCACGACGUUGAGUACCCAUAACUCCUCCCACGUAGACGGUUAGUGCGAAUAAGGUCUCUGACCAACCCAGAUCAAAUACCCAAAUCCAUUAACAUUUUAAUUAAAUUGUCGACCCAUCCACGCGGGAAUCCACCCGCCAAACAUUAUCCAUCAAUGUUCCUAGUAACACGGUCAAGUAAUUGUGUGGUUGUAACAUCAGGGGGAUCCCAGGUAUCACCCUCGUUGGAUUUCGAAUGAUGUAACCGUCAAGGUGGACUUAGAGGAAUCACCCUCGAGGGUCUCACACUUGAGGGGUUGCACGACAGAGUCAUCGCCGGGAGUGGUGAAGGAGGAAUCACCCUCGAUAAACACGACCGACUAGCUGCACUACAGAGAUAUCAUCAUGAGUACUUCGCGAGGUGUCACCCUCGGUACCUGAUAGUAGCUCUUUAGCAUCGUACAACUAAGAUGGGUGUAAGUGCUGUGUCGGCUCUUGGCUCGUCGAUCAGGGAUCGUGACUUUGUGAAAAAGGUGGGGGGGGGGGGACUAGACUAAGGGUUGGAGGGGAUGACUGAUCCACCUAUACUAAGCAGUUUAACGUGCGGUACUAAAAGUAGGAGUUCAUCAAAAUUAGGCUAUGCAUCAGAUAUAGGAGCUAACUACAACAGUAGCAAAAAUUGUAAUGCAAGCAUGAGGGAGAAAGAAUGGGCGAUAUAGGAAUGUUUGCUACGGCAACAAAAGUCCUUCCCUGCCGCUUAGGAAUUCUUCUUGUUACUUCUCUGGUUUGCGUCGGUUUUCCCUUGAAGAGGAAAGGGUGAUGCAGCAUAGGAGCAGUAAGUAUUUCCCUCAGUUUGAGAACCAAGGUAUCGAUCCAGAAGGAGGGCCUCGUCAAGUCCAGAGUACCUGCGCAAACACAAACAAGAUUGCACCCAAUGCUUCAAAGGGGUUGUCAAUCCCUUCAAGAUUGUUUGCAAAGUAAGAUCUGAAGGCGGAAAGAGCAACGAAGUAAAAAGUCUAAGGCUGAAAAUAUGGUGUGGAGUAGACCCUGGGGGCCAUAGUGUUCACUAGAGGCUUAUCUCAUAAUAGCAAAUAUCAUGGUGGGUGAACGAAUUACUGUCGAGCAAUUGAUAGAACCGCGCAAAGUCAUGAAGAUGUCUAAGGCAAUGAUCAUACAUAUAGGCAUCACGUCCGAGACAAGUAGACCGAUACUUUCUGCAUCUACUACUAUUACUCCACACAUCGACCGCUAUCCAGCAUACAUCUAGUGUAUUGAGUUCAUGACGAACAGAGUAACGAUUUAAGCAAGAUGACAUGAUGUAGAGGGAUAAUCUCAAACCAAUGAUGAAAACCCCAUCUUUUUACCCUUGAUGGCAACAACACGAUGCGUGCCUCGCUACCCCUUCUGUCACUGGGUGAGGUCACCGCACGGUAUGAACCCAAAACCAAGCACUUCUCCCAUUGCAAGAAUCAUAGAUUUAGUUGGCCAGACAAAACCCACAACUCGAAGAGAAUUACAAGGAUAUGAAAUCAUGCAUAAGAGAGAUCAGAAGAAACUCAAAUAAGAUUCAUAGAUAAUCUGAUCAUAAAUCCACAAUUCAUCGGAUCUCGACAAACACACCGCAAAAGAAGAUUACAUCAGAUAGAUCUUCAUGAAGAUCAUGGAGAACUUUGUAUUGAAGAUCCAAGAGAGAGAAGAAGCCAUCUAGUUACUAGCUAUGGACCCGUAGGUCUAUGGUGAACUACUCACGCAUCAUCGGAGAGGUCAUGGUGUUGAUGAAGAAGCCCUCCGUGUCCGAAUCUCCCCUCUGGAAGGGUACUAGGACGUGCCCCAGAUGGGAUCUUGCGGAAACGAAAGCUUGCGGCGGCGGAAAAGUACUUUCGAUGAUCUCCUGAUUUUUUUGGGAUUUUUAGGGAAUUUAUAGGCGCAACCCCUAGGUCAGGGGACGCUUAGGGGGCCCACAAGCCUGGAUGGCACGGCCUCCCCCCUGGCCGCGGGGUGGGGGCUUGUGUGGCCCCUGAGGCUCCCCUGCCUUGGCUCCCAAGCUCCCCGAUCUUCUUCCGUUCCAGAAAAAAUCGUUUCGGGGAUUUUCUUCUGUUUGGACUCCAUUCCAAAAUCUCCUCUGAAAGGGGUAAAAAACAUGGAAAAAACAGGAACUGGCACUUGGCACUGAGUUAAUAAGUUAGUUCCAAAAAAUAUAUACAAGGCAUGCAAAACAUCCAAAGUUUGACAAGAUAAUAGCAUGAAACCAUAAAAAAUUAUAGAUACGUUGGAGACGUAUCAAGCAUCCCCAAGCUUAACUCCUGCUCGUCCUCGAGUAGGGAAGUGAUAAAGAAUGAAUUUUUGAUGUGGAAUGCUACCUAGCAUAGUUGUCCUUUGCAACUUCUUUCACGUGACAUGAAUGUUCAGAUCCGUAAGAUUCAAAACAAUAGUUUGCUAUUGACAUGAAAACAGUAAUACUUCAAGCAACUAGCAAAGUAAUCAGGAACUUUCAAAAUAACAAGGCCAAAGAAAGUUAUCCCUACAAAAUCAUAUAGUCUGGCUAUGCUCCAUCAUCCUCACACAACUAAUGUAAAUUAUGCACAACCCCGGUAUUGGCCAAGUAAUUGUUUUCGCACUCAUACUUCCUCAAUUUUUUAUAACUAUCACACAAUACAUGAGCGCGAGCCAUGGAUAUAGCACUGUAGGUGGAAUACAGUGUGGUGGUGGUUGUGAGACAAAAAGGAGGAGAUGGUCACAUUGACUCGGCAUAUCAAAAGGCUAUGGAGAUGCCCAUUAAUAGAUAUCAAUGUGAAUGAGUAGGGAUUGCCAUACAAAAGAUUCACUAGAGCUAUAAGUGUGUGAAAGCUCAAAAGGAAAACUAGUGGGUGUGCAUCCAACUUGCUUGCUCACGAAGACCUAGGGAAAUUUUGAGGAAGCCCAUCAUUGGAAUAUACAAGCCAAGUUAUAUAACGAAGAUUCCCACUAGCAUAUGGUAGUGACAAAGCAAGAAGCUCUCAAUCAUGAAGAACAUGGUGCUAUCAUGAAGCACAAGUGUGGAAAAAGAUAGUAGCAUUGUCCCUUCUCUCUUUUUCUCUCUUCCCCUUUUUUAUUUGGGCUCUUAAGCCUCUUUUUUUCUUCUUUUUUUGUUUUCUCCCUUUUUUGGGCUCUUUGGCCUCUUUAUUUUUUUAUUUCCUCACAUGAGACAAUGCUCUAAUAAUGAUGAUCAUCACACUUUUAUUUACUCACAGCUCAAAGAUCACAAUGAUGAUGACUCCAUAGGAAAUGCCUCCGGCAGUGUACCGGGAUGUGCAACGAUCUAGCAUGGCGUAUGACGUUGAAACAUCUCGCUUGCUAUCUUACGAUCAUGCAAUGGCAAUAUGAGAGUGACGACACAAGUCAUGAGACGGAAUGGUGGGAGUUGCAUGGCAAUAUAUCUCGGAAUGACUAUGAAAAUGCCAUAGUAGGUAGGUAUGGUGGCUGUUUUGAGGAAGGAAUUUGGUGGAUUUGUGCACCGGCGAGAAUAGCGCGACACUAGAGAGGCUAGCAAUGGUGGAAGGUGAAAGUGCAUCUACACCAUGGGCUCACAUUAGUCAUGAAGAACUCACAUACUUAUUCCGAAAGAUUUUAUUAGUAAUCGAAACAAAGUGCUAAACGCAUACUCCGAGGGGAAGGGUUGGUAGGUGUAAACCAUCGCACGAUCCCGACCUCAACACAAAGGAUGACAAUCAAUAAAUCAAUUAUGCUCUGACUUCCUAACAUAGCGGUUCACCAUACGUGCAUGCUACGGGAAUCACUAACUUAAACACAAGUAUUUAUAGAUUCACAACACCCUACUAACAUGACUUUUAAUAUUACCUAAUCCAUGUCUCAAAACUAUUUGUGAGGAAUCAAAACUUCUCUUUCUACUCAAUGCACAUGAAGAUGGAGGUUUUUGCAUCCUCUUUGGGUAUCUAUCACUUUUGGGACUACUUUCAUAGUAUAAGCAAACUACCAAAUCAUGCACCGCCGUCCUCUAAAGAUAUAAGUGAAGCAUAAGAGCAAAAGUAUCUAGCUGAAAAGAUAUAAGUGAAACACUAUGAGCAAAAGUAUCUAGCUCAAAAGAUAUAAGUGAAGCACUAUGAGCAUUCUAGCAAAAUCACAAUGAGUGCAUGUCUCUCUCUCUCAAAAAGGUGUGCAGCAAGGAUAACUGUGACACAAAAAAAGAAAAGACUCCUAAGAUACAAGACGCUCCAAGGAAAACACAUAUCAUGUGGUGAAUAAAAAUAUAACUCCAAGUAAUGUUACCGAUGGAUUGAAGACGAAAGAGGGGAUGCCUUCCCGGGGCAUCCCCAAGCUUAGGAUUUUUGGUGUCCUUGAAUUUGGCUUGGGAUGCCUUGGGCAUCCCCAAGCUUGAGCUCUUUCCACUCCUUAUCUCUUUGUCCAUGAGAACGCACUCAAAACUUGAAAACUUCACAACACAAAAGUUAAACAGAAACUCGUGAUAAUGUUAGUACAAGAAAACAAACUACCACUUCUUUUGGUUCUGUAGCAAACUUGAAUUCUAUCUAUAUUGAUGAUGGGCUACUGUAUUCUCACUUUUCCAUGGCUAGUACCCCCCGAUACUAACCAUAGUUUCAUCAAAACAAGCAACUAACUCAACAAAAAACAGAAUCUGUCAAAAACAGACCAGUCUGUAGCAAUCUGUAUACUUCAUAUACUUCUGGUACCUCAAAAAAUCUGAAAAAUUAUGACGGCCUUGGAAAAAAUCAUACCAAUCAGCAGAAAAAAGAAUCAACUCAAAAGCUCUUCCUGAAUAAACAUGAAAAAUCAUCUCGUGAGCGAAAAGUUUCUGUGUUUUUCCAGCAGGAUCAAACAACCAUUACCAAGACUAGUCAUAAAGGCUUUGCUUGGCUCAAACACAAAAAGAAACACAAAAAACACAAUCACAACAGAAUUAUGAAAGUGUGGACGCAACAAAACAGAAAGAAAAAGAUAAAUGCAUUGGGUUGCCUCCCAAAAAGCGCUAUUGUUUAACGCCCUUAGCUAGGCAUAGAAGCGAUCGAAUCACGUAUCGUCGUCUUUGGUGCUCAAACCAUAAGUGGCGUGAUCACUUAUCAUCUUAAGGUUUUCAUCUUUCUUGCUAGAUGAUUCACCAGUACUUUUAGGAACAAAGACAGAUUUGGUGAUUUUAUUGUGGGCAAAAUUUGGAGUAUUCUGCACAGCGGCAAAAGCGGAACCCAAGUUGGUUAUAACAUCCUCUAGUUUGCCAAUCCUAGCGGAAUCAUGACCUAGCUUUUCGUUAACUGUGGGUUCCUUGUCCUUUAAAUUUUUCAAAACCAUUCCCACCUUGGAUCUGUAUUGAGUGAUUUGAUUGUGGAUCAUUUUAUCCAAAUUCUCAAUGAGUUCAAUCGUAGCGACUUUAUUUUCAAUAACGUCGAGCCUACGCAUCACAUGUUCCAGAGUUAAGGUAGUUCCAUUAACCAUGAGUGGGGGUGAGCCUACCAAAUUUAUCAAAGCUCCGUAAGAAUCAAUGGUAUGGCUACCCAAGAAAUUUCCACCUACGAUGGUGUCAAGAAUAUACCAAUUCCAAGGAGAAACAACCACAUAAAAACUGUGAAGCAAGACGGUAGUGGAUUGCUUAUGAGUAGGUCUACUCUGAGCGUUGCAAAUCCUAUACCAAGCGUCCUUUAAGUUUUCUUCCUCAAUUUGUUUGAAAUUAAGGACUUCGUUCUCGGGAGUAUCGAUUGAAGUGGUGGAUCUAACCAUCAGGAUACAUUAUCCCACACAGACGAGCAGAAAGCAAGCGAGAAGAAAAGGGCGAACGAAAAAGGCAAACGAAAAAGGCAAAUUGGUGAAGUGGGGGAGAGGAAAACGAGAGGCAACUGGCAAACAAAGUAAAUGCAAGAGAUGAGUUUGCGACACCUACUUGGAUGAGUUCUUGACCUGAUCUUCCUCCCCGGCAACGGCGCCAGAAAUUCUUCUGCUGCGGCAACAAAAGUCCUUCCCUCGCGCUUAGGAAUUCUUCUUGUUACUUCUCUGGUUUGCGUCGGUUUUUCCCUUGAAGAGGAAAGGGUGAUGCAGGACAGGAGCAGUAAGUAGUUCCCUUAGUUUGAGAACCAAGGUAUCGAUCCAUAAGGAGGGCCUCGUCAAGUCCAGAGUAACUGCGCAAACACAAACAAGCUUGCACCCAACGCUUCAAAGGGGUUGUCAAUCCCUUCAAGAUUGUUUGCAAAGUGAGAUCUGAAGGCGGAAAGAGCAACGAACUAAAAAGUGUAAGGCUGAAAAUAUUGUGUGGAGUAGACCCUGGGGGCCAUAGUGUUCACUAGAGGCUUCUCUCAUAAUAGCGAAUAUCACGAUGGGUGAACAAAUUACUGUCGAGCAAUUGAUAGAACCGCGCAAAGUCAUGACGAUAUCUAAGGCAAUGAUCAUACAUAUAGGCAUCACGUCUGAGACAAGUAGACCGAUACUUUCUGCAUCUACUACUAUUACUCCACACAUCGACUGCUAUCCAGCAUGCAUCUAGUGUAUUGAGUUCAUGACGAACAGAGUAACGCCUUAAGCAAGAUGACAUGAUGUAGAGGGAUAAUCUCAAACAAAUGCUGAAAACCCCAUCAUUUUACCCUUGAUGGCACCUUCUGUCACUGGGUGAGGUCACCGCACGGUAUGAACCCAAAACCAAGCACUUCUCCCAUUGCAAGAAUCAUAGAUCUAGUUGGCCAGACAAAACCCACAACUCGAAGAGAAUUACAAGGAUAUGAAAUCAUGCAUAAGAGAGAUCAGAACAAACUCAAAUAAGAUUCAUAGAUAAUCUGAUCAUAAAUCCACAAUUCAUCGGAUCUCGACAAACACACCGCAAAAGAAGAUUACAUCGGAUAGAUCUUCAUGAAGAUCAUGGAGAACUUUGUAUUGAAGAUCCAAGAGAGAGAAGAAGUCAUCUAGUUACUAGCUAUGGACCCAUAGGUCUAUGGUGAACUACUCACGCAUCAUCGGAGAGGUCAUGGUGUUGAUGAAGAAGCCCUCCGUGUCCAAUCUCCCCUCCGGCAGGGCACCAGGACGUGCCCCAGAUGGGAUCUUGCGGAGACAGAAGCUUGCGGCGGCAGAAAAGUACUUUCGAUGAUCUCCUGAUUUUUUGGGAUUUUUAGGGAAUUUAUAGGCACAACCCCUAGGUCAGGGGACGCUCAGGGGGGCCACAAGCCUAGAUGGCGCGGCCUCCCCCUGGCCACGGGGUGGGGGCUUGUGGGGCCCCUGACGGCUCCCGUGCCUUGGCUCCCAAGCUCACCGAUCUUCUUCCGUUCUAGAAAAAUAUUUUCGGGGAUUUUCUUCCGUUUGACUCCGUUUCAAAAUAUCCUCUGAAAGGGGUCAAAAACAUGGAAAAACAGGAACUCGCACUUGGCACUGAGUUAAUAAGUUAGUUCCAAAAAAUAUAUAAAAGGCAUGCAAAACAUCCAAAGUUUUACAAGAUAAUAGCAUGAAACCAUCAAAAAUUAUAGAUACGUUGGAGACGUAUCAAUGAUCAAGGGGGUUUGCUUGCCUUGUCGCUCUGCGGCAAAGGGCUGGUCGUCAGGAGGGUAGUCGUACCCGACAGCGGCGUCAGUCUCGGGGUCUACCGAUAAGAAGAGGGGGGAAGAAACAAUAAAUAUAAACACAGAUGCAAUUACUAAGCAUGACAUGUCAAGGUGUAGGGCUAGGCAUGAACUAACGCAGUAUUAUCCGUCAUAGACGGUUCGGGAAAAAUAUCAGAUGAUAUUUCCCGGGUCUCUGGCUACUACCGGUCAGACGAAAAAGGGUGGAAAAGUUCCACGUUUGCUAUACUAGAGACACGAGACAGACGAAUGGACAGCGUAUCCGGGUUCGUCUUGUUCUGCUGAUCAACUUACAUGUUCAAAAUAUUUUCAUUCGACUUACGGUUUAUUUUAUAUUAAUUUUUAAAGUUUUAUUAUUUAUUUAUAGAAAUUAGACAAUUAAAUAUGACAGCAUUGUGAUGCCAUCAUGACAUCAGCAGUCAACAGGGUUUGACUGGUCAACUAUGACCAGUGGGUCCCAUGUGUCAUAGACACAUUUAUUUAUAAGGUUUAAUAAAUAUUUAAUCAGGUUAAUUAGUGGGGUGGGACCCAACUGUCAUACACUGCUUAGGUUAUUAAUUUAUUUUAAUUAACAGAUUUAGCUAAGAGUUUGUUUAAUUAACUUACCCAAUCUUUAAACAAUAUAAUUAACUAAAUACUUAUUUAUUUAUAUAUUAUAUUAAAUCCUAAAUAUCCAAAAGAGUAAUUACUGUUUAAACUAAAUAAUUAAUCCAAUUAAUUUAUUUAUUAAUAUUAAACAUUUAUAAAACUAUUUUUAUUUUUAUUACUUUUUGCAUGUUUUAGGGGCGUGGCCCCGCAUGUCAUUGGGAGCACCACAUACACUAAACACACACACACACACACACACACAUAUAUAUAUACACUAAACACACACAUCCUGUACACAAUUUUAAUUAUACAUACAUAUAUAUACACAUGCAUUGCACAUACAUUCACAUACAUACAUACAUAUUCACAUACAUACAUACAUACAUAUAUGUAUCCUUUUUUUGUUCUUUUACAUAGACAAUACACUAAUCACAGGGGUUAUCCUCGUGUCUAACAGGGAGGUGGCCAGGGUGCACGCGAGCACGGGGCCGGCGGCUCGCCGUAAUGCGGGGAAAACGGGGAGGAGGAGGGUGGCCGGAGCCGCGGUGGCUCACCACCGUGUAGAGGAAGACGCAUCUUGGGGAAGGUCGAGGAGGCCGGUGGGGUGGUGGCGAGGUGGGAACCGACGGGUGGUGCGGUGGAGAGGUACCGGUGGUGAGCAGGGGGCUGGUCGGUGGGGAGGAGAUGGCCGUCCGGGUCAUGGCGGCCAGAGCGGAGGUGGUGCGCGAUGGAGGCAGGGGAGGAGCGGGAGGAGGGCCGGAGGGGGUGGCCGAUGGAGAUGGUGCGCAAGGGCGAAGGAGGAGCCGGAGGAGGGUCGAGCGGUGUGUGUGUGGGUGGGGGGGGGGGGUAGGCCGGAGGAGGGCCAGUCGGUGGGAGGAUCAGCCUCCCCAGCCCCUCCUGGAUCGAGUGGGAGGGAGGGAGCGAGGGGAGGGGGCUCGCUCGUGGGGGCUGGUGGAGGGGUUCAGUGGUGGGUGGGGUGGCUGCGUGGGGGAUUUGGUGGCUCGGAGUGGGAGGAGAGGGAGUUAGGGUUUGAUAUAGGGGUUAAAUACCCGUGGGUGGAGGUGGGCUGGGGUGGUCGGUUGGGCCGGUUGGGCCAGGGGAGAGGUUUUUUUCUUUUAUAUUUUGUUUUAUUUUCUGUUUCAAUUUUAGUUUUAUUGUACUUUAGAAUACCUUCAAAAAUAAUGAUUCCUAAAGGGCAAUUUCCUAUGUAAUAUUUGACACACACCGAACAUUUUUUAUUUUGACACUGAAAAAACUUUUAUCGUUUGACUUUAUUUUAAAUUUGAAUUUGAAUGGGGUUUGGACCAACGCGAGUUUAACAACAGUAAUCACAGUGACGUGGCAUCAUUAGCAUAAGAGUACUGUAGCUAAAUUAUAGAGAUCACUGUAGGAAAAGCUGAGGAUGUCACAACUCUCCCCUACUAACAAGAAUUCUCGUCCGGAGAAUUAAGAGGUAGAAGGAAAGAGCUCGGGGUAUUCAUCACGAAGAUGAUCCUCGCGUUCCCAAGUGGCUUCAUCUUCAGAAUGAUUUGACCACUGCACUUUAAGGAACUUGGUGACUUUGCGACAAGUCUGACGUUCAUCCUUAUCGAGAAUGCGGACCGGAUACUCUUUAUAAGAGAGGUCUUGUUGCAGCUCAAGCAUAUCAUGGUCCACUGCUCGAAUAGGAUCUUUCAAGCAGCGACGGAGCUGAGACACAUGGAAGACAUUGUGUUCCUGAGAAAGGUUCGAUGAUAGUUCCAAUUGAUAAGCUACUUUUCCACGCCUUUCUAGAACAGUGAAAGGACCAAUAUAGCGAGGAGCUAGCUUGCCCUUGAUCCCAAAACGGUGUGCGCCUCUCAUUGGUGUGACACGUAGAUAAGCCUUUUCGUCAGGUUGAUAGACCAUAUCUUGAUGAUGACGGUCAUACUGACUCUUUUGACGAGACUGAGCAGCCUUCAGAUUCUCAUGGAUAAUGCGGACUUGAUCUUCAGCAUGUUGGAUAAUAUCCGGACCGAAGAGUGAUCAUUCCCCAGUUUCUGACCAAUUCAAAGGAGUUCGACACCUUUGUCCAUACAAUACUUCGAAAGGGGCCAUCUUGAGGCUAGCUUGAUAGCUAUUGUUGUAGGAGAACUCGGCAUACGGGAGAGAUUCCUCCCAUUUCUUACCGAAAGAAUUGACACAAGCUCGAAGCAUGUCCUCGAGAAUUUGGUUGACUCGUUCAACUUGUCCCUGGGAUUGAGGAUGAAAUGUGGUGCUGAAGGACAGAUGAGUCCCCAUAGCUUUCUGAAAACUUUCCUAGAAUUUUGAGGUGAACAAGCUGCCACGGUCUGAGCUGAUUACCAAUGGAAUACCGUGAAGUGAAACAAUCCUGGACAUAUAAAUAUCUGCCAGUUGUCUAGCAUUAAUUGUUUCCUUGACGGCCAGAAAAUGUGCAACCUUGGACAGUCGAUCAAUGACGACAAUAAUAGCAUCAUUACCCUUCUCAAUUUUGGGAAACCAGUGACAAACUCCAUUUCGACAUGGUCCCAUUUCCAUUCAAGAAUAGAGAUAGGUUGCAAAGUUCCAGCAGGCUUUUGAUGUUCUGCUUUGACUCGCCGACAAAUAUCAUAUUCUGCCACAUAGCAUGCAAUGUCUUGCUUCAUAUUAGACCACCAGAAUCUUUGACAGAUGUCUUGGUACAUCUUGGUACUACCCGGGUGUAUAGAUAGCGAGGUAUCAUGAGCUUCUUUCAUCAUAGCUCCGGACAUUCGGUGAUUUUCCCUUUUUGUUGGUAUGAAUAAGCGACCCUUAAAGUACAAGACGCCAUCGUCUUGUACUUCUGUCACUGGGUGAGGUCACAGCGAGAAGUACAAGACGAUGUGUGUGUUUAGUGUAUAUAUAUAUAUAUAUAUGUGUGUGUGUGUGUGUGUGUGUGUGUUUAGUGUAUGUGGUGCUCCCAAUGACAUGCGGGGCCACGCCCCUAAAACAUGCAAAAAGUAAUAAAAAUAAAAAUAGUUUUAUAAAUGUUUAAUAUUAAUAAAUAAAUAAAUUGGAUUAAUUAUUUAGUUUAAAGAGUAAUUACUCUUUUGGAUAUUUAGGAUUUAAUAUAAUAUAUAAAUAAAUAAGUAUUUAGUUAAUUAUAUUGUUUAAAGAUUGGGUAAGUUAAUUAAACAAACUCUUAGCUAAAUCUGUUAAUUAAAAUAAAUUAAUAACCUAAGCAGUGUAUGACAGUUGGGUCCCACCCCACUAAUUAACCUGAUUAAAUAUUUAUUAAACCUUAUAAAUAAAUGUGUCUAUGACACAUGGGACCCACUGGUCAUAGUUGACCAGUCAAACCCUGUUGACUGCUGAUGUCAUGAUGGCAUCACAAUGCUGUCAUAUUUAAUUGUCUAAUUUGUAUAAAUAAAUAAUAAAACUUUAAAAAUUAAUAUAAAAUAAACCGUAAGUCGAAUGAAAAUAUUUUGAACAUGUAAGUUGAUCAGCAGAACAAGACGAACCCGGAUACGCUGUCCAUUCGUCUGUCUCGUGUCUCUAGUAUAGCAAACGUGGAACUUUUCCACCCUUUUUCGUCUGACCGGUAGUAGCCAGAGACCCGGGAAAUAUCAUCUGAUAUUUUUCCCGAUCCGUCUAUGACGGAUAAUACUGCGUCAGUUCAUGCCUAGCCCUACACCUUGACAUGUCAUGCUUAGUAAUUGCAUCUGUGUUUAUAUUUAUUGUUUCUUCCCCCUCUUCUUAUCGGUAGACCCCGAGACUGACGCCGCUGUCGGGUACGACUACCCUCCUGACGACCAGCCCUUUGCCGCAGAGCGACAAGGCAAGCAAACCCCCUUGAUCAUUGAUACGUCUCCAACGUAUCUAUAAUUUUUGAUGGUUUCAUGCUAUUAUCUUGUAAAACUUUGGAUGUUUUGCAUGCCUUUUAUAUAUUUUUUGGAACUAACUUAUUAACUCAGUGCCAAGUGCGAGUUCCUGUUUUUCCAUGUUUUUGACCCCUUUCAGAGGAGAUUUUGAAACGGAGUCCAAACGGAAGAAAAUCCCCGAAAAGAUUUUUUCUAGAACGGAAGAAGAUCGGGGAGCUUGGGAGCCAAGGCACGGGAGCCUCAGGGGCCCCACAAACCCCCACACCACGGCCAGGGGGGAGGCCGCGCCAUCUAGGCUUGUGGCCCCCCCUGAGCGUCCCCUGACCUAGGGGUUGUGCCUAUAAAUUCCCUAAAAAUCCCAAAAAAUCAGGAGAUCAUCGAAAGUACUUUUCUGCCGCCGCAAGCUUCUGUCUCCGCAAGAUCCCAUCUGGGGCACGUCCUGGUGCCCUGCCGGAGGGGAGAUUCGGACACGGAGGGCUUCUUCAUCAACACCAUGACCUCUCCGAUGAUGCGUGAGUAGUUCACCAUAGACCUAUGGGUCCAUAGCUAGUAACUAGAUGACUUCUUCUCUCUCUUGGAUCUUCAAUACAAAGUUCUCCAUGAUCUUCAUGAAGAUCUAUCCGAUGUAAUCUUCUUUUGCGGUGUGUUUGUCGAGAUCCGAUGAAUUGUGGAUUUAUGAUCAGAUUAUCUAUGAAUCUUAUUUGAGUUUGUUCUGAUCUCUCUUAUGCAUGAUUUCAUAUCCUUGUAAUUCUCUUCGAGUUGUGGGUUUUGUCUGGCCAACUAGAUCUAUGAUUCUUGCAAUGGGAGAAGUGCUUGGUUUUGGGUUCAUACCGUGCGGUGACCUCACCCAGUGACAGAAGGGACAGAGGUGGCCCAGGGAGCCCACAAGCCAGGGUGGCGCGGGCCCCCCUGGCCGCGCCAUGAGGGCUUGUGGGGUCCCUGUAGGCCCCGUGCCUUGAUUCUCCGGCUUCCCGAUCUUUUUCUGUUUCGGAAAAAUAUUUUUGGCAGUUUCAUUCCGUUUGGACUCCGUUAAAAAUCCUCCUCUGAAAGGGGUCAAAAACCUGGAAAAAAUAGGAACUGGCACUUGGCACUGAGUUAAUAAGUUAGUCCCAAAAAAUAUAUAAAAGGCAUACAAAACAUCCAAAGUUUGACAAGAUAAUUGCAUGAAACCAUCAAAAAUUGUAGAUACGUUGCAGACGUAUCAGUGAACAGAUACUUCAGACUUUGAUGGUCGAUGUAGAUCUCACAACGAUUACCGAGAAGGUAUUGUCGCCAUUCUUUCAGUGAAUGCACAACUGCGGCAAGUUCAAGAUCAUGAACUAGAUAGUUCUCUUCAUGCGCACGCAGCUGACGUGAAGCAUAAGCAAUCACUUUGCAAUCCUGCAUCAGGAUACAACCUAUUCCUUGACGAGAAGCAUCACAGUAUAUGACGAAAUCCCGUUUUGUAUCUGGAGGGGCAAGUACUUGAGCGGAUGUUAGUUUGUCCAAUAGUGCGUGGAAACUUUCCUGACACUUAUCAGUCCACUCAUACUUAACAUCUUUGUGAAGCAAAUCGGUUAAAGGCUUUGCAAUCUUGGAGAAGUUCUCGACGAAUCGACAGUGAUAGCCGACGAGUCCGAGAAAACUUCUGACUUGCUUGACAUUCUUCGAGGGAGUCCAAUCAAGAAUAGCUUGAACCUGUUCGGGGUUGUCUCCAAUACCAUCUUUGGAGAUCACAUGAUCAAGGUACGUCACUUCGUCCAGCCAGAAUUCACAGUUAGAAUACUUCGCAUAGAGUUUAUGCUCCCGAAGCUUAUCCAGCACAGGACGAAGAUGUUCGGCAUGUUCUCCUUUAUUCUUCAAAAAUACCAGAAUAUCAUCCAGAUAUACCACGACGAAUUUGUCGAGGUAGUCCAUGAAUAUAUAAUUCAUCAAUCGAGAGAAGGUUGCCGGGGCAUUGGUUAAGCCGAAGGACAUGACGCUAUACUCAUAUGAUCCAUAUCGAGUAACAAAGGCGGUCUUUGGGAUAUCCUCUUUGCGAACACGGAUCUAGUGGUAUCCCAACCUCAAGUCGAGCUUAGAGAAGACUGAGGAACCAACAAUUGACCAUACAGAUCAUUUAUCCGAGGAAGAGGAUAUUUGUUUUGAAUAGUGGCCUGAUUGAUAGGACGAUAGUCUUGAACCAAACAAUUUGUCCCAUCCUUCUUCUUAACAAAGAGAGAAGGUGCUCCCCAAGCAGAGGAACUCAGACGAAUGAAACCCAGGCGAAGUGAAUUGUCAAUUUCUUGCUUAAGUUCAAGGAGUUCAUGUGGUGGCAUUUUAUAAGGGCGCUUAGCGAUAGGAGUGGUACCAGGUACCAAGUCAAUGACAAACUCGACAGCUCGAGCAUGGGGUAUCCCCGGAAGUUCUUUUGGGAAGACAUCUUGGAAUUCCCGGACAACUAGAAUGUUUUCGAUCCCUUCAAGAGGUGACGCAUUUAAUGUAUUCAAGGCAUAUAGCCGUGCCUCAGCAUCUCAGACGAGAUGAGCGUGAUAGCUUAUUAAUUCAUUUGAAGGGUGUAGGAGGUGGACGGUCUUGGUGGCCCAAACGAUUGGAGCCAUAUGAGCUUUCAACCAGUCCAUUCCCAGUAUGACAUCAAGGUUGGAAGAACUCAAUAACAUGGGAGCAACAAGGUAUUCCAACCCUUCAAUUUCAACGGGGACAUUGGGGCAGACCAUGGAGGGUCGGCAUUGGCCCGCGAGGGUGUUUACCACUAUUGGGAUGUUCAUCUCUUCGUACUUAAUGCCAUGCAUGAAUGCAAAAUUUUCUGACAUGAACGAAUGCGAUGCUUUUGUGUCAAACAAUACAGAAGCAUGUACUGAGUUAAUGAGAAGUGUACCCAUCAUGGUAGCAGGCUGGUCUUGAGCUUGACCCAUAUCAAUGUUGUUGGCCUGACUACGAACAUAAGGAGGCUUGGCAUUGUUGUUGCGGUUCUGGUUGUUGCCACUACCAGUUGAAGGAAGUGCCAGCUGAUUCGGAUUCUGCCUGCAGUCUCUAGCACGGGGACCUGGACGACCACACUUGAAGCACAACAUAUCCUCAAGAAAGGAGGAACUCGAGGUGGUGGACUUGGAAGCCUCGACUGCCUAGGUGGUGGAGGAGGCAGAUGAGGUGCAACAUAGGACGACCUAGGAGCUGGAGAAGGUGCAUGGUACAUGUUGCUGGGAAUCCAGAUCUUCCGCUUCUGUGCAGAUGAGCCCGAAGUUGAGCCCAUGUCACGAUUGUGCUUCCUGCUAUCCUUGUAUUCCUGCAGACCAGUCUCAACCUGAAUGGCCUUGUUUACCAGGGUGGCGAAAUCAGCAUAGUCGUGAACAAGGAGUGCCAGUCUGCAAGCACGGAAUUUCACCAGGGUGGAGGCCCUCACGGAAUUUCUCCUGUCUGCGUGCAUCAGUUGCAAUGUAUUCUUCAGCAUAGCCGAACAAGUGCAGAAACUCCCGCUGAUAAGCAUCCACAGUCUUGUUACCCUGGACAAGGUUGCAGAACUCACGCUUCUUCCGGUCCAUGAUUCCCCGAGGAAUGUAGCGGACACGGAAAGCAGCCUUGAACUUCGUCCAAGUGAUGACAGUUCUGACGGGCUGAGGGCGCCCGUGAGUGUCCCACCAUUGAGCAGCGGGACCCUUCAGGAAGUAGGCGGCAAAGUUGAUGUAGCUCGCCAGGGGCACAUUGGCAGACUCAAGCUCAUAAGCAAUGUCACAGAGCCAGUCAUCAGCAUCAAGAGGCCGAGUUGAGCUGCACACCUUUAGCCCUUGCAUAAACUGGCGGUUUAGUUCAAACUGUUGGAUCAUCCCCGCCAUAUAUUCAGGAGGUGGGGGUGGUGCAUCGUUGGCGGGGCCAUGCGGGCGGCCAGCUGGUUUAACCAUCGUGCUAAAUAUUUAACAGGGGUAGUUUAGUUUAAUGUAAUUGCAAAAGGCAUUGUAGGCAUUCAUGAAGUAAUCAAGCAUGACGAAAGGGAAAUGCAAUAGAUACUUCAUAGUAGUUGAGUUUGACAUACAGACCCAUACAUAAGUUCGAUUACACACCAUUGAUUACAAAUUCGAAAUUUGGCGAUAACCUGGACUCAUUAGACGAUAACCUGGACUCACUAGGCGGCACACAGGCACGCGGUGGAACAGUACCACAACGAGACAUAGCGACAAGGCUACAUCAACGUCGGAGAAAAUGAUCAAAUCUAGGUAGCUGGCGGUGAUAGAAGCUAGGAGCAGGACCCUGCGUCCCGUGGUGACUCAUGUGUGGGUACCUCAUCCAAUCGGGGAGCAGAGGUCCAAGUGCAGGGAUACUACCUCCAACAUCAGUCCACUCAAGACCUGGUGGUAGCUCUGUCCUGCUCGGCUCGAGGAUGUUCACAUGGUGGACCCUCGGGUGGACUGUUGGCUGCAGCUCCGUCAACGCGUCAUAAAGACGGACACGUGUGGCGUACGACUCGAUAAUGAGAGCUCGAAAAGCGCGAUCCAGUGCCUCAGUGUACUGCACCAGAACCUGUGCGUCGUAGCGAUGCGUCAUGUAGGGGGCACAUACAGCGACAUAGGACCAGUCGUUACGCUCCCGAACGCGAGCAGUGUAGGCAGUGAGAUCAGACCCAGUCUCAUCCCCAGCAGGAAGAUACGGGAUGUAUCUGAAAGAAGUCCCCUCCAGGUGAGGGUACACUCCGUGGAGACGGGUGAUAGCGAUAUAGGUCGCAUCCUAGACGACCAUCUCGAUCGACAAUCCAAUACCGCAGAAGGUGUAGCGCUCGCGGGUGGAGGUGCCCAUCUGAUCAAAGCUACGAACCUCAUCCUGGUACUGGUACUGGUUGAACUCUCGGAAGUCCUCGUACACAUUGUACUCGGGGUACCAGCGAUAUCCUAGCCUGGUCAAGAGGUCGACCAAAAUGGCGGGAACCGAGUCGUCUCAAUGGACAGUGUCAGGCGCACUUGCUGCCUUGCGGGAUGCAUCUAAAAAGAAGAUUCAAGGAUGUCAAAUGACAGUGUGUGUAAUAUAUUAUCAGAAGGACAAUAACACAUAAUCCAGCUCUCCGGGUCGAUGUGAUUACGAGAACCAAAUGUUAGAGUUAGUAAAUUCUUUAACCCAAAAGAGAAGAGAAACUAGAACCUAGAGUAUAGAAAAGGAGUAAAAGAUACUAAUACCACUCAAUUGAGAUGUGGGCCCGUAAGCCACAACAUCAAAGUUAGUAAGUUUUCCAAGUACUAGACUCAACUUCGGCCAAGGAGUUGGAAAGGGGGCCACCUACAGGCAGUCAGCUCUGAUACCAAUUUGUGACGCCCUCGAAUUUGAUCAUUCACUAAGCAUACACGCAAAUGCGUAUGACCAAGCUCAAGGACUCACGGGAAGAUAUCACAACACAACUCUAGACACAAAUAAAACAUGCAAGCUUCAUAUUACAAGUGGGGGUCCUCGAGGGCUAGAAUACAGAAGCUCGAUAAUCAUAAUAGUAAGUGGAAGCAACAAAUAUCUGAGGACAAACAUUGAACAUAAGGUGCCUUAGAGAAGGCUAGCACAAAAGAUACAACGAUCGAAUGAGGCGAGGCCUCCUGCGUGGGAGCCUCCUAACUACUCCUGGUCUUCAGCGGCCUCGACAUAGUAGUAGGCACCAUCGGGGUAGCAGUCAUUGUGAGCGGGAUACUCCAUCUCCUGGGCUCCAUCAUCUGGCCGCAGCAACGGAUCACGGGGAAAAGUGGGAGCAAAGCAACGGUGAGUACUCAUCCAAAGUACUCGCAAGACUGACAUCAAAACUAUGCUAAGUAUGCAUCAGUAUCAAAGGAAGGGGUUUAUAUGUGGACUGACCACAACAAUGCGAUAAAGAGAGGGAAGGCCUAGUCCUAUCGAAGACUAGCAUCUUGAGGGGUCUUGCAGCAAUAGACGAGAGUAGAACAGGGGUAACACAACUAAUAGUCAUAUUGUUGCAUCAAUAUUAAUACGAGGUCACACCCAGAGAUUCUUCCUCGACUCCUUGCGAGGAAGUAAUCCCGAAGCAAACAUUCUAGUUAAGUAUCAGUUAUAGUUGUAUAAGGUCGGGGCACAACUCCAAGUCGUCCUGCAACCGUGGACAUGGCUAUUCGAAUAGGUAAGUUCUUCCCUGGAGUGGUGCACACCAUAUUCCCCGUCACGCUUGAUAAACUUUGGCCGGACACACUUUCCUGGGUCAUGCCCAACAUCGGAACAUUGACACGUCGCAACCCCACUGAGACUCAACAGAGGGGCCAACCCGCCGGUCUAAAUCCUAAGCACGUAGGGGUCAUGGGCCCAUCACCCUUUGCACUCCUGCAGGAUUCGAGGGCGCCGAUGUCAGUCCUAGCACCCCUUAUUACAAGCGCGAUGUCUAUCCGGACCACUCGGGCGCGCGCUGCUUCAUUGCUGACGUCUGAAGAGAUUCGGCUGAUACCAUGACGUUGAGUACCCAUAACUCCUCCCACGUAGAUGGUUAAGGCGAAUAAGGUCUCCGACCAACCCAGACCAAAUACCCAAAUCCAUUAAGAUUUUAAUUAACUCGUCGGCACAUCCACGCGGGAAUCCACCCGCCAAACAUUAUCCAUCAAUGUUCCCAAUAACACGGUCAAGUAACUGUGUGGUUGUAACAUCAAGGGGGUCCGAGGUAUCACCCUCGUUGGAUUCCGAACGAUGUAACCGUCAUGGUGGACUUCCAUUUAGCUUCCACAAGGAUUUCGGGCAUUACGAGUAAAGUACCGGGAGUGACGAAUGGGUUCCGGAGUUCCACCGGGAGGGCCACCCACCCGGGAGGGGACCAAAAAGGCCCAAGGGUGGUGCACCAGCCCCUGGUGGGCUGGUGGCCAGCCCAAGAGGGCCUAUUCGGCCGAAGGGAACAAGGAAAGAGAGGUGGGGCCAAACCAAAUUGGGGAAGGGGACUCCUCCUGCAAACCGUAUUGGAGGAGGACUCCUCUCCUCCUUGCGCCAGCCAAACCCUAGGGCAAGUCCCUAGGGCGCUACCCCUCCCCUCCCUCCUAUAUAUAGUGGAGGGUAGAGAGGCUUUUUGCACCUCAAGCCACGACGCAGCCCUCUCUCCCUCCACCACCUCGUGACACCCCGUAGCUACUUCGAUACGGUAUGACGAAGCCCUGACGGAGUAGCUACACCAUCAUCACCGCCACGCCGUCAUGUUGUCGGAGAAUUCAGCUACCUCUUCGUCUCUCUUGCUGGAUCAAGAAGGCGGAGAUUGUCAUCAAGCUGCACGUGUGCUGAACGCGGAGGUGCCGUCCGUUCGGCGCUAGAUCAGGACGGAGUUCGUGGGACGGAUUGCAAAGACGUUCAACUACAUCAACCACAUUUCUUAACGCUUCCCGCUUAGCGAUCUACAAGGGUAUGUGGAUCCGAUCUCCCCUCUCGUAGAUGAUCAUCACCAUGGAUAGGUCUUGCGUGUGUGUCGGAAGUUUUUUUGUUUCCCAUGCAAUGUUCCCCAACAUCGAACACAACCAGCAUUAUCAACAGCAGGGGGUAAUGCGGCGACCCCUCCUGCAAAUCAGCUUCCCGAGGAUCACGGUGAUGUUUCGGUUACCAACUCUGAAGUUGAGAGUGUAAUGAACCACCAUCGUCGGAAAGAAUCACUGCGUCAUCCUGAAUUUUUCGAACAUGAGUUUAAUGCCUCGAGCUUGGUGGAUGUGCACCUCGAAGCUGCCCGAGCACGACUUGAGGGAGUUUCCAACCGUAUGUCAACAAGUCUUAUGGUAUGUAUUUAGAUUUUCGCAAUUGUGUACACAUCUCAAACCACUAUCCCCCGAUCCUCGAUUGGACAAUAUGUCCGAACUAAGGGUCUAAACACACCUUUUGACAUGUUUUUAGGCUGCUCGGGGAAAGAAUAAGGAGUUGUCCUAGGAAAUUGGGAUGUACCUAACACAACUCGAGGGUGCGAAGGCAGAACUAGAGCAAGUAAAUAUUUUCACAAGAGAAGCACAUGGUAAGAAAUUUAUUUUCUAAUCAUGUCCAGAGUCGCCAUGUUACCUUUCUUAAACGAAAGUGUACUUUGUAGCAGCUGAUUCUAUAGGUCAAUUGCAAAGAGAUCUGGCAGUGGCGAGAGAAUCACAAUGAUACGCCGAAUGCCAGAAUGAGGCCAGCAAUCACUCAUUAUUAUGAAGUAUUGAUGAAAACAAAAAACUUAGGGCGGAAAAAAGAACAAAUCAGUCAAAUUGAGAGUUUAAAGACUGAGCUCGCGCACGCUACCGAAGAGAACAAGAGAUUAAAGGGUGGACUAUUUGGUAAGUAAUAUGUUGAACUGGUAAAUAUACGAAUAUGUGGUCUGAAACUAAGAAAUAUUCCACUUCUCCUUAUAUCACUCCUGACUAGGAGUCCCGAAGAAGAAGUCAGUUCAUUUAGUGGUGACCUUCUAAAGGAAUUAUCCAUAGUUUAUGAAUGAAGGCGAAAGGCAAUGAAGAUCAUGCUGAAAGAAUUAUGGCCGGCCGUGAAGCCUCCGAAAGGGAUGGGCCGAACCGGCAGAGCACUUCGAAGGGGCUCGACGCCGAUUUGAAUUGUGGAAAACAUGAAAGCACAAUUGCUCCCUAAGGUGGUUUUGGUAAUUAAUCACAACAUAUGUAUCAUUGAACUAAUAAUCUUAUUCAAGUAUAUUCCAUAAAAUUUCAAAGAUGCAUUGGCUAAAGGAUUGUGAGGAGAAACCCCUUGUUGCAAGGAAAGGAAUAGGAUUGGCUCAAGCUUCGAGGAAGAAGACUCUCCAUUUUACAUUUGUGAGAAAUCACUUUGAUUCCAUAGUAAAACCAAUAAUAUUAAAAGGGGGUGAGGUAUUAUGAUGAAAUGGUUGCUCAAGUGCUUAGAGAUAGCCACCAAAAAUAUUCACUCAUUCACCCACAAAUAUCUAUGUCCCCAGCCAUAACAGCAAAAGCGGCGCCACAACCUUUUCCCACUCAACCCAACCGAUUUUCCAGUGAUAGAUCCUUUUCCAAACCAUAAUCUCUCGGUACCACCAAGUUUCAUAUCGGUGCCACCCAGAACAAUGAUCAACUUUCUAGUGUCUCAAUUCCAAGAAUCAGGAAUUCUAAGAUUGGAAUCGGUCUCAGCGAGAUUUGGAAACUGCUCUAGGUCAUCGUAUCGGUACCACCAAGAUUCAUAUAUCGAUCUUACUGAGAAUUCNNNNNNNNNNNNNNNNNNNNNNNNNNNNNNNNNNNNNNNNNNNNNNNNNNNNNNNNNNNNNNNNNNNNNNNNNNNNNNNNNNNNNNNNNNNNNNNNNNNNAAUUCAAAAAAAAUACAAAAAAAUACAAAACUUGUGCAAUCAUCAUUCUAUGUGACUAACUCCAUAGGAAAAAUAAGAAAUCUGGACUAUGGAGUUUUUCAUGAAAAAAACUUCACAAACUUGGCUAUCACGAACGAGGUUGUAGGGUUUUCAAAGGUUAGGGUUGAGCAUAAGUAAUUCAAAAAAAAUCAAAAAAAUAGAAAACUGGUGCCAAUCAAUUUGAGUUGUUAGUAUAUGACAAAGUAAGAACAUGUGUACUGGUUUUCCAAUAUUUUAUUUUUUUAAUUUUUGAUGCUCAUUUCAAACUUGGUCAAACCUAAGUUUGACAAACAUUUAAACAAGUUUCAAAUAUGAAAAUGACAAACCAAGCCUGGAUCCUUCUUAGUCACUCCAAAAUGAAGCUUUUGUGAUGUUUUUGAAAUUUGAAGUUCAACACCCAAAACCACUUGUCUUCACACAUGAGUUUCAAAUUAGCUCCAAAGGGGGUAAAUACCCAUUUCUAAACAAGUUUUUUGUCCACCAUGUUUAAAACAGCCAAAUCAAUUUGAGUUGUUAGUAUAUGACAAAGUAAGAAUAUAUGCACUGGUUUUCCAAUAUUUUUAUUUUUCUUUUAUUUUUUAUGCUCAUUUCAAACUUGGUCAAACCAAAGUUUGACAAACAUUUAAACAAGUUUCAAACAUGAAAAUGACAAACCAAGCCUCGAUCCUUCUUAGUCACUCCAAAAUGAAGCUUUUGUGAUGUUUUUGAAAGUUUCAAGUUCAACACCCAAAACCACUUGUCUUCACACAUGAGUUUCAAAUUAGCUCCAAGGGGGUAAAUACCCCAUUUCUAAACAAGUUUUUUUGUCCACCAUGUCUAAAACAGCAAAAUCAAUUUGAGUUGUUAGUAUAUGACAAAGUAAGAAUAUGUGCACUAGUUUUCCAAUAUUUUUAUNNNNNNNNNNNNNNNNNNNNNNNNNNNNNNNNNNNNNNNNNNNNNNNNNNNNNNNNNNNNNNNNNNNNNNNNNNNNNNNNNNNNNNNNNNNNNNNNNNNNCUUUAGUUCCAGCUUAGGGACAAUUGUUUUUGUUUACUGCAGAUUGCUGGGCAGAGCCCCAAGAUCGGCCGAGCUGCCAGGAGAUCCUCACUCGCUUGCUCGACUGCGAGUACGCUGAGAGCUGAGAGCCUGAAACGAACCUGGUGAAUGCUUCACUCCCAACCUCCCAGUGCCUUCAGAGGUGGAACCGUUUCUCUGUAUAAAACUUGUAAAAAUCUAGCCCGUUGAUCCUGCAGACCGGCAAGGAUAUACAUAUAUUAAACUCUUGUAUUUCGGCUGUAUAUCGGCGACCCUUUCUUUCAAAUUUGUAAAGGAAAAAUUCUCUCCUUUUAAUAGAAGAAUGUUGCAGGGCUAAGGCUAACUCCAACGCAGACGAUCCAUUUUGUCCGUCCGUUUGAGUCCGCAUGAACAAAAACGCGGUCAAUGCGUCGCUAACGCAAAUGGAUGGGUGU